UGUCUGUUUCACUGGUUAGAGCUACUAUACUUUUAUGAGCAUAAGUUUUUUUGUACUCAUAAAUUUUCGGCCAUUAGAUAAAAAUAUAUGCGGUUAACAUGAUAGUAGUCCUCUAGGGUUGAGUCGGUGGUUGAUUGAAUAGUAUGAUUUAACGGGUGAAAAUGAUCAAAGGAACAUAUCGAAUGUCCGAAAACUUAUAAGUAUAAAAGGACUUAUAUUAUACUUAUAAAAAUAUAGUAGCCUGACUCGUGUUUCACGCGCAGGUUAAUAAUGCAGGAAUAAUCCGCAUGAAGUCAACAACAGAGCACACAGCAGAGGACUACUCUGUUACCAUGGCCACAAAUUUUGAAUCUGCUUUCCAUCUGAGCCAAUUAGCUCACCCCCUUCUUAAGGCAUCAGGGAAGGGCAAUAUUGUCUUUAUAUCCUCCAUUGCAGGGAUCAUAGGGUUCCCUUCUUUCUCCAUCUAUGCAGCAACUAAAGGUAGAUAGAUACAUGUGAAUUUGAAAAAAAAAAUUUUGUUUAACUAAAUUUUGAUAUGCUUGAUGUUUGGUUUUCCUCUGAUCAGGAGCGAUGAAUCAAGUCACAAAAAAUCUGGCUUGCGAAUGGGCAGGCGACAAUAUACGCGUAAAUUGCGUAGCUCCAGGACCAAUCAGAACUCAUAUCGUGCAAUCGGUGCUGCUCUGAUAUUAUUUUAAAUUUAUAUAAAAUAAUAAUUAUUUUUUAAUAUAUUUUUAACAUUUAUAUUCAACAGAUAUAUAACUCUUAUAAUUUUUAUUGGAUUGGAGAACAAACGAUUCUCCAAUUACUGAACAGUUCUACUAAUGUGCGAGUGAAUAUUAGCGAAUUAAUUGCUUCUCUUCUUGUUAAUUGUUAUCCUUCAAUAGCUACAUAGAAAUGAGGAGCUCAUGGCCAGAGAAUUUGUUCGGAUUCCGCUCGGGCGAAUCGGCGAGCCGGAGGAGGUGGCUUCGACGGUGGCUUUUCUUUGCAUGCCUGCCGCGUCGUACAUCACCGGCCAAGUCAUCUGCGUCGACGGCGGCCGCACAAUCAACGGUGCUUCCUAGUGUCCUCCCUAGCAGGUUUAUGAAGCUGCAGAAACUUUUAUUUAGGUGUUGAAACUUGGAACUAAGCUUCAGAUAUGUAGAAGCUCUAAGCAUAGUUAUGGAAUUGGAUGUGUUGCGUUUAGGUUCAUUUCAAAUGUGNUAACUAUAGGGGUGAGUCAACACAGGUCUCUGAGGGAUAAAAAAGUAUAUAUAUAUAUUUUUUAUAUUAACUUUUUAUGUGGGAUAAAUAAAAAAUUUUAAAAAUUUUAAAGGGCACGUAAGCAAUUGCCUCAUGAUUGUUUAUGUCAUAUAAUGGCUACAUAAAUAGUAAUAAUACAUAACAUGGGAUCGAUGUGACUACGUAUUAUUGUGUGAAAAAGUCAUAAAUAAAGUGAUUGUUGUGAUCAAAUCAGUCACUCAAAAACUGCCAAGGUAGAUUUUUCUCUCGCUGUCUUAGUAUGUAUUAUGUAGAAGUUUCAGCAUAACAUUUGACCAUCAUUAUCGACCGUUCCUAUCGUAAAUAGUAAAAAAUUUGAUAGUUGAUACUCGAGAUUUCGAGUACGAAUCCUAAUUGAUUUACAUUUUCAACUAAGUUUAUUUAUAAAUAAAUAUUUUCAACGAAAGGUGUUAACUACAUAUCUUUCUCAAAAAAAAAAAAAAACAUUUGACCAUCGUUAUUGCAUCAUCUAUGGAGAAGCAGGAUCGAUCGAUCUCCACCAUUGGAUCCAAUUAAUUUAUUUUUUCGCAUGACAUUCUUUCAUAUUUUAAUUUUUUUAAUAAAAAAUAGUAUAUUAUCUAUUAAUUUCAUUCAUUAAAUAAAUAAAUUUAUCUACAAAAUAUAGAGAUAGUUGAGGCCUCAAGAAGACUACGUACAUUCCACACCUAAGUGCCCAGGAAAAAAUAAAUAUUAAAUUACUAUUAACUUUGUUAAAUUUAAUAAUUUUAAUUACUUUAAUUGAAUAAAAUUAAAAUAACUAGAACUAGUAGUUAAUAGUAGCGUUAAAUUUAAUUAUAUUUCUAAUUUAUAAAAGUAUAACAACUUAAAUAGAAGAAAAGUUGUUGGUAUGCCGGCCGAAAAAUUAUAUAGUCAAGAGCCUAUUUUGGAACGGCAUAUAGUUUAAGGGUGUUCUCAGUGAAUUUGAAUUUGUUAACCUUAAUUAAAUAGAAAUUAAAUUUUGGAAAAAAAAAAAAACAAAAAAAAAAGAUUUGACAUUGCUGGUAGAGUUUUAACACCUUUCUUGUUGGAUUCGAACUUGAAAUCUUAGGUAAUCAUCAAAUUCUUUAUCACUUGCGCUAAGAAUAGUUGCUUACGUCUCUCUUGUUUUUUUUUUUUUUUUUGAGAGAUAGGUAGCAUGCUACCUGCUUCGUUUAUUUCAUUUAAAAAUAAACUUAGCCGAAAAUAUAAAUCAAUUAGGAUUCGAACUUGGGACCUCGAGUACCAACUACCAAGUCUUUUGUCACUUGCUCUAGAGACGGUCAGUUACGGCUCUCUUGUUUGUGUUUUUUUUUUUGAGAGAGAGAGAUAUGCUACAUGCUUCGUUUAUUUCAUUUAGAAAUAAACUUAGCUAGAAAUGUGAAUCAAUUAGGAUUCGAACUUGGGUCUCGGAUACCAAUCACCAAGCUCUUUGCCACUUGCUCUCGGGAUGGUCGGUGUUACGUUUCUCUUGUUCGUAUGUGUUUAUAGGAGAGUGGCUAGAGGAUAUGUGGCCGUCCAUUAAUUCGUCCUUUUUUAAGAAGCCCUGCUUUAUUGUGAGAAAAAGCGCUUUUCAAAAGAGAUAGAGCGACCUAGAGAGAGAGAGAGAGAGAGAGAGAGAGAGAGAGAGAGAGAGAGAGAGAGGAUGGAUUGUAGUAAUAGAGGAGAGAGAUGGUCUCUUGCUGGAGCAACGGCUCUGGUCACGGGAGGCACCAAAGGGAUUGGGUAUAAUACUACAAUUCACAUCAAUUCUCACUGUUCAUAUCUUUUCUUUUUUUUCGAAGUUCUAAACCAGCACUUAAUUAGAUCACAUAAGUAACUUUAUUUGUAUGCUAUAGGUUAAUUUACAUUUUGUUUAUUUGUUCUGAAUUGAAAAUUUUAUUCAGGCAUGCCGUCGUUGAAGAGUUAGCAGGAUUUGGCGUGACAGUACAUGUAUGUGCUAGAAAUGAAGUAGAUCUCCAAAAUUGCUUGAAGAGAUGGGAUGAGAUGAAACUAAAAGUUACUGGAUCAGUGUGUGAUGUCUCUUCGAGAAGCGAAAGAGAGAAGCUGAUGGAGAGGGUUCAAUCCAUUUUCCAUGGAAAGCUCAACAUACUUGUAAGCAAUAUAAAACUAUAUAUCUAUCUUAUUUGUAUGUUUUACGUACGUAAUAUUGAAAGACUAUAGAUUGAUUUAUGAAGAAGUUAAUUAAUGAUAUGUAGUUUCUAAUCAUUUCACCAAUUGCAUCUACUAAUAGACGUAUAAAUUUUACAGAACACUGAAAACAGAUAACAAUAAUAAUAUUGGUGGAAUUGGAAAUAAAAAAAAUUAUAAAUUAGAAGAAACUUAGAUUUAUAUUAGCCUUUUUCGCUUGCUUCUAAAACAACUUCUCUCGGUUUGAGAAGAAGAAGCAUCAAAUUUGAUGCUUGGAGUUUUUAGCGACACUAUUUGAGCCAUGCUAAUCUAGCUUCUAGGCUUCUCUCAGCUUGAUAGGUAAAAGCUAGCAAGUAGGUAGCUAGUCAAAAAUAGUUUCUAGGUUUUAAAAGAAGAAUCUCCUAUUUGAACUAUUUGAGCCACGCUGAUCUAGCUAUAAAUAUAAAGCAACAAGAAUUUCGGAUACCAGCCUUUGAGCCUUCCCUGUACUGGUUAUUCUAUACAAAAGUUAUUACGAGAAAAUUAAUGAAAGUGUUACGACGGGCGGAAAAAAUUAGGAAGCAAAGUGAAAAUGAGCCAUACGCUAGGGGCCUAUAUAAAGGUUUUUCGUCCAUCAAAAGUCCAUGUUCAACUAUAUAUAAGGAGAAAAAUGAUACAUAAAUCAAGACAUUUUACAACAACUGAUCAAUAGCUGUUAUUUGUCUUUGACGAAUAUUCUUCUAAUCUUUAAAACAGUUAUAGGAUCCCAUUGAUUCAAAUAUAUGUUUUUGUUCUCUUUUUUUAGGUUAACAACGCAGGGACAGCCUAUAAUAAGCCAACUACAGAGUACACAGCUGAGGACUACUCUUUUUUGAUGGCCACAAACUUUGAAUCUGCUUUCCAUUUAAGCCAAUUAGCCCACCCCCUCCUUAAGGCAUCAGGGAGGGGUAAUAUUGUCUUUGUAUCCGCCAUUGCAGGAAUUAUAGGCUUACCUAUUCUCACCAUUUACGCAGCCGCUAAAGGUACAAAUUUUGAAUUCAAAUUAUGUUUGAAUAAAUUAAUUUGAUAGUUCGAUAUUCGAAAUGUUAUUAACCGUCUCUUCCUGAUCAGGAGCAACGAAUCAAGUCGCGAAGAAUCUGGCCUGCGAGUGGGCGGGCGACAACAUACGCGUAAACUGCGUAGCUCCAGGGCCAAUCAAAACUCCACUUAUGAUACCAGUUACGUUUUCGGACCUUGUUCUUUUGUACAAAUUAAUAAUAGUAAUAACUUGCGCUGUUAUGUUACUCACUAAGAUAAUUCUCCUUUUUGUUAUUCUUCGAUAGAUGCUUGACAAUGAGGAGUUCACAGCAAGAGAAUUUGUUCGGAUUCCGCUCGCGCGAAUCGGCGAGCCGGAGGAGGUGGCUUCGACGGUGGCUUUUCUUUGCAUGCCGGCCGCGUCGUACAUCACCGGCCAAGUCAUCUGCGUCGACGGCGGCCGCACAAUCAACGGUGCUUCCUAGUGCCCUCCUUAGCAGGUUUAUGAAGCUGCAGAAACUUUUAUUUAGGUGUUGAAACUUGGAACUAAGCUUCAGAUAUAGAUAUGUAGAAACUCUAAGCAUAGUUAUGGAAUUGGAUGUGUUGCGUUUAGGUUCAUUUCAAAUGUGUGGUGUGCGUGUAUUUUACAAAGUGUUGUUACAUAUAUUGUUUGGUGCUUGGUCACAUUCUCGAAUAAAUUGCUAUUUGUGAUAUGAUGAUCCACUUAAACUUUCAUAGUGCGUUUUGAUUGAAUUUUUUUUUUUUUUUGAGAAAUAAUUUGAUUGAAUUUAUAAUAGUAAGUUCGCACAAGAUUUAACUAUCGAUUAAAUAAAUAUUGAAAUAAUUACUAAUAUAUUUUUCAAAACUUUUAAAAUAUCUUACAUAUUUUAUUUUUUUAAUUUUAAAUAUAUUGUUAGUAUAUUUUUCUGUUAUUUAAAAAUAAUCCUGCUAUUACUAUUCGUUAAGUCUUUUCGGAUUAAAUUAGGAUUAAAUUUCUACCAAAAAUAAAAAAAGUCAAAAUAUCUUUUUUGUCUGUAAGUCAAGAACAAAUACGAAAUAUUAGUGACGGUAGAAGAAUAUGUUUGAAAGAAUAAAAAAUUAAAAUAUUUUUUUUGUCCCUAACUUAAAAAUAAAUAAGAAAAGUUGAUAAUGACCAAAAAAAAAUAUAUUUGAAAGAGCAAAAUAGUAAUUUUAUAAAAAUAACGGCUGUUCUUAAUCGUUUACUAACAUAAUCUAAUUUUACAGAUAUAUUUGAAAGAACUUAAAAAGAUAAAAAAAAAUAAAUUUUGACGAAAUAGAUAACACGCGAGCCGCUUCAUUUAUUGAAAAAAUAAACUAAGCUAUAGGGGUGAGUCAACACAGAUCCCUAUGGGAUAAAAAAGUAUAUAUAUAUUUUUUAUAUUAACUUUUUAUAUGUGAUAAAUAAAAAAUUUUGAAAAUUUUAAAAGAUACGUAAGCAAUUGCCUCAUGAUCACAUAAAUAAUAAUAAAAUGUUACAUGGGAUGGAUGUGACUACGUAAUGUUGUGUGAAAAAGUCAUAAAUAAAGUGAUUGUCGUGAUCAAAUCAGUCACUCAAAAACUGUCAAAGUACAUUUUUCUCUUGCUGCCCUAGUAUGUACUAUGUUGAAGUUCAGCAUAACAUUUGACCAUCAUUACCGACCGUCUCAAAAACAAAUGACAAAAGAUGAGCUACGUAGUUGGCAUCUGAGAUUCAAGUUCAAAUCCUAGUUGAUUCAUAUUUCCAGCUAAGUUUAUUUUUAAAUAAAAUAAACGAAGCGGGUAGCAUGUUAUUUAUCUCUCUCAAAAAAAAAAAAACCAGUUAACCAUCAUUACGGACUGUCUCUAUUGCAAGUGGUAAAAGAUUUGAUAGUUGAUACCCGAGAUUUCGAGUACGAAUCCCAAUUAAUUCACAUUUUAAACUAAGUUUAUUUCUAAAUAAAAUAAACGAAACAAGUAGCAUACUAACUACCUAUCUCUCUAAAAAAAAAAAAAAACAUUUGACCAUCGUUAUUGCAUCAUCUAUGGAGAAGCAGGAUCGAUCUCCACCGUUGGAUCCAAUUAAUUUAUUUUUUCGCAUGACAUUCUUUCAUAUUUUAAUUUUUUUAAUAAAAAAUAGUAUAUUAUCUAUUAAUUUCAUUUAUUAAAUAAAUAAAUUUAACCUACAAAAUAUAUAUAGAGAUAGCUGAGGCCUCAAGAAGACUUCGUGCAUUCCACACAUAAGUGCCCAUGAAAAAUAAAUAUUAAAUUACUAUUAACUUUGUUAAAUUUAAUAAUUUUAAUUACUUUAAUUGAAUAAAAAUAAAAUAACUAGAACCAGUAGUUAAUAGUAGUGUUAAAUUUAAUUAUAUUUCUAAUUUAUAAAAGUAUAACAAUUUAAAUCGAAGAAAAGUUGUUCGUGUGCCGGCUAAAAAAUUAUAUAGUCAAGAGCCUAUUUUGAAACGGCACAUAGUUUAAGGGUGUUCGCAGUGAAUUUGAAUUUGUUAACCUUAAUUAAAUAGAAAUUAAAUUUUGGAAAAAAAAAAACAAAAAAAAGAUUUGAUAUUGCUGGUAGAGUUUUAACACCUUUUUUGUUGGAUUUGAACUUGAAAUGUCAAGUAUCAACCAUUAAAUUUUUUAUCACUUGCGCUAAGGAUAGUCGCUUACGUCUCUCUUGUUCUUUUUUUUUUUUUUUUGAGAGAUAGAUAGCAUGCUAUCUGCUUUGUUUAUUUUAUUUAGAAAUAAACUUAAUUAGCUAAAAAUAUGAAUCAAUUAGGAUUCGAACUUGAAACCUCGGAUACUAACUAUCAAAUCUUUUGCCACUUAUUUUAGAGACGGUCAGUUACGUCUCUCUUGUUCGUAUGUGUUUAUAAGAGAGCCGCGAGAGGAUAUGUGGCCGUCCAUUAAUUCGUGCUUUUCUAAGAAGCCCUGCUUUAUUGUGAGAAAAAGCGCUUUUCAAAAGAGAUAGAGCUACCUAGAGAGAAGAGAGAGAGAGAGAGAGAGAGGAUGGAUUGUAGUAAUAGAGGAGAGAGAUGGUCUCUUGCUGGAGCAACGGCUCUGGUCACGGGAGGCACCAAAGGGAUUGGGUAUAAUACUACAAUUCACAUCAAUUCUCACUGUUCAUAUCUUUUCUUUUCUUUUCUUUUUUUCUUUUGUAAAGUUCUGAAACAGGCACUUAAUUAGAUCACAUAAGUAACUUUAUUUGUCUGCUAUAGGUUAAUUUACAUUUUGUUUAUUUGUUCUGAAUUGAAAAUCUUAUUCAGGCAUGCUGUUGUUGAAGAGUUAGCAGGAUUUGGCGCGACAGUACAUGUAUGUGGUAGAAACGAAGUAGACCUCCAAAAUUGCUUGAAGAGAUGGGAUGAGAUGAAACUGAAAGUCACUGGAUCAGUGUGUGAUGUCUCUUCAAGAAGCGAAAGAGAGAAGCUGAUGGAGAGGGUUCAAUCCAUUUUCCAUGGAAAGCUCAACAUCCUUGUAAGCGAUAUAAAACUAUCUCAUGUGUAUAUUUUACGUAAUACUGAAAGACUAUAGAUUGAUUUAUGAAGAAGUUAAUUAAUGAUAUGUAGUUUCUAAUCAUUUCACCAAUUGCAUCUACUAAUAGACGUAUAAAUUUUACAGAACACUGAAAACAGAUAACAAUAAUAAUAUUGGUGGAAUUGGAAAUAAAAAAAAUUAUAAAUUAGAAGAAACUUAGAUUUAUAUUAGCCUUUUUCGCUUGCUUCUAAAACAACUUCUCUCGGUUUGAGAAGAAGAAGCAUCAAAUUUGAUGCUUGGAGUUUUUAGCGACACUAUUUGAGCCGUGCUAAUCUAGCUUUUAGGCUUCUCUCAGCUUGAUAGGUAAAAGCUAGCAAGUAGGUAGCUAGUCAAAAAUAGCUUUUAGGCUUCAAAAGCAGAGUCUCCUAUUUGAACUAUUUGAGCCAUGCUGAUCUAGCUGUAAAUAUAAAACAACAAGAUCUCGAACUUAGGAUUUCGAAUACCAGUCUUCAUGUCUUCUCUGUACUGGUUAUUCUAUACAAAAGUUAUUACGAGAAAAUUAAUGAAAAUGUUACUACGGGCGGAAAACAUUAGGAAGCAAAGUGAAAUCGAGCCAUACACUAGGGACCUAUACAAAGGUUUUCUUCCAUCAAAAGUCCAUGUUCAACUAUAUAUAUAAGGAGAAAUAUGAUACAUAAAUCAAGACAUUUUCAACAACUCAAUAGCUGUUAUUUGUCUUCAAAUACCCUUCUAAUUUUUAACAAUUAUAGGAUCCCAUUAAUUCAAAUUUGUUUUGGUUCUUUUUUUUAGGUUAACAACGCAGGGACAGGCUAUACUAAGCCAACUACAGAGUACACAGCUGAGGACUACUCUUUUUUGAUGGCCACAAACUUUGAAUCUGCUUUCCAUUUAAGCCAAUUAGCCCACCCCCUCCUUAAGGCAUCAGGGAGGGGUAAUAUUGUCUUUGUAUCCUCCAUUGCAGGAGUUAUAGGGUUCCCUGCUCUCACCAUUUACGCCGCCACAAAAGGUACAAAUUUUGAAUUCAAAUCAUGUUUAAAUAAAUUUUGAUAGUUUGAUAUUCGAAAUGUUGUUAUUGUCUCUGUGCUUUUCCUUCCCGAUCAGGUGCCAUGAAUCAAGUCACGAAGAAUCUGGCCUGCGAGUGGGCGGGCGACGACAUACGCGUAAACUGCGUCGCUCCAGGGCCAAUCAAAACUCCACUCAUGAAACCAGUUACGUUUUCGGACCUUGUUCUUUUAUACAAAUUAACAAUAGUAAUAACUUACGUGUUAUGUCACUCACUAAGAUGAUUCUCCUUUUUGUUAUGCUUCGACAGCUGCUUGACAAUGAGGAGCUCACAGCAAGAGAAGCUGCUCGGGCUCCGCUCGCACGAAUCGGCGAGCCGGAGGAGGUGGCUGCAAUGGUGGCUUUUCUUUGCAUGCCGGCCGCGUCGUACAUCACCGGCCAAGUCAUUUGCGUCGACGGCGGCCGCACCAUCAAUGGUGCUUCGUAGCGUCCUCCCUAGCAGGUUUGUAGAAGCUGCAGAAACUUAAUUUAAGGUGUUGAAACUUGGAACUAAGCUUCAGAUAUGUAGAAGCUCUAAGCAUAGUUAUGGAAUUGGAUGUGUUGCGUUUAGGUUCAUUUCAAAUGUGUGGUGUGCUUGUAUUUUACAGAGUGUUNAUAUAUAUAUAUUUGAAAGGGUAAAAUAGUAAUUUUAUAAAAAUAACGAUUGUUCCUAAUCGUUCACUAACAUAAUCUAAUUUUACAGAUGCAUUUGAAAGAACUUAAAAAGAUAAAAAAAUAAUAAUAAUAAUUUUGAGAAGUAUAUAGCUCGCCAGCAACUUUAUUUAUUGAAAAGAUAACCUUAACUAUAGGGGUGAGUCAACACAGGUCUCUGAGGGAUAAAAAAGUAUAUAUAUAUAUUUUUUAUAUUAACUUUUUAUGUGGGAUAAAUAAAAAAUUUUAAAAAUUUUAAAGGGCACGUAAGCAAUUGCCUCAUGAUUGUUUAUGUCAUAUAAUGGCUACAUAAAUAGUAAUAAUACAUAACAUGGGAUCGAUGUGACUACGUAUUAUUGUGUGAAAAAGUCAUAAAUAAAGUGAUUGUUGUGAUCAAAUCAGUCACUCAAAAACUGCCAAGGUAGAUUUUUCUCUCGCUGUCUUAGUAUGUAUUAUGUAGAAGUUUCAGCAUAACAUUUGACCAUCAUUAUCGACCGUUCCUAUCGUAAAUAGUAAAAAAUUUGAUAGUUGAUACUCGAGAUUUCGAGUACGAAUCCUAAUUGAUUUACAUUUUCAACUAAGUUUAUUUAUAAAUAAAUAUUUUCAACGAAAGGUGUUAACUACAUAUCUUUCUCAAAAAAAAAAAAAAACAUUUGACCAUCGUUAUUGCAUCAUCUAUGGAGAAGCAGGAUCGAUCGAUCUCCACCAUUGGAUCCAAUUAAUUUAUUUUUUCGCAUGACAUUCUUUCAUAUUUUAAUUUUUUUAAUAAAAAAUAGUAUAUUAUCUAUUAAUUUCAUUCAUUAAAUAAAUAAAUUUAUCUACAAAAUAUAGAGAUAGUUGAGGCCUCAAGAAGACUACGUACAUUCCACACCUAAGUGCCCAGGAAAAAAUAAAUAUUAAAUUACUAUUAACUUUGUUAAAUUUAAUAAUUUUAAUUACUUUAAUUGAAUAAAAUUAAAAUAACUAGAACUAGUAGUUAAUAGUAGCGUUAAAUUUAAUUAUAUUUCUAAUUUAUAAAAGUAUAACAACUUAAAUAGAAGAAAAGUUGUUGGUAUGCCGGCCGAAAAAUUAUAUAGUCAAGAGCCUAUUUUGGAACGGCAUAUAGUUUAAGGGUGUUCUCAGUGAAUUUGAAUUUGUUAACCUUAAUUAAAUAGAAAUUAAAUUUUGGAAAAAAAAAAAAACAAAAAAAAAAGAUUUGACAUUGCUGGUAGAGUUUUAACACCUUUCUUGUUGGAUUCGAACUUGAAAUCUUAGGUAAUCAUCAAAUUCUUUAUCACUUGCGCUAAGAAUAGUUGCUUACGUCUCUCUUGUUUUUUUUUUUUUUUUUGAGAGAUAGGUAGCAUGCUACCUGCUUCGUUUAUUUCAUUUAAAAAUAAACUUAGCCGAAAAUAUAAAUCAAUUAGGAUUCGAACUUGGGACCUCGAGUACCAACUACCAAGUCUUUUGUCACUUGCUCUAGAGACGGUCAGUUACGGCUCUCUUGUUUGUGUUUUUUUUUUUGAGAGAGAGAGAUAUGCUACAUGCUUCGUUUAUUUCAUUUAGAAAUAAACUUAGCUAGAAAUGUGAAUCAAUUAGGAUUCGAACUUGGGUCUCGGAUACCAAUCACCAAGCUCUUUGCCACUUGCUCUCGGGAUGGUCGGUGUUACGUUUCUCUUGUUCGUAUGUGUUUAUAGGAGAGUGGCUAGAGGAUAUGUGGCCGUCCAUUAAUUCGUCCUUUUUUAAGAAGCCCUGCUUUAUUGUGAGAAAAAGCGCUUUUCAAAAGAGAUAGAGCGACCUAGAGAGAGAGAGAGAGAGAGAGAGAGAGAGAGAGAGAGAGAGAGAGAGAGGAUGGAUUGUAGUAAUAGAGGAGAGAGAUGGUCUCUUGCUGGAGCAACGGCUCUGGUCACGGGAGGCACCAAAGGGAUUGGGUAUAAUACUACAAUUCACAUCAAUUCUCACUGUUCAUAUCUUUUCUUUUUUUUCGAAGUUCUAAACCAGCACUUAAUUAGAUCACAUAAGUAACUUUAUUUGUAUGCUAUAGGUUAAUUUACAUUUUGUUUAUUUGUUCUGAAUUGAAAAUUUUAUUCAGGCAUGCCGUCGUUGAAGAGUUAGCAGGAUUUGGCGUGACAGUACAUGUAUGUGCUAGAAAUGAAGUAGAUCUCCAAAAUUGCUUGAAGAGAUGGGAUGAGAUGAAACUAAAAGUUACUGGAUCAGUGUGUGAUGUCUCUUCGAGAAGCGAAAGAGAGAAGCUGAUGGAGAGGGUUCAAUCCAUUUUCCAUGGAAAGCUCAACAUACUUGUAAGCAAUAUAAAACUAUCUAUCUUAUUUGUAUAUUUUAUGUAAUAUUGAAAGACUGUAGAUUGAUUUAUGAAGAAGUUAAUUAAUGAUACGUAGUUUCUAAUUGUUGCAUCGAUUGCAUCUACUAAUAGACGUAUAAAUUUUACAGAACACUAGAAAUAGAUAAUAAUAAUAAUAUUGAUGGAAUUGAAGAUUAAAAAAAAAUUAUAAAUCAGAAGAAACUUAGAUUUAUAUUAGCCUUUUUCGCUUGCUUUUAAAAUAAUUUCUCUGAGUUUGAGGAGAAGAAGAAGCAUCAAAUUUAACGCUUGGAGCUUUUAACAAUACGAAGUAAAGCUAGCAAGUAGCCAGCUAGUCGAAAAUAGCUCCUAGGCUUCAAAAGCAGAAUCUCCUAUUUGAACUAUUUGAGCCACGCUGAUCUAGCUGUAAAUAUAAAGCAACAAGAUUUCGAAUUUAGGAUUUUAAAUACCUACCUUCAAGCCUUCUCUGUACCGGUUAUUCUAUACAAAAGUUAUUACGAGAAAAUUAAUGAAAAUGUUACUACGGGCGGAAAAAAUUAGGAAGCAAAGUGAAAUCGAGCCAUACACUAGGGACCUAUACAAAGGUUUUCUUCCAUCCAAAAGUCCAUGUUCAACUAUAUAUAUAAGGAGAAAAAUGAUACAUAAAUCAAGACAUUUUCAACAACUGAUCAAUAGCUGUUAUUUGUCUUUGACGAAUAUCCUUCUAAUCUUUAAAACAGUUAUAGGAUCCCAUUGAUUCAAAUAUAUGUUUUUGUUCUCUUUUUCUAGGUUAACAACGCAGGGACAGGCUAUCUUAAGCCAACUACAGAGUACACAGCUGAGGACUACUCUUUUUUGAUGGCCACAAACUUUGAAUCUGCUUUCCAUUUAAGCCAAUUAGCCCACCCCCUCCUUAAGGCAUCAGGGAGGGGUAAUAUUGUCUUUGUAUCCUCCAUUGCAGGAGUUAUAGGGUUCCCUGCUCUCACCAUUUACGCCGCCACAAAAGGUACAAAUUUUGAAUUCAAAUCAAUGUUUAAAUAAAUUUUGAUAGUUUGAUAUUCGAAAUGUUGUUAUUGUCUCUGUGCUUUUCCUUCCCGAUCAGGUGCCAUGAAUCAAGUCACGAAGAAUCUGGCCUGCGAGUGGGCGGGCGACGACAUACGCGUAAACUGCGUAGCUCCAGGGGGAAUCAAAACCCCACUCAUCAAACCAGUUACGUUUUCCGACCUUGUUCUUUUUUAUACAAAUUAAUAAUAGUAAUAACUUAACCUGUUAUGUUACUCACUAAGAUGAUUCUCCUUUUUGUUAUGCUUCAACAGCUGCUUGACAAUGCGGAGCUCACAGCAAAAGAAGCUGCUCGGGUUCCGCUCGCGCGAAUCGGCGAGCCGGAGGAGGUGGCUUCAAUGGUGGCUUUUCUUUGCAUGCCGGCCGCGUCGUACAUCACCGGCCAAGUCAUUUGUGUUGACGGCGGCCGCACCAUCAACGGUGCUUCGUAGCGUCCUCCCUAGCAGGUUUACAGAAGCUGCAGGAACUUAAUUUAAGGUGUUGAAACUUGGAAUAAAGCUUCAUCAGAUAUGUAGAAGCUCUAAUGCAAGUAUAGUUAUGGUUGGGUGUGUUAUAUUUAGUUUCAUUUCAAAUGUGUAGUGUGCUUGUAUUUUACAAAGUGUUAUUAUUCGAAACUGGGGAUGAACUGCUGCAGGAGUGAAGUUUGGUGCUUGGUUACUUUCUCUAAUAAAUUGCUAUUUGCAAGAUGAUGAGCCAUUUAAAUUCUAUAGUACAUACUGAUAGAAUUUAUUGUUGGCUUAAAGGGACCAACAUUUUACUCUGCGACGGGAGGUUAGAUUGGAACGAGUCAUAUUCGAAAUGAUAGAAGGCCGGAUUGGACUGAGUAAUGUUCGAAGUGGGGUGAGAUUAGUUGGGCCUAGUCACAGCCGAGGAAAUGGCAGGAGGCUGAAAUGGGCAGAAUCACGUUCAAAAUAGCAUGAGACUGAUUGGCCGGGUCAUAAUUGAGAUCUGUGUAUGUUGUUUUUAACGGCUCGAUCUUUUGAGAUUAAUGGUUAGUAUCAACGAACCGAUAUUUCAUAAGAGCAAGUUUACAUAAGAUUUAACUAUAGUUAAAUAAAUAAAUUAUUCAUGCCUUAAGUAACGCAUGAAACAGUGCUAAAAAUAUUGGUUGUUAAGAUCAAAGCAACCACUCAGAAACUGCUGCAGAGUGUAAAAUUUCCAAAGCCCUAGUAUGCAGAAAUUUUCAGCACGACAUUUUGCUCUGUCGGAAAUGAUCUCCACCGUUGGAUUCAGUUCUCAAAAUUAUCCCUCAAACUUUAUUCAUUUUGUUUGACAUUCUUUCUAAUCUUUUUUUUGAACAUCACUAUUUUUGGUCAAUCAUAUUAAAAUUUUAAUUAAGUUACUAUUAAUUAGUUUUGUUAAAAUUAAUAGUUCUAAUUACUUUCAAUAGAUAAAUUUGUAGUAAUUAAGAACCAAAUAUUAAUAGGACUAUCAAAUUUAGUAAUAUCUUUAACUUAAAUAAGUAUAACAAUUUAAAUUAAAAAAACGAAAUAGUUGAGUAAGUGUGGGACGAAAAAUUAUAUACUCAAAAAGUCUAUUUCAAAUUUCAGAAUGGCCUAUAGUUGAGGGAGUUCUCACUUCUCAGUGAAUUUGAAUUUUUUUAACCAAAAUUAAAUAGAAAAUCCUUCCAAAUAGCCUAUGUUGCUGGUUAUGAACUUCUAAUUUGAAAUAGACUUUUUGAGUAUAUAAUUUUUCGUCCCACACUUACUCACUUCUCAGUGAAUUUGAAUUUUUUUAACCAAAAUUAAAUAGAAAAUCCUUCCAAAUAGCCUAUGUUGCUGGUUAUGAACUUCUAAUUUGAUAAUUUAAUAAAAUAUUUUUAAACAACAAAAUAUUAAGCGACUUAAAAUUUGAAAAAAAAAAAAAAGGAUUUUUUUUAGAAAACGGUAGUAUGCUAUCUGCUUCGUUUAUUUCAUUAAGAAAUAAACUUAGCUGGAAAUGUGAAUCAACUAGGAUUCGAACUUAGAUCUCGGAUACCAAUCAUCAAGCCCUUGCGUUGGGACGGCCUGUAAAAAAGAAAGGGUUAUUUGAUGUGGCCGUAGUAUGUGUUUAUCUAAGAAAGGGUAGGGAAUUUGUAUGUGUCAAUGUGUGGUGCUUUUCUGAGAAGCCCCACUGUGUUAAAGUGUGAUAGAGAACUGUGAACUUCUUCCAGUCAUAAAUCAAAACCUAGCAAAGAAAAGGGAAAAAAAUAAAAAAAAUAAAUGAAAAGAAAUUAGAGGAGAAAUUAAGUGCAUGCAUUUUUAAAAGAGAGAGAUCUGCAGAGAGAGAGAGAGAGAGAGAGAGAGAGAGAGAGAGAGAGAGAGGAUGGAUUGUAGUAAGAGAGGAGAGAGAUGGUCUCUUGCUGGAGCAACGGCUCUGGUCACAGGAGGCACCAAAGGGAUUGGGUAUAUUAUAUUUAGUAUAAACUCAUAUAGAUUUUGAUGUUAAAUUUGUGUUGUCAUUGGCUUAUAUAUUUGCUUGUUUAUUCACUGGUCUCCUUUUGGAACUUUUGUGCGUUUCUUUAUCAAAACCUGCACUAGUUUUCCUCUUUAAUAAGAGAAGUAGGUAAAUAAAGGAGAAGUUGAUUUUAAGUUUUGUGAAGAACUAAGGAAUGAUUAAUAUAUGAAGGGGCAAAAAAUUCUGGACAACUUGGAGUUUAGUGUGAUUGUAAAUUGCACAAAAAGAAUUGAAAAAAAGGAAGUUUAGAAGGGUGAAAUUUAAAAUGCAAAUAGUGGAUUUGGUUCAAUUAACUAUCUUGCCUAAAUUUAUAUUAAAUUCUCUAAUCAUUUAUAUAUUUGCUUUGAAUUGAAAAUUUUAUCCAGGCAUGCUAUUGUUGAAGAGUUAGCAGUACUUGGUGCAACAGUGCAUACAUGUGCUAGAAAUGAAGUAGACCUCCAAAAUUGCUUGAGUAAAUGGGAAAAAAUGAACUUAAAAGUCACUGGAUCAGCUUGUGAUGUCUCUUCUAGAUGUGAAAGAGAGAAACUAAUGGAGAGGGUCCAAUCCAUUUUCAAAGGAAAGCUCAGCAUACUUGUAAGUAAUAUAAAACUAUAUAUCUUACAUGCAUAUUAUAUAUGUGCCGAAAGAUUAUGUAUUCAUCUAUGAACAAGUUCAUGAUUUUUUCUCUAUCAACAAAAAAAAAAAGUUCAUGAUUUAAGGGUGUUACUAUAUCUUUUUGAGCAUAUUUCCUAACAGAUUGAUCUUUAGAUAACAUAGUAUCAGAGUCGAUUCUAGAUUCUUUUAUUUUGUGAGGUCGUGGAUUCAAUUCUCACGUUCAACACUUAACGGGUUAAAGAUGUUAAUAUUUUGAACCCAUUUUUUACUAGAUUUAUUUUUUAGUUAACAAAGAAUAUAUAUAUAUAUAUAUAGAGAGAGAGAGAGAGAGAGAGAGAGAGAGAGAAAGAGAGAGAGAGUUGAGCUGGAAUACUAUUAAUAAUAUUUGAGUUUUUUUGCUUUCGACUUUGCCGUUUAAUCAAUUCCAUCCUUUACAUCAUACAAUUCAACCAACUGCCCACUCAACCCUGAAGGAACCACUAUUAUCAUCCUACAAAUUUUUAUUUAAAAAUUAAAAACUCGAUAGCAAAAGAGUCUGAAUACUAUUAAGCCCAAUUCUAUAUAUGUGUAUGUGUGUGGAAAGCAAGAAGUUGCGAAUCCAUGUUUCAAUUGCGUGUACAUAUAGAAAAUAACAAAUGGGAAAACUUAGGUCUGCAUUGAAGACAAUUAAGCAGUUUUUCGCUUGACUCUAAAGCAAAAUCCCUGUUAGAGCUGGUAGGUGGCCAACAUUAGCUUCUAUUAUAGGCUACGAAAGCAGAAGUUCUAAUCUGAAUCAUUGGAGCAACAACUACAAUGAAAAUAUCGCUGCAAGCGAAAAUAUCCUAGGUACCAAAGUGAAAUUGGACCAUAUCCUAGGGACUAUCUCCCUUGUUUUAAAAGAUUCUAUCUAAAGAGCUGUUAAUUUGUCUUUGAAUAUAUUACUAAAAUUAAUAAUAUAUGAUCCAAAUAAUCUAUAUUUUGGCUCUCUUCUAGGUUAACAAUGUAGGAACAGGGCAAUCUAAGCCAACUACAGAGUACACAGCAGAGGACUACUCUGUUACCAUGGCCACAAACUUUGACUCUGCUUUCCAUCUAAGCCAAUUAGCCCACCCCUUUCUUAAGGCAUCAGGGAGGGGUAAUAUUGUCUUUAUAUCCUCCCUUGCAGGAAUUACAGGGUUCCCUUCUUUCUCCAUCUAUGCAGCAACUAAAGGUAGAUAGAUAGAUACAUGUGAAUUCGAUUUUUUUUUUUUCGUUUUAACUAAAUUUUGAUAUAUAUGCUUGAUUUUCGAAAUCUUGUACUAGGAGCCAUGAAUCAAGUCACGAAGAAUCUGGCCUGCGAGUGGGCGGGUGAUAACAUACGCGCGAAUUGCGUAGCUCCCGGAUCAAUCAAAACUCCGCUCGCGAAAUGGGUAACAUUCGCAGAGUUUUAUUUUAGAAAAUACUUCAAAUAUCACUUUAGCACUCUGUUAUUUAAAGUGCAUCAAUUUAGUAUCCUGUAAUUUUAUUUUUUCUUUUUUCAUUAGUCCUUUCAUUAAUUUUUUAUUAAAUCAUAUACAAAAAACUUCAUACACCUCACAUGUAAUUUAUCGAAUAUUUAUUUUAGUAUCAUUUAAUUUUAACUUCAUCACUAAUUUAACAAAAAAAUUAGUGAAUAGAAUAACAAAAAGAAAAAAAAAUAAAACUACAGAAUACGAAAGUGAUAUAUUUUAAAUCAUAGGAUACUAAAGUGAGAAAGUGCGAAACCACAAAUAUGGUAUUUAAAGUUUUUUUUCAUUUUAUUUUAUAAAUUUGUUGUUACAGCAGUUGUUCCAUCUUGUUGUGCUUAAACAGCUACUUGACAAUGAGGAGCUCAUGGCGAGAGAAACUGCUCGGAUUCCGCUCGCGCGAAUCGGCGAGCCGGAGGAGGUGGCUUCGACGGUGGCUUUUCUCUGCAUGCCGGCGGCGUCGUACAUCACUGGCCAAGUCGUUUGCGUCGACGGCGGCCGCAGCAUCAACGGAGCUUCUUAGUGUCCUCCCUAGCUAGCAGGUUCAUGAAGCUUAUGUAGAAACUUAUACAGGUGUUGAAACUUUUGGAAGCGCUUCACAUAUAUAUAGAAGCUCCAAGUGCAUAUAUACAUAUAAUAUAGUUAUGUUGGAUGUGUAACUUGUGUUACUCUUCAAAGUGUAUCUAGUUUGCUUGUAUAUGUAACAUUUUUUUUAUUGGAACCAUCCUUUUCGUGCUUCAAUCUUUAUCAUCAGCUUGUUUUAGUUUUUAUAUCAUGGUAGAAGGAAAAAAAAAAAAAAAAGAAAAAGAAGGAAAAAUGGACAUCUAAGAAGUUUGAAAAUGGUGUAAAAUUAUCUGAAUAAUAAUAUAUUUCUAUUGAACAUCUCUAGAUAUAGGUCUAGAGCUUUAGUGUGCAGAAAUUUUCCAAAGCUCUAGUGUGCAGAAAUUUUCAGCACGACAUUUUGCCCUGUCUGAAAUGAUCUCCACCGUUGGAUCCAGUUCUCGAAAUUAUCCCUCAAACUUUAUUCAUUUUGUUUGACAUUCUUUCUAAUCUUUUUUUUUUUUUUUUGAACGUCACUAUUUUUGGUCGAUCAUAUUAAAAUGUUAAUUAAGUUACUAUUGAUUAGUUUUGUUGAAAUUAAUAGUUUUAGUUACUUUCAAUAGAUAAAUUUGUAGUAAUUAAGAACCAAAAAUUAAUAGGAGUAUCAAAUUUAAUAAUAUCUUUAAUUUAACCGAUCGAGUAUAACAAUUUAAAUAAAAAAUAGUUGAGUAAGUGUGGGUCGAAAAAUUAUAUACUCAAAAAAGUCUAUUUCAAAAUGGCCUGUAGCUGAGGGAGUUCUCAGUGAAUUUGAAUUUUUUUGACCAAAAUUAAAUAGAAAAUCCUUCCAAAUAGCAUAUGUUGCUCCUUAUGAAUUUCUAACUUGAUAAAAUAUUUUAAAACAACAAAAUAUUAAGAGACUUAAAAUUUGAAAACGAAAGGGAUUGAUGCGGUCAUCGUAUGUGUUUAGCUAAGGGGGCAUUUGGUUUGGCGUAAAACGAAUUGAAAAAUUAACUUUGGUAUGAAAAAUACUUUUUCGCUUAUUUGGAUCGACGUAAGAAUAUUUUUUCGUAAAAAUAUUUUUAUAAAUUUGGAAAAAAAAAUUAAAGUUUUCAUCUUUUACUGUUUUUCGGCGGAAAAUAAAAGUUCAAACUGGAUAAAACUUUUUUCAUUCAUUUUUUUUCUAUCGAACCAAAUAAACAUAAAUUUUUUUUCUUUUCAAUCAAACAAAUAUCGACGAAGAACUAUUUUUUUUCCUACAAACUAAAUAAAUACUAUAAAACAUAAUUUUUUUUCCAUUUUUUUUUUCUACGAAAAAUUAUUUUUUUUAUGAUUUUACGUCCAACCAAACAAAUAAACCUAGUAACAGUGGCCUGAGAAUGCACACGCGGCCGUAGUAUGUGUUUAGCUGAGAAUGGGUAGGGAAUUAGGAAUAAAUAUGUGGCCGUAGCUGUAGCUAAUAAGUGUGGUGCUUUUCUAAGAAGGCCCACUGUGUUAAGUGUGACAGAGAACUGUGAACUUCUUCCAGUUAUUAUAAAUCAAAACCUAGCAAAGAAAAGGGAAAAAAAUAAAAAAAAUAAAUAAAAAGAAAUUGGAGGAAAAAUUAAGUGCAUGCAUUUUUAAGAGAGAGAGAGAGAGAGAGAGAGAGGAUGGAUUGUAGUAAGAGAGGAGAGAGAUGGACACUUGCUGGAGCAACGGCUCUGGUCACAGGAGGCACCAAAGGGAUUGGGUAUAUUAUAUUUAGUAUAAACUCAUAUAUAUUUUAAUGUUAAAUUUGUGUUGUCAUUGGCUUAUAUAUUUGCUUGUUUAUUCACUAGUCUCCUUUUGGAACUUUUGUGUGUUUCUUUAUCAAAACCUGCACUUGUUUUCCUCUUUAAUAAGAGAAGUAGAAAAAUAAAGGAGAAGUUGAUUUUAAGCUUUGUGAAGAACUAAGGAAUGAUUAAUAUAUGAAGGGGCAAAAAAUUCUGGACAACUUGGACUUUAGUGUGAUUGUAAAUUGCACAAAAAGAAUUGAAAAAAAGAAAGUUUAGAAGGGUGAAAUUUAAUAUGCAAAUAGUGGAUUUGGUUCAAUUAACUAUCUUGCCUAAAUUUAUAUAUAUUAAAUUCUCUAAUAAGUCCCAUCAGUAGUUAAUUUAUUGUCACAUAAUGAUGAAAGAUUUUUCAGGCUCUCACUUAAGUUAGAUUAUUGUUCACUGCAUGAAAUAUAAGCUUUGGAAUUAUUAAAAUAAUUUAAAAGUAUUUUUCUCAUCAUGUUUCUCUCAUGUACUUAAUUUUCUCUAACGAAAAAAGUUCUAAAUCUUCUUUUGGUAAAAGGGUUUGUCGUAUGUUACAGAAACUAAUACAAACAGGCAUUUAUUAAAGCCUAUAAUAAACCUUUUUUUUGUCUAUUCUUGCUUAAUUUCAAGGUGAGGAUAAUCUUAAAUUUGUGGGGAAUAAGGUAUAAUAUAUCGAUAGAGGGGCAAAAAGUCAUAGACCCACAUGAACUUUCAUGUGAUUGCAAAUCGCAAAAAGUAAAGAAAUAAAGAAAUAAAUAAAUAAAAAGUUGAGUUUCCUUGCAACAAAAGUUCCAGAUAUGCCUUUUUUUUUACUACUAUUUUGCAAAAAUACUUUGUUGCUGCUUCUUUUAAGUUAGAGAUAUGUUCCAAAAAUUGAUCCAAAUAGGCACCUUAAAAUCCGUAAUUAGCCUUAUUUGUCUAUUCUUGAUCAAUUUAAACUUAUAUUUAUUUAUUUUGAAUUGAAAAUUUUUAUGUAGGCGUGCCAUUGUUGAAGAGUUAGCAGGAUUUGGCGCGACAGUGCAUGCAUGUGCUCGAAAUGAAGCAGAUCUUCAAAAUUGCUUGAGGAAAUGGGAGACGAUGGACUUAAUAAAAGUCACCAGGCAAUCGGUGUGUGAUGAAGUUCCUCUAAGAAACGAAGAGAGAACUAAAUAGGAAAGUGUUCAAUCCAUUUUCCAGGGAAAGACUCAGCAUACUUGUAAGCAAUAUAAGAAGUCUUACCUAAUUCAUGAUCUAACGCCCCUGCUUUUCAUCCUCCUCUAGAGGAUCAUCUGAUUGUAUCACUCCAUGUAGCUAAGUUUAUCUUCUAAAUGGAAUGACGGGUCAUAAAGAAGCGAAUGCUAUAUUUUUAUCAUCAAAAAAAAAAAAAAUCUACCUAAUUUAGUAUGCUUAAAUAUGACAAGACAUUAUAUAUUUGAUCUAUGAAAGUUAAUCAAAAGUUAGAAAAUGCAUCGAAACGCAAGUCAUGUAAUUCGAUUGCAACUCUACUAAAAUAGAUAUUGAUAGCUGUUAGUUAUGGGCCCCUCUGAUAUCUUUAAUUAAAAAAAAAUAGACAAACUAGGGUCUACUAUUAAUUCAAACAAAAAGAUGGUUUGUUUUGGUUUCUCUUUUUCCUAGGUUAAACACGCAGGGACAGGCUAUAAAUCAAAGCCAACUAACAGACGUAAAACAGCCUGAGGACUACUCUUUAAUGAUGACGCCACCCAACUUUGAAUCUCUUCGUUUAAGCCAAUAGCCCACCCCCUUCAUUAAGGCGUCCGGAGAGGGGUAAUAUUGUACUUUAUAUAAUCCUCCAUUGGCAGGACUCGUUAAGGUUCCCAUAUUAUUCUCCGUUUAUAGCGCAACUAAAGGACUACGUAGAAGUUUGAAUUCACAUUCAUUGAUAUUAUGAGUAAAAUUUGAUUGUUUUAGAUAAUUUGAAAUGUUAUUAACUGUACCCUUCUAUGGAUUUUAUUGAUCAGGAGCAAUGAAAUCAAGUCACAAGAAACUUGGGCCUGCGAGUGGGCGAAGCGAAACACAUACGCGUUAAACCUGUGUAAGCUCAGGGCACAAUCAAAACUCCGGCUCGCAGCAAACAGGUUACGUUCUCAGAACUAUCGUUUUUAAGAAAAACGAUUUACAUUGUUCUGGUUUUACUCCGAAGGCUCUACUUAUGUUAGUGAAUUGUUGAGACAUGAUCCUCUUCUUAGUAUUCUCGACAGCUGCUUGAACAAUGAGGAGCUCACAGCAAGAGAAGCAUUCCCUGAUUACCCGCUCAGGCGAAUUGGCGAGCGGAGGAAGGUGGCUUCAAUGGUGGCUUAUCUUUGCAUGACGCUGCUUCGUAUAUCACGAGCCAAAGUCAUUACUGCGUUGACGGCGGUCGGAGCCAUCAACGGUGCUAUGACCCAAGUGUAGAACUUACAGGUGUAUGAAGCAUAGAAUUAGUUCAUUAUAAAUAAAUAUAAUAUAUAUAUAUAAUAAAUAACAUAAUAUAUAUACUAUACUAAUAUAUAUAUAUAAGUUAUAUAUAUAUAAAUAUAUGUAUGAAGCUAGAAUGCUAUUGAUCAGGCAAAACGAACUUUGUUUGUCCACCCCCAUCUUAUUUUCAGAUGAUGGACAGCCUCCAAAUCCGAUGAAUACCAGGUACCUACCAAAUUGAACAUGACGUACUACCACUUGAAGUGGUUCUAGAAAAUCUAAUUUCAUACAUUAUUCGAUAAUUAGUUCUCUUUCCUCGAGUGGACACAAAAAUAAACGAGCUGAAAUGCAAUAUUAUUUAAAAAAUGAUGAUACAGACGUCUUGUAAUCAAGAAUCAAAGUAUAAAUCUUAUUUUUAAAUAGUUUAAAUGUAUUUAUUUAACAAAAUCUAAUUUACAUUUGUGAUAUCUUUACGCCAUUAAAAUGAUGAAACGUCUAACCUAUAUCGACCCAUCUAACAAUUAAUAUAAAUUUUUCCGAACACCUUCUUAAUCAAUUAAACCACCUUACGACAAAACAACACAAAAAUUAAUGUCGCAAUUCUGAAAUUCCAUCAAUUUCUAAACCUAUCAAGUGUAAUAGAGAUCACUGCUUCCCCAUAGCUCGCGAUCGAUCCGCCCUUCUAGAUGCCCUCCUCCACAUCGAUCCGGAAAACAACAUGGAACUGCAGCACCACAGAGCUGUUUCUCCCUCGCCUCAUUUCUAGCUCAAAUGUAUCUCAUAGUACCCACCCUACAUAAACCCUCCCUACUCACCCUCACCCACUCCACAAAUACUAUACACAUAAUCACCGUAUCCUUAUAUACUAUAUAGAAAGCUCAAAAGAUAAUAGUAUGUGGUUGGAUGUGUUUUCUUAUUCACUUUAGAUGUAUUUCAAAUAUGCAGCGUGCUUGUAGUUAAGAAAGUGUCGUUAUUCAAAACCGGGGUUGAACUGCAGCAGGAGUGAAGUUUGGUGCUUGUUUACAUUCUCUAAUAAAUUAUUAUUUGUAAGAUGAUGAUCGACUUAAAUUUUAGUGCAUAUUGAUAGAAUUUAAGAGUAAGUUUGCAUAAGAUUUGACUUAAUAGUUAAAUAAAUAAAUUAUUCAUGCCUUAAGUAGCGCAUGAAGAAGUCUUAAAAAUAUUGGUUGUUAAGAUCAAAGCAACCACUCAGAAACUGCUUAAUACUACAGGGCGUAAAUUUUCUCAAGCACUAGUACGCAGAAAUUUUCAGCACGACAUUUUACCCUGUCAUCGUUAUAGCUACAAUUGGAGAAAUAAUUGUUUAUGCCAAACGAACAAACGUAAGUAAUAUAAAACAUGGGUUGAACAAGCAUGCAAAAAAGUCCUAAAACUAAUGGUUGUUAUGAUCAAAGCAGCCAUACAGAAACUGCCCAACAUUGUGGGGUGCAGAUUUUCCGCUGCCCCAGCAUGCAGAAAUUUUCAGCACAACAUUUGACCCUGUCAUUACAUCAUCUACUGAGAAGUGGGAUCAUUCUCCACCAACAGAUGCAGUUUUUGCCGAAGCUUAUAACAACAUGACCGCCGCGUGGUACGAAAAGAAAUGUGAGACCGUCAUUUCAACUUCAACCAAAUUACAGAUCUCCUAAUCUUUUAACUACAGUGCUAUCAGAACACUCAAAAAUAUUUAAUUUCGUCAUAGCCGCAUGCCAAUGAAAGGAUGGUUGAUUGAAAUAAAUAAUUGUCCAUCCAGUAGAUUUUAAGUUUUGAAUAGAAAAGUUGAAGAAUAUAAGCCAAAAGACAGAUCAGUUGGUGAAUUGGAUUGCCGACGGGAAAUACAUUCAUCAUGCAGGCGAAAUAAGCAAACAAAACCUCACCUCCUUUCUAGGUUGCCAAUCAAGACAAAUUUUUAUGCCUAUUCUUUCAUUAUCAAAACAAAGGAACAUCAGGCACAUUUAAAACCAAAAUCCAAAUGCCCUCAGAAGUGCUUUUGAGAUGUGAGAAAGCUAGUAGGUACCUUCUUCAAGAAUUUACAGUUGCUUCAUUUCUUCCCCCAGGGCCUUUAGCUUACGGUAACCUUUGUCGGUGCCAAAUAGCCUGUUAUAGAGACCAAGGAAAUAAUGAAAACAGUUAUAAAUUGGAAAAAGAAAUAAAAAAUACCUAUAUCUUGCCUCUUGGUUUUUUCACAGGCAGUGCAGAGGAUUUUAGCUUUUGCAGGACAUAGAGCAUUAUGUUGGUUAACGUAAAUCAUUUACAAUGAAUUAGGUAUACUUUCCAACUAUGCCAUUGCAACAUGAAGCAACCAACUUUGCUUGGCUUCUAGAACACAAACUGAAGCAGCAAUUCAACGUGUGAAUAAUAUGUGUGGAACUUUGUUGGCAAGCUUUUCAGCCACAAGAUUAAAAGCUCCAAUUUAAAGCUUCUCCCGCUGCAACAGGAAGCUUUUUUUAAAAAAAUAUGGUUACUUGGUAUAUAGUUGGUGAUAUACUUUUGGACAAAUUUCAAAUGUGUCAUUCACAAGCUCGACAGUGUCAUAUGUAUGUCCCUCAACAGUUUUUAUUAAUACAAAGGCAAUUAUGAUAUUUUAAGCUUUGUAUGGCACCUAGUUAUAUAAAUUAUGGGUGCUAGUGGGUACAAAUGAAAAUUUUUCUAAUUGUUUAGAUCUGGACUGAUAGUUCUAAGACAAUAAUCAAGGCUGCAAUUCAUCCAAUGAGCUGGGCCUUUGCUUAAUUCUUACCAAUUUCAAAAUUUGUUCAACUGGGACCAGAUUGAUGACUUCAACUACAUCAGUUAUCUUACAUGUACAUAUUAGAAAACUGAUACUCACCAGUCCAUGUAGAUAAAAGUAGACGCGUAGUUUCCAGAUUUUGUAUAAAGCACGCGAUGGUGGUAGUCAUGAAAGUCGGCACUGUAAAAGCAAUCGUCAAGUGUGAGUGAUGAGAAGUACAAGAACAAAUGGACAAGAGGCUUCUACAUAUAUAUAUCCCCGUAAAAUCUGAAUUUUCAAACUCACCUGUUCAUUUUUCUUACAAAAAAUGCUAUUUUCUUCCAAUUCAUGGGGAAGAGGCUUUGUAAUUCCGUAAGUACAAUAACGUAUAUUUAAGAAUUAAGAUUUUAAGAGUCCCGGUGAAAACUCAAAUUUUGCAGGGAUGUAUGUAAAUACAUAACUUUACUGGGGAAUAUAAGUCAUUGGUAACAUGAAAAGAGAAAAAAAUGAUUUAGUUUGGCCUCACCCUCCAUACAACGGCAAGAAAUUUGAUGGGCUCCAUGGAAAGUGGUACCCGCUGUGAGCUUCAACUGUUUCCAAUACUCUCAACACCAUCCAUAGCCACAAAGUUAAUAGGUGAGGGCCGGUGAGAGCAGGCCCUAUAACGGUAGCAAAGCCAAGGAACAGUAUUUCAGCAGGAUGGGCAUACUCUGAGGUCAAUCCAAAAGGCGUAGCAUAUCUGCAUGUAAUUUGUCAAUUAGUAAUAAAGAAGAGAGGGCCUUAAUAUCUAUAUCCCUGUGCAAAUAUAUAUUACAUAUAUCCUGCGAAAGUUGAAUUUGGUUGUCCCUCAAAUGUGGGGAAGUUGGUUUUGUAUUAAAAAAUGUUUCUAAAAGGGGGUCAUUUGCAAUUACAAUGGUAGGAUAUUCAAUUUUCAGGGAUUUAUAUAAACAGAUAAUAUCCCACAGUGCAUAUGUAUAUAUCUCAAUAAGAAAUAAAGGAAUCAUCUAUGAGGCAAAUAUUACUUACUCAUGAUGAACACUGUGAACAUGCUUGUACAGCCAUUUUGUGUGUAACACUCUGUGGCCCCAGUAAAAUACAAAAUCCUCCAAGAUGAAGUAGAAAAGAAUUUGAGAAAGGAUAACAGUCCUACAGGAACAGAUGAUUUACAUAGUUUUAAAAUGUCAGCAAGCAUUUACAUAUACCGAAUCUCAUAGUUUAGAUAUUUAGAUAUAUAUGUACCCCUACAAAAUAUUUAUGUGUAAAUAUAGACAUAAUCUGAUUCUUCAUUUACUCCCAUCAAAAACUUAGUUUCUUUUCUUUUUCUUUUUUUUUCUUUAUAAAAACUUAGUUUCUUGCACAUGCCUUAUUAGAAAUGCCUCUCUGCAAAAACAUUUUCACAAUACAAAAUAAAAGAAGAAAUGAUACAUCUAAGGGCGUGUUUGGUUCGAAGUCGGAGUCGAAAUCGGAAUCGGAAUCAAAAUAAGCUGGAAUCGGAAUCGGAAUGACUCAUUACCUAAUUCUGUUUGGUUUAUCACCUGAAUAGGAAUCGGAAUAAAUCAUUCCCAUUAUCAGUGUUUGGUUCAGGUGGAUAUAAAAAACGUAAUCAAAUUAAUAUACUAACAUUAUCUUUAUAAUAUAUUAAUUUAAAUUCAAAUUAAAAAUUAAAUAUUAAAAAUUUACAUCAAAAUUUUGAAAUAAUGUCAAAAUUUUAAAUCUAUUUUUUUUUAAAAAAAAUUAAACUUUGAAGUUGAGUGGAUAAUUCAAAAUAUGAAACUAAAUUUUGAUUUAUUCAAAUUCAAACUUAAAAUUACAAUUUAAAUUUUAAUUUGAAUCCAUAAAUUUAAUUUAAGUUUGAAAUAAAAUUUGAAUAAAACUUUAUAUAAAUUAAAAUUUAAUUUAAAUUCAAAUUCAUAAGUUAGAUUUGAAAUACUUGAUUAAAUUUUAAUUUUUAAUUUAGGUUUAAAUUAAAAUUUAAAAUUAUAUAUUUAAUUUUUAAAUUUUAACUCAUAUUUUAAUUAAAAAAAUUGAAAAAAUAAAUUUAAUCCGAAUAAAUAUCCAUUCCGUCCGGAUUCAACUUUCAAUCCGGCCUCCUAGACCGGAUUGAAAAAGAGGUGAUUGGGGGAUUCCCAUUCCACUCGGGAAUCGGAAUCGGAAUGGGACUCCUGCGUACCAAACACCCACAAACGGAUUUACCCAUUCCGAUUCCGAUUCCAGGGUGAAAAAAAUGCGAACCAAACACGCCCUAAGAGUAUGAACAAAAUUUCAGAUUUACAUGGGUAUAAAUGAGCAUAGAAUAACUUUGCAAAGAUAAACCAGUAAAAUCCCCUUCACUCAUAUUUAUUUACAUUUUGAUUUCAUGUAUACAAUUAUAAGCAAUUUUUUUUUCUUUGAAAUUUCUUUUGUUAAAGGGCAGAUUUAUAUGAAACGAGGGAAUUUUCAUAUGAAUAUUGAAUUGAGAGUUGAGAGUUUCUGAAAAGUAAGCUGGGAGUACCAAUGAGGCAAUGGGAGACUGCUUUUAAGGCCCAUGAAUCUGAAGGUGGGAUAGGAAACAAUCAUAACUGGCAAGUUCACGCAUACGUGGUACAGAAUUAGCAGCAGAACACAUCUAUCUUGUGAAGCAGGAGCAUUGCUCUUUUUCUGCAAACAAAACACAUGUUUCUCUUAAAAUGUAAAGAUGAAAGCCAGAAUUUUGUGCAAGAAAAUGCUAGCUACUGAAAAAAAAAAAAACAACAAGAGCCACUUUCAGCAGUUCAUCUAAGCAAACCUGAAUUUUGUAUUUGCUGAAAAGCCCAGAUCUCUCGAAGUAUAAAGAUGGAAGGCCCGAUAAGAAGAAGACACUUUCAUGUAUUAUGAAAGUUACCACAGUAGCCAAUUGAAAUUCACUGAAAUGAGUUAUCAGAUACUGCAACACCAAAUUUAAAAAGGGUAUUAUGUCUAAUUCAUAGCAGCUAGCAGGUAAUAAAGUAGCAGUAUAUACAAAAUCAUACAACUGCAGAAAAUUAUCAUUUUUUGAGGAAAGUAAUUUAUUAGACAUUUUAUCAAUUUUCUCUGAGAUGUUUCCGUAUUACUUUUUCAGUAUAUUCUAGUGCUAUUUUCUUGCUUUGAAGUUUAAAUCAUGUCUUAAAAAACAGCCAUGUCCUGAAAAUCAUCAUAAAUGCAAUAAGUAAUUAUAUAUCAAACCAAGUCCAGUAACAUACCUGAAAUAUCAGACCUAUCUAUUUCAUUAAGCCAAAAAUGUUCCAACUGUUUGCUCCAUCUUACUAUUUGAUAGGUCUAGCUGGUUUAGUCAACUCGAACUAAUAGAUUUUUCAUUCUUUACAUGAGAGAUCAGUAAUCUAAAUAAACUGAUGGCAGCAUUAGGACCCAUUGCAGGUAUCAUAUCAGAGAUCGUCAAACCUCUUGAAGACACUCCAACUAUCAAAAAGCUAUUAUACGAAAGCACCGAAAUCUAAGACUAACAGAACAGGAAACCGUCAAACAACUCAAAAUCACAAACUCACCAUCCAUUUUCACUUUUCAAGUUCUUGACCACCACAGAGAUAUCUCAAUAUAACUUUAAUAAAAUAUUUAGUUCUAAGGAAUCAAUAUAAGAAGCUACUUUACUAAAUCCUUCUCAUCAAGAAGAACUCCAAAAUCACAUCUCUCAGUAAGAGAAGCAAGUAUCAAUCAAUGUGCCCAAAAUGCAUACAAAUCUUUUUACAAACGAACACAGAUAAAACAGAGAGAGGAGUAUAUCAUAGCAUAAUUGUAGAUCUGACCAUGUUCCUGUGAUUCAGGUUCUAAUCUCUGUAGCACUACAAACCUGCAUUGGAAUUCAGCGAAUGGAGUAGAUCAACAAGUAGCUUCUCGCUUACCAAUUUCUCAAUUAUAGACUAAACACACCAAUUUAACUUCUAGACAGCCCUAAACACCAUUAUUACGAUCUAGAUACUUCUAACAACAAAUUUAAGGGACCUACUGAACACAAAGAGCUCCAUAACCACAGUUAUUGAAGGAUAUGAAUCCAUCUAAUGAUCUUACAAACAGCAGAUGAAUCCAACUGCAAAAAACACAAAAUAACAUUCAUAGGAGUCUCCAGUAUCACCCAAAAACCAUCAAACAACUCAGAAUCACAAGCUCAGAAUCCAUUUGUGCCAGAGUACCUUCAUUGUUACAUUACCCGCACCAAUAUAACAACUAAAAGCCCAAAACACCAUUAAUACGGUCUAACUACGAACGAAACCUACAUUAUUGAAUCCCAAUGAACAAGAAGAGCUCCACAAUCACACUUCUGAAGGAGAGAAGACUCCAUCUAAUAAUCCAAAAUGCAUGCAAAUAUAAACGCAAAGAACACGAAUCAAACAGCUAGAGCAUCCAUUUUCGCCCACAAACCACCAAAAUAAAUUUUCCUCAAAAAAAAACAAAACUCCAAAAUAAAUUAAACCGCAAGGUCAAUCUAUUUUUGCCUUCUGAUUCAUUGAUUGUUACACUGCACGCACCAAUCUAAACAAAUAGAAGACCCGAGAAAACUACGAACACGAUCUAAAUCCUUCCAAUGGAUCAGUAUAAGAAGCUACAUUACUGAAACCCAAUCAACAAAACGAGCUCCAAAAAUCACAGCUAGCUAUUAAGUCCGAUCAGGAAGAACACAAAUCAAGCACCUAAAAGAGCAUCUCAGUCCGCCCAAAAACCAUCAAACGAAUCUAAAUCCCAAGCUCAAUCCAUUUUUGCCUUCCCAUUCCUCGAUCCUUACACUACACGCACCAAUCUAACAACUACAGAGCCCAUAAACACCGAAGACGAUCUAAAUCCUUCCAAUGGAUCAAUAUGAGAAGCUACAUUACUAAAGACUAAUCAACAAAAACUGCUCCAAAAUCACACCACUCGGAGAAGAGUAGAAUCCACCAAAUCUACAAAAAUGCGCACGGAUUCGAUCGGAAAAGAGCACGAAUCGAAGAGCGAGAGGAGUCGAUCGUUACCAGCCACCCGGAUUCGAGGAGAGACGCCAUGGAUUUCGCGGGAGAGGGGAGGUGAAGGCCACGAGAGCCCGACCGAGGCGAUCUCACCGAUAUUUAGAGGCGAGAUUUAGGGAGGAGAGAGAGAGAGAGAGAGAGAGAGAGAGAGAGAGACGAAGAGACAUGAGAGGUGGUGAUCUGUGCUGCAGGUAAUUUGAAUACGACGGGUACGCAUAAGCCGUCGCCAGGCUGUCGUUGGAAAAUUCAUUUUGUGGACAAUGUCUGCCACGUCGUCACAUCGACCACUUAACAUCAAGUCUUUACUUUUCUCCUGGUUUUUGUUCAAACGUUUCCUUCAAGUCCCGGUCACUUUCUAACUAAAAUUUUAAUGUAAUCGAAAGCGAAGUCUCCUAUUGAAAGUUUGCUAUGAUCAGAACCUAGUACUAGAGUCCACAAUAUCUGCUAGUUUUUAAUUCUAGUGGUUAAAAUUUAGAAAAAACUUCAAAUAUCUUUUUUUUUUUUUUUUNAUCUUUUUAUUAUUGAUUUUAUUAAUUUUUUUGUUAAAUCAGUAACAAAGUUAAAGCUAAAAGGUACUAAAGUGAAUAUUCAAUAAAUCUAUAUCGGGUAUCUGAAAUUUUUUGUAUAUAAUUUAACGAAAUAUUAACAAAAAAACAAAUAAAAAGAUAAAAAUAAAACUAUAGGACACUAACUUGAUACACUUUAAACCAUAUGGUACUAAAGUGAAAAAAGUGCGAAAUCACAGCCACACGGAUGGUAUAUGAAGUUUACCCUAAAAAUUAUAGUUAGAUAAACUAUUGCAUGGAGUUCAAUGCUAUUUUAGCAAAUAAUAGAGUUUUACAUGUUCUGCCAAAACAAAGAUCCACAUAGGUUCUUAUCUUUUGACAAAAUAUAUGCUAACUCUACUUAUUUUAUAAUUUUAUUUAGAUAGUAUGCACUCGCAUCUUAGAGAGCGAAAUUCAAGAUUCUAAUGCAGCUACGAAAUAUGGGGCAAUGGGUUGCAUAAUAGAUAAAAGGGGCAAUUUCAUGACUACCCUUGUAAAAUUUAAAAAUAUCAUAAAUAUUCUUUAAAAUUUUAAAUUUUCAUUAAUAUCCUCUCAAACCUCAUAAACUAUCAUAAAUUCCUUAUUAUCAUUCUCUAUUUGCUUUUGUUAAUUUUAUAAGGUAAAAUGACAUUUUUAUCCCUAAUUGUUGGUGAGUAAAAGUGUAUGGAGACCCCUCACCUAUAGGUAUAUUAUAAAAUAGAGCCCUUCAACAUUUUUUUUUUUAUUAAGGCCUCUUAAGCUUUUAGUUUUUUUAUUAGGUUUUUGCACGUAGUAAAAUUUCUUAAUCAAGAAAUCUCAUUUAUUGAUUUACUAUUUUUUUUUAAAAAUUUGCUUAAUAAAAAUCACUCAAUUGUAAAAAGAAAAUAAAAUUAAGGAGGUGUAAAUAAAAAAAAUUAAAAUUAAAAGUCGUUCAAAUGGCCUAUUGGUGAAAAAAACUUUGCGAACUUUCAUUUUAUUAUAGAAAAUGAAUUUUAUAUGAAUGACACAUAAAAAAUACUUUACUAUCAAAAAUUUUGACUAUCUAUUUUUUUUGUGUAAUGUAUGUAAAUUAUUAUACUUAAAUAGAAUUAAAAAUAAUUAACUCUUAAGGUAAUAUUGAAUACUAAUAUUGACAGUUAUAUAUCAUAAUAAACUAUAUAAUUUCAUAGCCAAAAAUUAAAAAGGAGCAUUUUAUAUUUAGUAAACCAUAAAUAUUUUAUUAAAAGUUUUAAAAAGUAAAAUUUAGUUAGUAUGUACAGUUCAAAAUUUAUAACCAAUCAUUUAAAUAACUUUAAAUUUUUUUACUGUUAAAUUGAUAUUAGGGGGAAAUUUGGUAUUUAAAAAUUAAUGGAUAAUGCUUUUUCUGGACUUUAACCUGAAUUGAUAUUUAGAAGGAUAUUAGUGAUAUUUUAAUUUUAGAGGAGCAUUUGUGAUAUAAUGGCCUCUAAGAGGGGCACUGGUGAAAUUUUCCUUAGAUAAAAGUAGAGGGAUUGUCGAGAAAUUUGACCAAAAUCAGUGGGCAACAAAGUUGAUUUGACCUGUGCGGUCUAUAGACCGGGUUCAGGCAAUGACAUUCGUUAGUUGGUGUACGGUCCAGGGAGUCCUCGUGGAUCGGGCUCGUUUUAACUGUAUCGUGUGAAGCUCGCACGUGUCUCUCUUUGUCCCCAUUCGUUCCGGCGCAUAUGCGAUUCUGUUGCCAAGUGGAGAAGGACCGAGUUGGGGCCCACGCGCAAUAUUCCUACACUAUAGCUUUUAAUAAUAAUAAUAUAAUAAUAAUAAUAUUUAUUAUUACUAUUGUUAUAUUUUAUAUACAUUUAAAAGUAAACAAGUCAUUUAUUUAUUUAUUUUAUUGCUGUUUUUGCGAUAACAAUAAAUUGACACCUUUACGUAUAGUCUAAUCUGUUUAAUUUUUUAAAAUAUUAUUUAUCUAAAAAAUAAUGUGAAUUUGAUGUCAUAAAUCAUAAAUUUUAGUUUCUAUAAAUUUCAAAUACAUUUCAUUAUAUUUAACAAUGGCGACCCACAAUUAAACUAACUUACGAUUAAUAAAAAUACGAAAGUAAAUAAUUCUUUUUACUUCUAUAAAUAUUUUAAUUUAGUUUUUAGUUUAGCUUUAUUUUAAGAUUACUAUAUCAGUCAGGCGAGAAUAUACUUGAAAGUGAACUGUCUUAUUUACUUGUGCAUCAUUUUCCGCAGGAGUCAUUCAAUUUAGCGAUCGGCGAAAAAACUUAAUCUACGCUAUUUGAACUUCUUAGAUUUGAAAAUUUGAGAUUUUAUGACAUUAUUCGUUAGUAUUUAAAUUGUCUCAAAAUUAAUAAAUUUUUAAAGCUAUUUAAGUUUUAAAUUAAAUAAAUAAUAUCAAAAAGUUAUAAAAUAUGAUUUUUAGAAUGUUCAAAUAGUCUAUAUUUAACUGUAAUGAUUGAGCCACGCCAGAUAAACACUUCUAAAUUAUAUGUACAUAUUAAAAUCCAUUCAUUUAAAGGCUCUCACUUUCUAUUUGUCUUAUCAUUUUUUUUCUUUUUUGACUAGAACUCAAAUUAAAGUUUUUGUGAAUUCUAAGAAAAAAAAUUAAAAUUUAUAUAUAGGUGCAUAUUUGUUCCAAAUAGAUAUGUCAUAGUUUCUUACUUUGACAGAAUGCAAAUAUCUAAAUUCACCCCUAACAUUUUUCAUAAUUAUACAAAACUUUAUGGUAGCUCUUUAAUGAUGCUUCAUCGGAGAGUUUUCGAUCUGCCGCUAUGUAUUAAUAUUGCCUUUAUUCAAAAAUUCAUAAGCUAUUUUUUAAUACAAUUUUUUUAAAAAAAUUAAAAAAUAAAUAAAGAUAAAAUUAACCGAUGGUAGCCAAUGGGAGCUCCAUAUGUGAUGUUUUUCCCGCCCUUCGUACAUGUGGGCUGAGUGGCCAAUAGAAAGAAAAUUUAAAAUGCAGUAGUCAUAUUAAUGAUGUGGUAUUUCCAACCAAUCAAAUUACUUUUUUAAAAUUCUUCUAUUUUUAUCAUAAAUUUUAAAAAAUUUUAUUAUAUUUUUUUAAAAAAUAUGAUUGAUUGGAUAUAAAUAAUGUAAUAUAGCUGUUACGUAAUAGACUUCUAUGGCCGGUAGGGUCCACGCCCACUAGAGUACGAAAAAAUUUAUAACGCACCAGUUAUAUAGUGAUUAAGUGAUGUAGCGUUCUCAAUCAAUUAAAUAAUUUAUUUAGAUUUAUCUAUUUCAUCAUGAUUAAAAAAAAAUAUUUUUAUUAUAUAUUUUUUUAAAAACAUGAUUGAUUUGUUUUUUAUGAAUGGACAUUCAAAGACCAACAUGUUAAUGAACCCAUUCAAAUAAAAUCACCUGAGGUUACAGCUCUUGGAUAUUUUAAUAUAUUUUUUGUUCUUAAUAUAUUUUAAUAAUGUACUGAUGAGAAUAUUUAUCUCUAAUGUCGUGCAUAUUAGUCCUCUAAUAAUAAUAAUAAUAUAUUUUUUUCCCUGCAAUGGCAAGUCAAAAGAAUACAUUAAUCUUGAAAGCAAAAGCUUCAAUUAAAAAAAUAAUAUUAUUAAUUUUGAGAGUUGUACCACGCAGCGCGGUGGGUAAUAUUCUUUGUAAAGGUGUAUACUGUAGUUAUUGUCAAAAGUUUUUUUUUUUCUUUUGUAUUUAUCCUACAGGGUUAAUUUUAUACAGAUCUAUAUAAAUAUAGUGAAUGAUAAAUAUAUUAUUACAAAAUUUAACUUUCAUGUAUUGGCUUUAUAAAAAAUUUGAUAUUUUUAAAUAUAUUUCUCUACUUUGUUACCGUUAGAAAAUCGUUUAUAUUUUCAAUUUUAACAUCACAAAUAUAUUCCUUUAAAAAUCAUAUCAGCAUAAUAUAAAAGAGUAAAAAUAUAAAAAAUUAAUCAGGAUUAAGUAUUUAAUUUAUGAUUAAUUAAAAUUUUCUAACGAAUUCUAACAACAGGGACAUAUUUGAAAAUAAUAAAACUUUUGUAAAAAUAAUAUAUAAAAGUUAAAAUUUGUAGUGAUAUAUUUGCUAUUUAUAUAGAGAUCUAUAUGAAAUUAACCCUAUACUAAAAAUAUUAUGUUGAUAAUUCUUAUCAUCUAACUUUUACUUGCGCAAAUGAGCAUAAUAUCACUUUCCUAAACAAAUAAGCUUUUUUUUCUCAGCAAAUGAGCACAAUAUCACUUCCCUAAACAAUAAAACUCAAAUGGCGUUUGCGUGUGAGUAUAAAAUCAAUCUUGCAAAUAUAAAUUUUGUGAGAUUAUUUAUAAAAAAAGUUUUUGAAAAAGCUAAAUGCAAAAGAAGCCCAAAAUAAAUUUUUUUUUUUAUGCCUUGCUUUGGCAAUGCAUAAUUUUUUAGCCUUUAAAUUAUUAGGAUGGAGGACCUAGAUUAACUCAUUUAAUGAUUACUAAUUUUUUGACAGGUAUUAUUGGAGCAAAAAAAACCUGCAUUUUUCGAGGCCAAUAAUUUCUCCCUAAUAAAUAAUUCCUGGACUUGGUCUAUCAUAUUAUUUGUAGACUAUAGAGUUAUAUCUCUAUAAAUAUUAUUUAUUUACUAGGCAAUAAUUUUACUCUGGAGGCAUGCAGUAAACAUGCGUGGAAACACCUCUAAACUAUAAAACAUUUUGAAAUAAAUGCAACUUUAAUUUUAUGUCAACGCUUCUUAAUUUAUAAUUUUUUUAAAAAAUUAUUUUGUGAGAUUGAUUAAACAUUAUGUAAAAUUAAAUACAUCUGUCAACUAUCAGAAUCCAACUAUUUUAAUUUAAUUUGCUAAAAAUAAUUAAAAUAUAUUUAUUUGAUAAAAUUAUCUGUAAAUUUAUUAAGAAUUCUACAGUUAUUUGAAUAAAAUUACUUAAAUUUGAAAAUUAAAAAUUAAGAGAGUAUAAGUAUGGAAGCACGAAGAUGAGGGGUCGAUCUCAAAAGAACACAUAGUCGAGGGGUCUUCCUACGUUUUUGUCAGUGAAUGUAAUGCCUAAUUUUAGUAGAAUAUUAAUUUUCUAUUUUAGAGUUGGAUGGUUAGACGUGUUUCUUUUUCUUCUACAUAAUAAAGUAUGAAAAUAAAUGCCUUAUUUUUUAUACCUUGCAGUGACAUUUAAAGAAUAAUUUUUUAAAAAUUUUGUUUUUCACUUAAAGUUUUUAUAUUAACCUUUUCUUAAAAAAAGAUUAUUCCGAUGGUCAUAAACUAAAAGUGAUUUAAUUCGUCGGCCCAAUGGGCUAUCCUAAAAAUAAAAAACAGCAAAAAUUUGCUAUGUACAUUUUGAGUAAAAAAUUAUAAAACUAGUAACGAGUAAAACAUAUUUUGCAAAUUAUAGUAGCUAUUAACAUCCAAAUAAAAUGUUAUAAAAUUUGUAAGAAGCACAAUAAAAAAAUAUCAUAUUUAUUUUUGUAUGUAAUAUCAUGUUGUGUUUAUCCGCUGCAAUAUAUUUUUUACGACCCAUUAGAAAAGACUGAAGUUUAUCGUUUUAUUUUUUUUGUCCGAAAUUUAUUUUUAGGCUAAAUUACAGAAAACUUCCCUAUGAAAACUCGAUUUUCACUUUCUCUCAUGUCAUUUAAAACCUACACUUUACCACUUGUAAAAUAAAAAAUGUGCACUUCAUUUUAUUAGUGAUCCGCUAGGGUUCUGUUAUAAUUUUUUUUUAUGCUAAAAAUAUCCCUCCGCUUUCUUUCUUGUUGCUUCGCCUUCCUUCGCCUCCACUGCCUCGCUCUUGCCUACAUCCCCGUCAUCGCCCACAAACACCCCUUCGCCCUCCUCCGUCGCCUCACCUACGCUCUCGUUGUCGUUAUCCACCUCUCCAUCCACGCCCACCUCGAUUUCCUCCUUGCUGUCGCCGAAAUCGAGGGUCGGCGAACGUGCAGGCGGAGAAGGGGAGCAGGUGGAGGAAAAAAUAGAGAAAAACCACGACCGAUCGAGGAUGCUGUUGAGAAAGAUGAGGGAGGAGACAAAAAUGGUGAGGAAAAAAAUAAUCAUUUUAUCAUCACAGUACACACCGUACCCCUUGUGAACAUUUUUUAUUUUACAAGGAAGUAAAAUGUAGGUUUUUAAAUGACAGAGAGGAAAAAGUGAAAAUCAGAUUUUGACAGAGAGAUGUUUUGUAAUUUAGCCUGAUUUUUAUUUAUAUUUAGACUAAGAUUAGAUAACUCGAGUAAUAUAUAUAUAUAUAUUUUUUAAUCUUCAGGAAAAUAAAAUCACGGCAAAUCGAACUUAAAACCGUCCAAUCGAUUUGUACUCUUCAAAAUCCACUCAAAUUUAGGUAUAAAUAAACAAAACUCUUAAAUUUAAGAUUUAGGAAUUUGAAUUCCUUGCCUGCGGAGUCGUCGCCAAGUCAAAAAGCAUUAAAUAAAGUAAGAAUGAAGGGAAAGCGAUGUCUAUAAAGCACAACCGACGAUCGUUUCCGAGCACAACGAUCUCGCUACGCAGAACCCUCUUGGUAAUCUCCGAUUUUCCCCUCAAUUUCUCCUUAUUUUCACUUUUGUUUGUCGAUCUGUAAGUGUUGUUCAUCGACUCGAUUGGCGAUUUCGCGUUUUCGCCGCGAAAAUUAGGGUUUAAACUAGGGUUUGUGAUUCAUCCUAGUUAGAGUGAGUGGUUCUAGUUUUAUUUCUCUCUCGAAUUUUGUUUUCCUUAGCUUAGUUGCAAACAGUGGGAGAUUAAGAAGAGAUUGCUCUUAUAUUUUUUGCGUGUUUUGAUCAUAGGAUUCUUAGUUCUCCUUUGUGAAAGGGACGAGUUACGUAGUUGAUGUUGAUUUAUAAAAAUCCAUGUACAUGUUUUAUUUUUGCAUUUAUAUGUACAGAGUAAACAUCGAGCACGAGCCACAGAAGGGGUAACUACAGUUUACUUGUGAUGGAUCUUCACCAAAACUACAGUUUAUAUAUGUGUGUGUCUGUAUAUAUAUAUAUAUAUGUGUGUGUGUGUGUGUGUGUGUGUGUGUGUGUGUGUGUGUGUGUGUGCAUAUCGAACUAACAAAUCUACAUUUGCCUUGUAUUCAUAUUCUCUUCUAUUUCCUGUUUCUUUGGAGCUAAUCCUGUUGAUUUUUUGUCUUGAGUGGCUUAGGUUUGCCCAUCAUGGAGUACUACAAUAUGUCCACCCGUCGGGUUUCAUAUGAUGUAUUGGAUAUCUGUCUCAAGGACAUCCUUUCUACGAUCAAACCCUCAAGUGAUGAUGAAAGAAAACGAAUGCACGCCAUCAGUGAGCUUGAAACUUGCAUUAGAUCUAUUGUGAUCUUGAAAGGUAAAUGAUAUUGAUUAAUGUUAGGGUCAAAUGAAUGGAUAGUCCCUGUACUAUCCUACCAGUUGGACUUCGUUCCUGAACAUUUCACUUGAACAGUUUAGCCUAAUCUUCCUCAUAUAUUGCAAUGCCAUUCUUGACCACUAAAAAAUUUCAUCCCUAAACUUUCUCACACAUUGCAACAUUUUUGUCCCUAAACUCUCUCUCGGGAAGUGGGUCGGUGGGUGGGGGAGCACACGCACGUUCAGGCAGGCGUGUGUGCAUGCAUCCUUACGUAGUUUAAUAACUUAUAUUUGUCUAAUUUCUGAAACAGGUGCUGCUGUGAAGCCCUUUGGAUCUUUUGUGUCAAACCUCUAUACUAGGUGGGGAGAUUUGGAUAUUUCCAUUGAACUUCCAGAUAGCUCACAGACACCAUUAAGUAGAAAAGGAAAACAGCAUGUUCUACGGAAUAUAAUGAGAGCUUUGCAAAGAACAGGUACUUAUUCUCUGUUGUUUGCUCGUUAUGUUGCUAAUUAACUAUCCCACAUUUAUUUAUUUUAUUUGGUGCAUUGUAGAAUUACUUCCUAUGCUGCCUGUCGCUGUUGAAGUCCUACCAAUUUCUUGUUUCCUUGUUACAAUUGUUGUCCUGAUCCAGUUUCUUCUUGCGCACAUUUAGGCAAUUAAUUUAAGCAAUUAUUUAUCAUAUUUUGCUGCACUAGAGUGACUUUUUAAUUUCUUUUCUGUUAGGUGUUGCUCAUAGUCUUCAAUUUAUACCCCUUGCGAGAGUUCCUCUGCUCAUAUGCAAAAGCACCUAUGAUGGUAUUUCUUGUGAUAUUUCUGUUAAUAACCGCGCUGGUCGAGUUAAAUCCAAAAUCCUCCAUUGGAUCUCUGACAUAGACACCCGCUUUCGUGACAUGGUUCUAUUGGUGAGCUUCAACUUGUCAAUAAAUUGAUCUGUGAAAUGUAUUUACAGUUCUUGUACUAUCCCGAUGUUGUAACUUGGUCCUUGUACUUCUCACUGUAGUGACUUAGUCCUUGAACUUCUUUAUUUAUUGCACUUCAAUCCCUGGCCAUUAAAAAUCUAUUUUCUUGUAAUUUGACCAUUUCAUUCCUCUCUGUAACACUCAAAACAUGGUUGAAUCGGUUAUUUUAUAGCGAAAAUCAACAGAUGUGACAAUAUUCUCUUGCUAAUCAGGGAUGGAAUUGAAAUAUAUAGAAGUUCAGGGACUAGGGUUUUUUGAGUGAGAAGUUCAUGAACCAAGUCCCAACAUUGAGAUACUACGGAGAAUAUCCAUAUAUUUUGUGCUUAAUAAUUUUCUAUUUUGUUUGUUAUUUUGUCUUUAAUCUAGGCUUGAUACUUUUGCAUGCAGACUAAAGAAUGGGCAAAAGCACAAGACAUUAAUGACCCGAAGUCGGGGACAUUGAAUUCGUACUCACUCUGUUUGCUAGUUAUCUUCCAUUUCCAGGUUUUGUUUCCAAUAGCUCAGUUGGUAGUUUGAUAUCCUUUUCAUUUUUCUCCUCGCAAAUAUUUGCAGCAACUUUUUAAUUUGGUACUUUUUGGAGACUUUUUCUCUUAUGCUACAUUUGAUGUAUUACUACAGACAUGUGAGCCUCCCAUCUUGCCACCUCUUAAGAAAAUAUAUGAAGGGAACGCUGUUGAUGAUAUUAGGGGUAUGUUAUGGGUACAUUAUUAAUGGGCUAAUUAAUGCAGGAAAUCUGCUAUAAAUAUCACAAUUCCUGUAUUGGCCCUAUGAAAUUUUAAAACCUGGUCUUUACUCCAUCAGCUUAUGAGCAUAGUGAUAGAUACUGGCUGCUCGGAGCACUAAUAAAGGAGCCAAAGAUGAAAUCUUCUAGUUUUUGUGGGGUAAUACACAAGUUUUAAUACUUCAGGGGAGAAAUAAAAAAUUGUGAUAAUUGAAGGGGGGUUCCUUGCAAUUUAGCCUUAUUAAUGCCUCAUUUUAUACUACCUUUCUGGAUGUGCUUUUGUAACAGGUCAUGCGUGUUGGACUAACUACCCUUUUAGUAUUUGAUAGUUUGUAUGUUCAUGGCUUAUCUGAUGUAGGAUUCGAGUAUAUUACUGAGAGACAUAUUGCGGAUAUUUGUGCUGCAAACAUAAGACGAUAUAAGUCACAAUAUCCCAUACAAAGAAACCGAAGCUCUCUUUCUGAACUUCUCAUGUCUUUCUUCGAUAAGGUAAUUUUAUCACUUGAUUUGCUGCAUUAAUCUUGGUGUUGCUGUAAUAUGAGACACAUAAAAAUGCACAAAUUUUCGGUUUUUGGGACUCUCUUUCUUUGCACUUACGGAGCCUUUCAUUCUUAUGCUUUCUGUAGUUCUCCCAAAUUGGAACUUUAUCUCUGGAAUAUGCGAUCUCCACUUAUACAGGCGGGUGGCAGAGAAUUAACCGCAAUCCAGUUUUGCUGGGACAACUUCCUAGUAUUAUGGUAAGAACUAUUCUUGAAACCUAUAAACAAACACAGUAAAUUGUGAAAUUCGUGAUAGUGCUUGUUUGGCCUUAUUUUUCCCUUUGUUUUGAGUUGUAGCGACCUUUUGUAGAGAACUUGGUAGACAAAAAAAGUCUAGAGCUUCUGCUGUUGCGGGAGGCUCAACUGACAUCCCAAAGCCCAAAUAUAGAUGCUCUGAAUUUGGAGCUUUGUGAUUCAGAGAGAAGCUUUUAGGGGGAUACUUAUGUACUGCAUCUCCUAAUACACUCCUCAAAUAGCUCUGUACUCUAUAGGCUUGUUAGAUCCUUUGGAGAAUUGCCUUUUGAUUAUGGUGGUUCGAAGAAGCCCUAGCAGUUUUUCCAUUACCGCUUGAAACACUCCUAUCUCCAAACGACUUCCACCUGUGCAACUAGAAACUUUAAAUUGGAGAUUUUGCUUCUUUGGGUCUAGAAUCGGAAUUUACCUUAACUUCCAUAGGGGCUUAAGGGCUGUUUUCUGUUCUUUUAUUUUUUUUCGGGAAGAGGGGGGUAAGUUAUGUGAUCCUUCUUCCGCGAUAGAAUCAGGAAGUUCCUUGUUAGAGCAAGUCCAUUGCUAACAGAGUUUGGUUAUAAAUUACUAACUAUGAUGCAUUGUUUAGAUUGAAGAUCCUUUCGAGCGGCCAGAAAAUGCUGCGAGAUCGGUUGGGUUUCUAGGCAAAAUAUCAGAUGCAUUCAGGGAUGCAUAUCACAAACUCUCCUCUCGGUCCAUGCUCUCGAAUCGCAACGCCUUGCUUGCACUUUUAACCAGACCUAGCAUAAGCACACAACUUAACGCAAGAGCACCGGAAAGAUCCACACCCAAGCAAAUCAAUCAUCAACAUUACAGGCACACUGGUACUGCAAAUCGGUUUAAAAACUCGGAGCAAAUUCAUGAGCGAUUCCGCAGUGCAUUGAGACUGGAGCAACAGGGGCCGUCUUCAUCAACAGCUGGCUAUCGAGAGGAGCGACGGAAGUCAAGAGUGAAUAAUUAUCGAGGCCAAGGUUAUGAAAUAGGGUAUUGUGGAGUUGCAUUUGCAGAUGACCUUUGAUGCGGUUUUGGGAGUACCAUCCUUCUUAUUUUGACUUGCCAUCUACACCCUCAAUCACAAAUUGCAGACCGAACUUGAAAAGGUUCAAAUAGAUUAUAUAAACUUCGUAAUUGUUUUGUUCAACCACACAGCUCUGAACUUUGUUUAUUUUUCUACAAAUCUUCAAUCACAUGAAAGUCAUAUAAUUCAAAUGCUUCUCUUUCAGCUGAAUUCUUAUAUAAUUUUAGAGAUAUUCCCGAGUCAUUUGGCUUUCAUAGGAUUGAAGAUUAUUAAGAAAAAUUAUCAAAAUGCAGAGUUAGAUGGUUGGUUGAACAAAUUACAAAGUUUAUAUCGUUUUAUUUUAACUGUUCAUUAAUCGGGCUGCAAUCUGUAAUUGAUCUACCGUCUUGAGGUUUGGCAUACCUUUCGUAAUUAUAUUUUAAGCUUCAACUUGUGUGGCGAUUCUAUUUGGUUGGGUAGUUUUAGAGUCGUACUCGGAUGGUGAUUUUGAACAGUUGUAAUGUGACUGCUUUUAGUAUCGUAAUGCAGGUGGUUUACCGUGUAAAUAAGGUCUAGUUUGGAAUAGUUAUGUUCAAAUGUACCAUUUUGUGCUUGGAAAAGUAAACAUUUUAAAAAAUAAAAAUCUACGAGUAUUUUUGAGUCUUUCCAAUAUUGUUGAUAUAUAGUCGGAACCGCCACAUCUAAGUAACUGUUGGUUGCUUCUCUAGCUGGCUGCUCUAUAAGUGAUGGUUUUAGUCUACUUAUUAAUCUUUUAAAAAAUAGUAGUACGUUAUCCAUUUCUUUUAUUUAUUUAUUUUUUAAAUUUAAUGCAAGAGUAAAGUAACUAAACGUCCAACUUAGAAACUUGAAUAUCAAAUAUCAAUUUUUGGCCGUCGGUUUCUGCUGCUAAUUUGUAGCGUCAAAAAGGGUAGUUUGCUGAAGUCGUAAAUUUUUAUUAAAUAGCGUGCGGAGACUGAUGCUGUUUAGAUUUAACUACUUGACAAAUUGUCCGUUUUUGUUUAAUUCAUGGUCCUGUUAUCCUGUAAAGCUAGACUUGCUAUGGUUUCUGAAUGUUCGCAGCACUCGCUAUUAUUUCUCUAGGAGCACAAUAGGAUUAGGAAUGAACUCUGCAAAAUCUCGAACGCUAUUUAAGUUGUGACCAUAAAAUCUAUUUGAAAGAAAGUCAGUGGCACUAAACGUCGUCCCAAGCUGCCUCGAUGCUUUUACAUGAGUUGCGUACCCAGAUUAAACUCGGUUGAAAUAGCGUACCAGAUUAAACUCAGUAGAAAUAUCAUAGCCUCUUCAGCUCGAUUCCAUUAAAAAAUAGUUGAGAAUACCAAAGUAAUAAUCAAUACAUGAAUAUAAUAUCACCUCUUCUUCCACUAGAAAGAAAUCAUCUAUUUUGAUUACCAAAAUGCCACGACCGAAGCUGAUAAACAACUACAAUUGAACAAUAACAUUACCACUGGCUACGACAAGCAUACAAACAAAAAACGUGAGAAUCGUCUGGUGAAAGCUGUAUUAUCCAGAAGCAGAACCUUUAUUAAACACACACUUUCAGAAACCUAUGUAUGUUGAUCGAAAGAACAAAAGCAACAGAAACAAGUUAACUUUUCGAAAUUAUCAUCACAAGAAAUAACAAUUCGAAACAAAAUGACAAACAGUUUACACUGUUAAAACCUGGAUCUCACAGCCCUACAAAUUUAUUGGCUAGCAGGGAGAUGGGCUAUCAAGCCUUUUUUCCAAUACCGUGGGACAUGUUGUAUAUCCCGCGCCCCUGUUCACCAAGUAAGAGAGAAUUGGAUAAACAUACUAAAAUCUCACGACCAACGUUUGGUUAUGCAUGCAGUUUUUACUUCUCUUUUAGUUUUGUUUCUUUUUAUCAACACAAAUGCUUUACGAUCUAAUGUGCUACCUGAUUAAGCAGAUUGUUUGGAAUCUAUACAUUAGUUUGUUUGAUCACAAAAAGUAAAAACUUGACUCAUUACCUUUUCUUGCUUCUGUGAUUUUUUUUUUUUUUUUUUGGUGGGCUAAAAAAAAAAAGGUUGAGUAUAUACAAGCUAACCAACAACUGAUGCAAAGUACUCCACCAGUUGAUAUUUAGUAGCAUAUGGUUUAAGUUUUUCUAAAACAAAAAAAACCUAAACAAUGUAAUUGUAGUCAGAUGAGACCCAAAUAAGGAUAAGAAAAAAAAAAUUUUAAAAAGAAAAAGAAAAAAAGGACUCACAAUGAGAAACAGGCUAGAGGCUGCCAGUGUAAGAGGAAUAGCAACUGAAGUGACCAUAUCAUAACGGCCUUUCAAGUAGGUGUGCUUGUGGAGGCUUUGGAAAUACUGCUGAUACUUUAGAAUCCUCUCCCUCGGCACAAAAGGUGGCUCCGACAUCCUGCAUUAGAAGAAUAUAAAUUUAGAUGAGAUCAAGCUGUUGUGUUUUACAGUCAUAGGCAUUAUUGUCAGAACUAUUGUCAUAGUGUUUACACAUAUACAUAAUAUAUCUUCUCUUGAAGAGUUCUAUAUGAAAUACUGUACAGGUACAAAUUAAAACAGUUUCGCUCUAAUUGAGAAUUAUUUGCCAUAUACGAGACAAGAGAACUUGAUUGCUGUGUGAACAAUAGGGUAUUAACCAAACAUACUAGUCAAGUCUCACAUGCUGCAACUUAAUAGAACAAAUACAGCUGCUUCUCUGAACUUCGAGAAUGGCUAAAUGUUGCCUUACAUAUCUAUCCAGUAAUCAUUUUACGAGGGAAAAUGAUUAUGGGUUAUAGAACAUCCAGAACACAUCAGAAAAAGAAUGCUAAAAUCAUAAGAUAUCACUAUUCAUCAUCAAGUAAAAUCCACUGGUCUUACACCAACAGUGACAGGAAUAGAAGAGUCAAUAAGUCAGUGCAUCCAAUCACGUAGUAUUAAAGUUAAAAAGAGCAGCAAUAGAAACAAAGGAGGUCCAAGGAAAAAAAACCCUUUAGCUCCAAUCCUCAAGGAAAUAAGACCACCUCUGCACUGCAAUAUUCUAGAACAUAUUCACAUGAUGCAAAGGCAGAAUCAAAUAGAACUAAACUGACAAAACUCUUAGGGGGCGUUUGAUUCGCACUAUGAACGAUUACUAGGAAUAAAAAGAUACCUAAAGAUUUUAUUCCUACUCAUCCUAUUACUAAGAAUGUGGCAGUCCGGUGUUUAAUUCGCACGAUCAUAUUAUUUAGUCACAUUAUUUAAUAUUACGAAAAAUAUACAAUUAAUGUAUUUGUUUCGUCAAUUAAUUUUAGAUAAUGCUAUCAAAAAUUUCACCAUCCUUUUAGAGAAGGAGAAAGAACAUAAGUUAGAGAGAGAAUAAUUAAAGAAAUAGGGAGAGAGAUAGAGAGAUAGAGUCAAGAUUAGAGGGAGCGAGAGAGUUGAGAUUUUAGAAAAAAGGGGAAGAGAGAGCUUAGUUUAGAGAGAGAAAAAGCGUUGAAGUUUAGAAAGAAAAAGAUAAGUUGAGGUUAGAGUGUAAAGAAAAACAAUACCAACUAGCCAACGGGUGGGAAGAAAGAAAAAGAUUAGAAAUAUUAUGAUUACCCCAAUUCAUUAAUAUGAGGAUAUCGACCCUCUCUCGUUCAAAGGAAUGAGAUUAGUAGUUUUGGAUAAAUCUCAUUCCCAAGUAAAUCCAAUAUUACCAAUUAGAUUACUUAGUGCGUUUAGUCAAACACCGUCAUAUUUUUUUUUAUUCCUAUUGAAUUAUUAGGAAUAUUAAAAAGAAAGCGUGAACCAAGCGCAUCCUUAAGGUGCGAACCCUCUUUUUACUUGCAAUGAGUUCUUUCAGAAAAGCACAGCUAUGGCUCUUGUAUCAGUUUCUAAUCUCACAUUAUACAACUCCAUAGCCUUUUAAGACCUCAUCUAUGAUCCACUCCACAUAUAUUCUCAUUAAUCUGAUAAAAUUACAGCCUAAAUUACUAAUAUCACAGAUCUUAUACCAUAUCAAUCAUACAAAAUUUAGGAAAAUGCAUCUGACCCACACCUAUCUAUCGAUUAUAAGCAAACCUCAAUUAUUCUCAUUAAUGUGAUCACACUCCUGCAUUAAACGCUAAUAUCACAAUCUUAUGUCACAAAAAUGCACUAAAUUAGGGCAUACAAAAGAUCCAGACGUUUCUAUCAACUAUCAACAACUUAAUACAACGAACAGGUCGAUCAAAAUUAUAAACAACCCAAAAAAUGAAGAAAAUAAGAAUAUAGAAGUCCCGGAAUCGCUAUUCAACGCCUAUAUUAUUCUCAUAAAUCUGAUAUCAAACCAGUUUAAAUAGCCAUUAUCACAAUAUUUAUUCAUAAAAAUCGUUAAAAAUAAGGACAUAAACAGAUCCGAACCGAUCUAUCUACUAUCGCGCACCAGAAAUCAAUAGAACUGUAAACAAUCCGGGAAAUGAAGAAAAUAAGAAGAAAAUUAGAGCCAAAAUCACAAUAAUCUCUAUCUCAAACCCUGAUUGAGGGAGAGAAAGACCUGGAGACGAAGAUCGAUGGGGGGCGCAGGGCGAAUCGGGGCGGUGAUCGCUCGAGGCGAAGAGGGUCGAGAGCGGAGGAGGAGGAGGAAAUGAGAUUGGGGGCGCGGACGCAACGAGGAUCGACCUUAGAUGAAGAACCCCUCUGGAAACCACGCUGCACGAAUCACGAGGUUGGCGAAAUUGCAUCACAACCGUCCCUCAGAUCUGCAUACUCCGAUAUAACUCUAGCUGGUUUUAUGCGGGGGGAAUUUUCAUAUUUCCCCCUCUAAAAUCAUCAAAUUGUAUACAGUGGUUAAAUUGUACGAUUGGCUUGGCCUCUUAAUUAUUUUUCUUUGGAUUAAUGCCAUUUUCAUCUUCUAAUUAUUUUAGCGUAAAUUAUUUUUAAAAUUAAGUAUAAUUUUGUUAUUAAAUUAUUAAAUUAUAAUUAUAAAAUUUAUAAGCCCAUUAGUUAAAAUGAUAUGCCGAAGAGUUGAAUUCAAUGUGUACAUUUAAUCAAUAAAAAUAACUUAAACAAAAAGAAUUGUGUAUUUUCAAAAGAGCUUCAGUUUAUUUUUAUUUUAAAAAAUAAAUUAGUUUAAGUUAAAUCUCUAUGUUUUCAUUCAUUUUAUUUUAUAUCUGAUUGAUACCUAUUAAAUAAUAAUAAUUUUUUUUUAUAAGUAAAAUUUGAAUGGUCAAAAUAAACAUGAUGAUGUGAAUAAAAGGGUGGUCAUAAGUUCAUGUGGCAUAAAUAUAUAGUAGUGACACUAGGUAUAGACAUUUAUUUCAAAAUAAAAAAUUUAAAAUUCUUCAAUUCUUCAAUAUGAAACAAAAAGGACGAAAUUAAGCAUUGAUCAAAUAUACGGGGACAUAUAUUCAAUUUUCCUCCCGAACUCGGUAGCAAAAGUAUUUGCUUGUGUACAUACGCAUUUGGUAUUAUUAUACAGUAUAACAGCAGUACUCGCAAACUUUCCCUUCUCCUUUCCGAUUCCGCCUCUUCUCCGAAUACUCCUCCGCAACGCAACAACAAAAAAACGCUCCCGAACCCUAGUCUCGCACAUGACACCCAAUCCCCAAUCCCUUCUCCAAAUCGCGAAACCCUAGUUCCCCUCUCUUUUCUCGCUCUCUCGUCGAUCCAGGGCCCAAACUAGGGUUUCCGAUGGCGAAGCUCGCGGAGGACGACGACAAUGGCGGCGACUCGGGGUCGAGGUCGGUGUUCGAGACGGUGAGCGGGUCGCACCGGUACGCGGUGAAGGGGUUCUCCCUGGCGAAGGGGAUGGGGCCGGGGAGGUUCCUGUCGAGCGGGGCGUUCGCGGUGGGGGGCCACGAGUGGGCGGUGUACGUGUACCCGGACGGGAAGAGCCCCGAGGACGGGGCCGCGUACGUGUCCGCGUUCGUGGCGCUCGCGAGCGAGGGCACCGACGUGCGCGCCCUCUUCGAGCUCGCCCUCGUCGACCAGAGCGGCAAGGGCAAGCACAAGGUCCACAGCCACUUCGCCCGCGCCCUCGAUGCUGGUCCCUACACCCUCAAGUACCGCGGAAGCAUGUGGUGUGUGCAUCCUCCUUCUUUUCCUUCUCCUUUUUGGCAAUUUUUGUUCUCGAUCCGUUGUUUAAUAGGUUAAAUUUUCCUUCCUUUACCGUAGUUUAUCGGUUUUUUUCGCUAAUAUGGUAUGGGAACUGGUUAUAAUUUUGCCCAUUGUUUCGCAAUAUUUCUCGCCAUUGCAAGUGGCGUGGUUUAUCUACUCUGUGCCGUGCACAUGAGUGGCGUUUCUUAUCAUAUUGAUCUUUUGUGAAACUUGGUUUGCUAAAAUUCCCUGCAGUUUCAUUUUUCAAGAGUUUGCGGGUUCAAUUCUCUAUAUCCAUUGUAUUUAAUGGGUUAAACUUUUAUCCUUUCAUUGUUGAUAUCUUCUCUUUUCAAUGCAAAAAUGCAAAAUUCUCUCUUGUGCUAUUUUGCUAAUUUUUAAUGGUUGUGUAAACUUAAAAAUGUUUUCUACUCACUUAAUGAUGUUGACACCCCAGUUUGAUUUUCUAGAUAUUAUGGAUAGCUCCUCUUUUUUUUUAUAUAAAUAUUUUAUUUGCAAGUUUGUUUUUUUUUACUAUAUAUUGAUUGUCAAUGUUUCCUGUUUCUUAAAGAAAUAAAAAGAAAAAAAAAAAAGAUUGUCAUUGUGUGCUUUGGCGUGCUUGCAUUCGCUUAUCUUGCAAUUGUUAUCUGUAUUUUAGAGAACUGUCCUUUCUCAUUUUAUGUACAAUGUAAUCUAAUAAUUGUAAUUAAAUCUUCUUCCAUUUAAUGCAUGCGCGUGCUUGUAUCAGUUUGUUUGUUAAAUGGGCUUAAAACUAGCUUGGGGUGAGCUCCUGUAAUAUAUUUUACAUAUGGGGAGCUUGAGUAGCUUAUAGCUCUCUUGCUUUCCUGAUACCGUGCUUGAUACUAUGCUCUAAUUUCUUAAAUUACAAUCUUUCAUGGUUAUUGUCAAUGUCUCUUUUUUCUCUUUCCCAGUUCUCUUACUAAUUUAUAAUUUAAUUUUUUGGUUAUAUCAUAGGGGUUACAAGCGUUUUUACAGAAGAACAUCCCUAGAAACAUCGGAUUAUCUGAAGGAUGAUUGUAUAAUUUUGAACUGCACAGUCGGUGUUGUUAGGAACCGUGUGAAUUCACCGAAGCACUUAUCAAUUUCUGUACCAUCACCUGAUUUGGGGCACUGCCUCAUGGACCUGCUGAAAUCUGGUAUUGGAUCUGACAUAGUUUUUGAGGUUGGCGAUGAGAUGUUUAGAGCUCACAAGCUGGUUCUUGCUACUCGCUCACCAGUAUUUAAUGCUCAAUUCUUUGGUCCAAUUGGAAAUCGGCAUCUGAACAGGGUUGUUGUCGAAGAUGUGGAACCUCUCGUGUUCAAGGUAAUGACUGCUUAUAUUAUAUUUUGCCAUUGCAAGUAACAGUAACUAGCAGUAACAUGCUGGUUCAAGGAACUCUUUUAAGAUAUUUCUUUCCUGAGUUAAUCUCUUAUCUGUUUAGCUUUUUAAAUUCAUUAAAAUAAUGCUUUUAUAUAUAUAUAUAUAUAUAUAUAUAUUUGGACUUUGCAGGCCAUGCUUCACUUUAUAUACUCGGAUAAAUUUCCAAGUGUCCAUGAACUAACUGGACCAGAUUCAAUCUGCACUUCGACAAUAAUGGUGCAACAUAUAUUAGUGGCGGCCGAUAGAUAUGGAUUGGAGCGUCUGAGGCUGCUAUGUGAAGCAAAGCUAUGUGAGGAACUCACCACUGACACAGUGGUGACAACCUUGGCUCUAGCGGACCAACACCAGUGUGCUCAAUUGAAGUCUGCCUGUCUAAAAUUCAUGGCUGCUCGGGAAAAUUUGGGAGGUUGGUGUUCUCUCUUUAGACUAAGAAUAUAUGCUUUCUCCUACUUGAAUAAGAUUGCCUAUUUUGCUCUAGGUACUUCUUUCUCUGUAUGUACCUGCAAAAUUGUGAAAUCUGAAGUUGUGUGUUCGCAUCAAAAACUUAAUUCCUUACCUAUACGACCUUAUUCAAAAAUGCCCCUUUUAGAGAGCAUUUUCGGGCACAGGACCAAUCUCCUCCCAUGAAUUGGAUGAUGACCCAAUCUAAGAAAAAAUUUACCAUUAAAAUAUACAGUUACGAAAGUAUCAUUACGUAAGUUGGGGAGUCAUCCAUCUCCUAUAGGUUUGUACUAGAAAAAGUUGUGAAGAGGGGCAUCUUUGAAAGUGCGAACGUUUAUUUUUAAGAAACGAAAGGAUUCUUUUAUUGAAAACAAUGAACUUGAAGGAUUAAUAUGUAUCUUAUGCAGGGGUGUAUAUUAUGUAAAUAUCUCCAUGUUUCAUUAUCAAGCUUCCAGCGAUAAAUUUACAUUUUCCUAGUGCAUUUUGCGAUUUCAUCACAAAUAUACUCAUCCUUGUGUCACCUAUUGUUUGCAGUUGUCAUGGAGACCGAAGCCUUCGACCACUUGAAGGAGACAUCCCCGUUGUUACUUUCCGACUUGUUGGCGACUGUUGCCAAUGCAGACAAUGAUCCUACAUCAAUUGGGCAGAAGAGGAGCAGUAGCAGCGUCGUAGGGCUCGACUUAAGGGACCCUGUUGAACUCUUCGGAAGGCGAAUAAGGCAGCGACUGUAACUUGCCACACCAAAAACCCAGGUCCUAAUCGGGGCGGAGAAAGAAAAGAAAAUGCCAAAAAAAAAAAAAGAAAAGAAAAAAGAAUAGCCUAGUUACUAACCAUGGCCUUCAAUGCACAUAUUUUAGUUUUUCAUAUUGAUGUUUCAGGAUUGUGAGGUAAAAAAUGGCAUUUUGUUUUGAGUAGAAUUGUGGUGAAAUUGUGAAUAAUUUGGUAUUCCUCUUUUCUCAAGUCACUAGCGAAUCUUAGCAAAAUUCAUGAGAGUAAAUUACAUCAUAUGUUUUUGAGUUUCUUUGAUAUCUGUUUUUGCAGCAACCAUGUACAAAAUAAUAACUCGUGAUUGGGAAGUUGCGUUAUUGCCAACCAAUAAUAACUUAAUAAUAAUAACAACAACAAAGCCCAAGAAAAGUAAACAAACAUCUUUAUUGAUUCUACUGCUUCACGGUUGAAUCAUAUUCUGCAGCUUCUGGUGAUUACAUAUAUAUUUUUUUUCUCUUAGCACUUGGGAUCGCAUUUGCGGCAAUUUCUUUGACACAUGUCUUUGGUGCCGUAGCAUCCCUGCGAUCGCAGAGACAAGCAGCAGUACGUGUAACCACCCUCAUCACACGUGCCCUGCGUUUGUGGAAGAACAUCUUCGAUCCGCGCACGUGCGGGGCUUUCUUUCCCGGGAAGCGCUUCCUACUGGUGAUGUUCCAACAAUCUCUCGACCUUGGGCGAAAAAUAAAAAUAAAAAUAUAUUCAAUUAAUCGACCAUUUUUAUUGUGGAUAAAUAUUGUUAUCAGCUUUUUUUUUUUUUUUUUUUUUUGACAGUGUGUUAAAACUCGAAACUGUGGUUAUGAACUAAAAAAGAUGUUGGGUCACGAUUCAACCGAUUCUAUCACCGGUUUGACCAGUUAGACCAGUAACAUCUUAUAAAUAAUGAAUUAUUCAUUUCUAUGUGUUUAAUAAUAAAGAUAAAAAAAUAAAAAAAAUAAAUAUUUUAAAGCUUCUUUUAAAAAAUAAUCUAAACAAAAUAGGUUGAACUGUCCCAUCAAUAAUCUAUGAUAAAUAAUGGUUCAAAUCGAUUUAAUUAAAAUUAUGUCGGUUCACCAUUCACUAGUAUAUUAGUUAGACCGCUAUAUCAAACGGUUUUAAAAUUUUCCGGUUAUAUGGAUCAAACUAAUCCGACCUGUGAAUUGGGUCACGAUCUGACUGAUUCGACUUGACUUUUAGAACACCGUUAUUUGGUAGUGGUCUCCUCAUGUAUACUUAGGCGAAAGUUUACUAUGUGACAGCCACAUCAUAUAAUCUAUAACCAAUCAAUUAUUUUUUUAAAAAAAAAUACAAUAAAAAUAUUUUUUAAAAUUAUGAUGGAAUGGAUAAAUUCAAUGGUGUAUUUUCAUUGGCCGGAGACACUACAUCCACAAUAUAACCAUCAUAUUUUAGACUUUUUAGUACUUGAGGGGCUUUCUUUAAAUUGUGUCGCUAGAAUUUUUUAUCGACAAAAGUAAAACGAGGAUUAGAAAUUUGGGAUAAUUUUUUAAUCUGUGAGAGCUGAUGUUAAAUAGAUCUUGUUUUUUUUAUAGAAAAAUGGCCAUCUCCCAGUGGAAAAAAGGCUAUGUUAAAAUUUGUGAUCUUCAUUUAUGCAAAUACGAAUGUAGUACAUGUUUUUUGAAAUUUAAUAUGAUUUUGAAGAUCCAUUUAGCAACCUGCUACUAAUAUCCGAAAAGACCGAAAAUCAAAACUCCGUAAAUAUACACAUAACGAGGUUUGAUCACCCAAUUGAGUCUACACUACGCACAAAUAUACAUUCAGAGUGAGUCUCUUAGAAAAAGGAAUAGCCUAGUUACUAACCUUGGCGUUCUAAUUUGCGUAUUUUGUUUUUCGUAUUGAUGUUUCAGGGUUAAUGUGAGUUGAAAAUGGCAUUUUGAUUUGAUUAGAAUUGUGGUGAAAGUUGUAGAUAAGUGGAUGUUUCUCUUUUUUCAACUCAGCACAGUAAUGGCUAGUGAAUCUUAGAAAAAUUCAUGAGAGUAAAUUACAUUACAUUACAUUAUUUGUUUUUGAGUUUUCCUGGUAGUCCUUUUGUGGUGGAAUAUUGUUGCCACAUCUGUUUUCUCAUCAACCAUGCAUGUACACAGUUUAAACUAUUUGAAUCAAAAGGAUCAAUCAUUCAUUCUUUUGCCGUUUAAACACAAUAUAAAUUAACCCGAGUGUGGCACGACUAACAUUUUCAGCAUCAGUAGUAUAUAAAUAACAAUGCUAGAGACAUACACGUACUACUUUAGAUAAAAUAACUAAAGAAGCAGAGAAAAGAUACACUAGAGACAAACACUACGUACUAAGAUGAACUAACUUCUUAGGGAGUAGAGAAAAGAUUUCUCCAAACUAGUUUCACUUCACUGCUAGUCAUCAGUAAUUCUCAUGCUUUCGCACGCGCCCGGAGCAUGGUGAGGGCCGAGAUGUAGCUGAAGAACCACGCGAGAAGAGCGAGCCCCGCGGAGGUAGUGUAGUGGCGGCAUGCGGUCGCCAUUUGCCCACAAAAAUUCACGUCUCUUUGUAGGAGCGUCGCUGCUGCCAAAGAAGAACACCCUGCUCCGAGUGUCGACUGCAUAGUCACCUAUGAUUUGAUUGUGGGGCGACUUAUUAUUACUUCAUAGUUUUAUGAAGAAGCUUUAAAUAUAAAGGGUACUAACUGUAAGUUGUAAUUCCAAUUUCUUACAUAUAUGUGUAGUUUGUUAUUUUUGUUAAGUUUCUUAUGAUUACAAGUUCUAGGGAAUGAACUUCUUGACUUUUGUUACUGUUCAUUUCGCUGCAAACUCGUUACAAUAUGAUAUACCUUCUUAUAUAUGUGGUAAUAAAGGUGUAAAUACACCGGGAGUGUUAUAUUUGCUUACUUUGAUACUUUGUAGAGAAGUUAUAUGAAAUAAAAACAAAAUAAGGAACUACUGUUCUUUUUAUUUCUCUUUUCCACGUAAUUAUAUAUUGUGGUAAACAGUAAAUACAGCAUAAACACUGCAAUGAGUUUUUGAAAGUUUACUCACUGUAUUGUAACUUUGAAAAUAGAGGAACCAGAAAUAAUCACGAGUGUGAGUUAAUUACCCAAUCUAAGAUAACAUAUACUGAUAGAAGAUUACGCCUGUGGUGAUUAAUUCCAUAAUAUAAGCAUAACAUAUCGUACGAAAGGCGCACAGUAAUCCAACAUAUAUGCCACGCCAUCGCCACGUCCAAGAACCUAAAAAAAGACAAUGAAUUAAAAAUAAUACAUUAAAAUUUCUUUUCUGGAUAAGAAUAUAUAGUGCAUUAAAAUUCUGUUGAGGAAAAUAGUGCAUUAGAACUAUAAAACCAUGCAUGCGAAGAUAAAAUAUUGACGAAGAGAAUCAAAAAUGAUAAACAAUUUGCAUACACAAAUAUAACAGAGAAGUAGGAUCGAGGGGCCGAGAUCAUAAUCGAUAAGGAAGCUGCAGCAAAAAUGAACUGCGCUAUCCUCAGCAACAGCCCAGAUACGCUUCCAGGGCCUCCUAUUACGUUCAUCUCCCUCAGUCUCAGUCUCAGUCUCAGUGUGGGUAUAUAGGAGUUUCUCUCUCUAUGUGUGCAUGUUGGGGGAGGGUACGUGUACCUCUUUAUAUAUAUUGCAACAAGUUUGAAUUUUUUUUUUUUUAAAAAAAAAAAUCCUUUGAUAGAAUAGUUAUUGUUUUUUUUAUAUUUGUAGAAAUGCAUAUUUGUCUCUAGAGGGUCAAUACCCCUUUGGAUAGAAAGCUCAAGAUGGACAAGCACUUAUUAGAGUUGGUAUAGUAUGCAUAUAUAUAAUAUACGUUAACUUAUAUAGUAACUCCAUUUUUUGCAAAACAUGGCUUUGGGCCUUUGGCUGAGUGGUUCACAUGCAAUUUUUUUUUUUGAGUUUGGACAUUGCCAGAACUUGGUGCACCUCGUCACACCAUGCACCUUUCUCGUUAAGCUGUUCAUUUCAAAUUAAAGUGUAAUCCAAAGUUCAGACACACUACGUACUUAAAUGAAAUUUAUUUGUAAUAGUAGAAUCACUCGAGACCAUAGAAUGAGUCAUUAAAAUUUCAAUCACUGCCUCAAAUUAAGAUUGAGGAGUUGCAACAUUGCUGCUAACCCAAUAACAAGACUAUCUUAAUUAUUAGUUUCCACAGUCCCAUUUUUCUAAAGCUCUAGAGAGUUAAACACUUUAUUGAUUGAUUCUAUGGUGGAUCGCCAAAUUAAAUUAGAUAAGUAGCAGCAGCUGCUACUUCAUGGUUGAAUCAGAUUGCCUAGCUUGUGGCGAUUUUCGCUCUGGCACUUGGGAUUGCAUGUUGGGCAAUUUUGCUGACACGUCUGCCUGCUGCUGUAGCAAGGCUCCCCCUGCUUAACUACGCAGCAGUAGCAUGUCUGAUCAUCCAAUCUCCCAUCCAAACUCGCGCACGUCGCCGGCAAACACGGAAUCACUGUGAUCUUGCUCUCCUUCCGCGCGCUUGCGAGGGAAGCGCUUCCUAUUCCAGUUCCAAUAAUCUCUCGACCUGGCGGCACAAAAGGGGGAAAAAAAAAAAAAUAAUUAAUUGACUAAUUUUAUCACGAAUAAAUAUUAUUUACGAAUUAUUUGUGGGGCGUUACAGACUUCUCCUGUUCUUUAGAUUCUGACGAAAUUUAGACCAGCAAUGUGAGAUUACGGUUUUAAAAGAUGCAUGGCUCCUACCAAAUUGGUGGAAUACUUUAUCUUGCGUAAUACUUAACUCUCACAUUUUUUACUAGUAUUCGGUCCAAAUACUAACUUGUUGGACGCAAACCAUCGACUCAGAAUAUUUAAGUCCGGUUAUUACUAUCAGCAUGUGAGGUCUCAAAUAUUUUAAAUUAGAAUAUAUUUUUUAUCUUAUAUGAGACUAGCUAUUGAGACAUUACAGUUUGGAAGUGGCCUCAUCGUUUGUACAACUGUACUUGAGCCUUCUUGUGCUGCUACGAUUAUUCGACUUUUCGGAAAAGACUAGGAUUGGAGUAAUUUAUUAUUCGGAACUGAUAGUAACGUGUAUUAUUUUUUAUACAAAAGUGGCCAUCUCCUAGUAAAAAAAACGGCGUGUUGUAAAUUGUAAUUAGUAACUUUCGUUAAUGGAAAUAUAAAGUGAAACAUGCUUUUUGAAAUGCUUUUUGAACUUCAAUAUUUUUUGGGGAAACGUGGAGCUCUCAUUUUUUGCAGAAAGAAUCCAUGCAUGCAUGUGAUGGGUAUGGAGACUUACAAAUUGUAACACAUAAGAUGCGAUUCAAACUUUCUCUUAGGUCUCUAAUAAAUUCAUAGGAUUGAUCAUCUAUUACUUAAGGGACUUUCUUUAAAUUAAAGCACCUUCUUGCGCUGCUACAAUUUUUCGAUUUUUCAGAAAAGCUGUAGAGUUACAGAGUUGGUAAAAAUUUUUAAUCAAUGAGAGCUAAUAUUAAUUAGCAGAUCUUGUUUAAUUGUAGAAAAGUAAAAAUACGCUAAUAUUAAAAGUAAUGGUCUUUUUAUAACACAUAUAAAAGUAGCAUAUGCUUUUUGAACUUCAAAUAAUUUUGGGAAGGCAUUGAGUGAGAGUGUCAUAGUGCUUUACUGCUUUUGCAAAAGUGAAGCUUACAUUUUUUACACUAGGAAAAAGCUAUUCAUGCACUAUUAAUUUGCACUCGCUUGAAGUGUACGGGUAAUAUAGCUCUGAGCAUGAAAAGAUUGCAUUAAGAUAUGUGCUUGUUCACAUCAAAAAUUCAAAAUGAUUAUUUAUGUGAAGCCCGUUAAGACUUACUAAUAUUGGCGAUUAAAAUUCUUAUUAUGUAAUAACAACACAUGAAAGUAAACCUUUAAUCUACAAAACUCAAAAACAAAAGUGAAAGACAUAGACAAAAGAGAAAAUUUUGAUGCUUGAUUUUUUUUUUUUUGGGUGAUCUUAUACUUAUAUGAUAUAAAUAACAAACAUAAAAGAAGGGAUAUAUAGAUACAAUAUUUAGACAUACAAAGGAGAAAGUUUGAGUGGAUCGAAUAAAAGAACAUCAUUUUAUGACCAAGGUUUUCUUUUUUAUGUGUGUGUUUUAAUGUUCUUUUGUGAGAUCUAAAAUGCAAUUAACAGCAUAAUUAAUAUGAAAAAAGAUUACUAACCUUGAGAAAGAAUCAAAAAGCAUCCAAGCACAACAAAAAUUAGAGACACCCCUGUGACCUUCAUGGUUGCUCCAAGGACUAAAGAAUACGCUCCAAACACUCAAUACUUGAGAAAAAAGAUCUCUCGUGUUAAUUUAUAAAGAGAAAAAUUGAGAGGAGAAUCUCAUAAUAUUUGGUCAAUUAAAAUCAUUAGAUUUGAUUAAGGGGAUAUUUAUUGAAAAUAAUAUGUAAAAGAUAUAUAUAUCUCGGGAAGAUCAUAAAAAAUAUUUAGUAAAUUAAAUUCCUUCCAAUUUUAACAAAUUUCUUUCUAUAUUCCUCUGAAUCUAGGGGUAGCGAAUUGCUACACGGAGUGGGUCCAACUGCAGAUUGCCAGACUCUACUUCUCCAAUACGUGGAUGAUACUAUCUUCUUCUCUGAGGCUAAGGAGCCGGAUAUGCGUAAUUUGUUGUUCCUCUGGAAGAUGUUUGAAUGGGGCUCAGGUCUCAAGAUAAAUAUGAGCAAAACUGAACUCCUGUAUUUAGGACCUAAUGCAAGCAGAGCCAACGGUCUUGCAAAUAUUUUAGGAUGCAGAGUAGGCAAUUUACCUCUACGAUAUCUUGGGUUGCCACUCCACAUCAGGUCCCUUAGGAGGGAUGAUUGGGCUCCAAUUAUAAACAGUAUUGAGAAGCGCAUUGAAGGGUGGAAGGCGAAACUCCUCUCACAGGGGGGGAGACUCACCUUGGUCAAUUCGGUGCUCUCGAAUCUGCCGUUAUUCUACUUUACCAUUUUUAAAGCGCCACAAUGGGUUCUGAAACGAAUCGAAGCACUGCGAAGAUCCUUCUUUUGGAAAGGGUGCUCCCAAAUUUCUGGGGGGUCAUGUCUAGUAGGAUGGAAAUCUAUUUGCAAAAGUAAAAAGGAAGGAGGGCUUGGGAUUAAAGAUAUGGAGGCUAUGAAUAAGGCUCUUCUAACCAAAUGGUGGUGGCGAUUCUUCAACGAACCGCAGUUGAUCUGGGGGAGGUUGGUUACAGCAUUAUAUUACACCAGAAGAAGGCCGUUACACGAGGGAAGGGCUUUCAGACCUUUCUCGCAGUGGUGGAGAGGUGUGUUGAGUUGCCGAGAUUUGUUUAAGUGCGGUGUUUCAUAUGUGCUUGGUGAUGGAAAAAAUAUCAGGCUGUGGUCCGAUAUUUGGAUCGAUCAAAUCCCUCUGAGUACUUGGUUUCCAGAAAUCUACUGCAGAAUAGCCAAUAAGGAGGUCACGGUCUCACAAUGCUGGAAUGCUAAUGGGUGGAGAUGGCGUUUCAUAGCUAGAGGUCUUGCGUCGGUCACAGUGGAUGAAAGGCAGAGACUAUUUCUGAUGCUAAAAAAUCUCCUAUCCCAGUAUAGUCCGAACAGCACAAAUGAUAUCUUAAAGUGGCGUUGGUCCUCCAAUCAAAGCUUUUCAGUGAAAUCGCUCUAUGACUUCAUCACCGACGCAGGCCAGAGAGACCCCACGUACGCUCAUCUUUGGAGGUUAAAAAUUCCGGGCAAAGUUAAAAUCUUCAUCUGGAUUUUACUUCGCAAGAGAUUACCCACUGUGGAUAGAUUGAUCACCCGAGGAUGCCCUGUGGAUCAACAGUGCAUUUUUUGCGCGGUCUACCUAGAAAAUUGUGAUCACCUUUUCUCUGAUUGUGUCUUCGUCAGAUACCUUUUUUGGAUUGAGGGAGGGAAUGAGCUGACCGUUGUACACUCGGGGGAUGUCCGGUGCUUAUGGAAUGAGAUAUCUUGUAACCUCAAUGCUGUGUCUGCUGCGAAGAGAUUAACCCGACUGGCGGCGAUCUGGUGGGUUGUUUGGACUGAACGCAAUAAUACUAUCUUUCGUGAUAUGCCUCCCAACGCAAACCGGGCCGCGGUUCGCGUUGAGUCUUUGUUAAAGGAUUGGACUGAUGUUACGUGAUUCUCGACGUCUCCUGCUCUAACCACAUGCUCUUGUUUCCGUUUUCAUGUUUUUUUUGGGCUUUUGUUUUUCUUUUCGUUGAUUUCUUUUCGGUUUCUCUAGGAGGCCCUAGCUGCUUCCACCUGUAUGCUUAGUUCAUUUUACUUUAUGAAUGAAGCAGGUAGCUUGCUACCUUUUUCUCAAAAAAAAAAUAUUCCUCUGAAUUAAUCAAUUCAUUAUUUGAUCUAAACAGGGCAAAAAAAAGGCUCUUGUUGCCGAGUUCAACUGGUAGCGGUCGUAAAGCCUAGUUGUUUCCUAUUUUUUAUAAUAUCAGUUGAUAAAUAGGAAAUAAAUAUGAAAAUCAAAUUAAAUAAAAUAAAAGAAAAUUUACAUUUAGGUAAAUGGAAAUUCUCAAUAUUAAUGUUUUACUCUCAAAAUCAACCCAUCAUAUAUAUGAGUGGUGAACUACUUGACUUUAUUUGAAGAGCACAUUUAUUUACAACAUAUUAAUCUUACAAACCAAGUAGUUUAUAAUUAUCAGCAUGGAUACAAGCUCUUCAAUUAGCACCCAUGACCCAUUUGAGUCUACAUUACAUACAAAUAAACAUUCGAGAAAUGAUUAGCACUUUAUUUUAUAAAAAAAUAAAAAAAAAAUCUUAACUGUUGACCAAUUGAGGGUAAAUGUGUCAUUUAACAUGUAGCAGGGUAAAACGUUAUUUCAUAACGGGGGUAUUUUUGUAAUUAAACAUCACAAAAUUUUAAAAAAGUUUUGAUUGAUAUCCCAAAUCUAAUUAUUAAUUUUGCACUAAUUUAAGCAUUAAUUUAAUAAAUUGAUGGAUAUGUCAAAUUUAGAUAUUAAUUUGCAGCAUUAAUUUUAGAAAUUUUAGAAUUCCUAUAAUUUAGGCAUUAAUUUAAAUUUUAGAAAUUUUAGAUAUAGUACUAUUUUGAAUAUGUUGAAUUUAAAUGUCUAAAUUUAGAAAUUUAAAUUUAAAUUAGAGGAAUUUUGUAUUACUAUUUUAAAAAAUUUUAAUAUUGGUAAAUGUUUAAAUUCAACAUAUUUUAAUGUGUUUAAGAAAUUUUAAAAUCCUCUAUUCUAGACAUUAAUUUUGUAUCACUAGUUUAAAAAACAAUUGAAUUUAGAUAAAUAUUUAAUUUCAACAUAGUUAACAUGCUUAGAAAAAUUAGAAUUUUUCUAGUUUAGACAUUAAUUUUGCAUCACUAUUUAAUUUUUUUUAAUAUAGGUAAAUAUUUAAAUUCAGUAUAUUUAAAGAGUUUCCCUGGUGAUUGAUUGUCUUCUUUGGGUGAAAUACUGUUGCCACAGAUACCAUGUACAAAAUACUUACUCUUAUAAUUGAACACAAUUUGAAGUUUAAACAAUUUAUACCGAAAGAUUUAAACUAACAACAGAAGUCCAAGACCGACCGUCCCUAGAGCAAGUGGUAAAGGGCUUGAUGGUUGGUAUUCGAGACCCAAGUUCGAAUCCUAGUUGAUUCACAUUUAUUGCUAAGUUUAUUUAUAAAUGAAAUAAACGAAGCAGGUAGCGUGCUAUCUAUCUCUCAAAAAAAAAAAAAAAAAAAAAAAUCAAUAGAAGCCCAAGUGUGGCACAACUAACAGUUUCAUCAUCAGUAACAUGUAGAUAAGAAUGUUAGGGACAACCACUACUUCGUUAGAAGAUGUGACUCAAGAGAUAAGAUAAUGCUAGAGACAACCACUACUUAGAUGGAGUAACUCCAGAAGCAGAGAAAAGAUUUCUCCAGACUAGUUUAAAUUCAUUACUAGUCCUUAACAAUUCUCAUGCUUUCGCACGUGCCCAAAGGAUGGUGAGAGCCGAGAUAUAGCUAAAGAACCAUGCGAAAAGAGCAAGCGCUGCAGAGGUGGUGUAGUGGCUGCAUGCGGUCUCCUUGUACCUGCACGAAUUCGCGCCUCUUCGUAGGAGCGACGCCACCGCCGUGAGCUUGCGAAUAGUGCGGCAGCGGACAAACUUUUUAUGCGGUGUGAGCAUAUAGUACUGUCGCAGCGACGGCAACAACAACAACGGCGGUGGUAAUGGUGCAGAUCGAUUGGGGCGGUGGUGGGUUAGUAGCAUAAAAUGGUGAGCGCAGGAGGUGGAAGUGGUGGCUAAACAUAGCAUUUACUAUGAAGUAUGAACCAUUGCAUGCCUCAUAUUUUGAUGCAGGCAAGGAGGGAAGUGAUAGAGCUUCAGUAUGCAUAUGCGUGUAGUCGUCGCGUUAUAUAAUGAAGAGAACGAACAUACACUGUAUAAAUAUAAUGAAGGAUUGUUGCAUCCGGGUAAAGGAAAUACGGGAAUGUGUAAAUGAUCCACAAUGUAUUGUUUUAGCAAUAGGCAAAUAAAAAAUUAGAUAUGUUUUUUUAACUAUAAUAAAAAUUAAAAAGAAUUGUGAAGUUGCAAAGCAGGAGUUCUAAUGCAAAUACGUUACAUUUACACAACAAAAUCUAUUCCAGAGAAUUUUAUAUAAUGCUUACUCUAAAAGCAGCACUCAACAAUACUACACCGUAAAUUAGAGCCAAACUGCAGGCCCUAAAAUAAGUUUUAAUUUAACGCUCAAACCUUCUGAAAACUUUCAUUUUUAGGCCUAGUUUGUAACGGGGUGGUUAUAGGCGGCACUCUAUGCACUUGAACUCGGAACGAUCAAACUCAGUAAACAUAAAGUAUUCCAAUAAACAGAACCAGCAUACUUCGCUGCAAUUUCAUAUAUUGUAUAAUGAACUAAAUAGUACUAUUGCUAUUUAGAGGAAAACUCAACAGGAAAACAUGAAAAAAUUGGAUUGUUAUGGGAUUGAACAAGUUAAAGAGCACAACAGAGGACACCAAAUCAUUCAAUUUUGAACACAUUAUUCAAUAUAGUCAUUCUAAAGGAUUUGCUAUUAAAAGCUAAGCACAAGAAACGGAAGGAAAAAAAAUAAUAAUAAUAGCCAACACUCUGCAUUACACCAAAGUUAUCUAACCUUCUGAAAAAAAAUCUCUUCUAUGAGCUCCUGCCUGAAUCAGAUAACGCACACACAAUAGAAAGGAGAAAUGAAGAACCGAGUAAUCUACACCACCAAUUGAAAAUUCUCUAAAGACCAAAUUUUGUUCUCUUCUUUGGGAGGAAAGAAAUUUACCUAAGUAGAGCAGCAUGUUCUCCUUGCACCCCCCGACGAAUCGGUGACGUUGAUCGUAGUCCCUUGGAUCGGAGGGCCGGCAUUUCCCGCCGCCUCUUGCGCGGCGAGAGCCUUCUUGCUUAUUAUGUGGUAAAUCUCAGUUAGGAUUGUUUGAAAAGCUUUCUCGAUGUUAAAUGCCUCCAAUGCCGAGGUCUCCAGGAACGAGAGCCCCUCCUUCUCGGCCAAAACCUGUGUGGCAAAAAUUAUAUACUUUAAGACCUCAGAAAAGUGAUAAUUUCAUGGACAGCCUCCAGAAGCUAAAGAAAUAGUACAAACAUAUACUAUAAAAUCAGAAUUUUCAUACCUGAGCAUCAUCCUCAGAGACAGAUCGUAGAUGGUUGAGAUCGGACUUGUUACCAACCAUCAUGAUGACUAUGUUGGAGUCCGCGUGGUCGCGGAGCUCACGCAGCCACCUCUGCACAUUUUCGAAUGUCUGUUUCUUUGUAAUGUCGUAGACAAGGAGGGCACCCACUGCCCCACGAUAGUACGCGCUAGUUAUGGCGCGGUAGCGUUCUUGGCCAGCAGUAUCCCAUAUUUGGGCCUUGAUUGUUUUCCCUUCUAUCUGCAACAAUAGUUGAUGAACUAAAUUUAGAAAAGGAAAACAUCUAAGUAAAGGAAUCGGUAUAGCAAGGUAAUGACUGAUAAUUAACUUUUAAUUUUUCAAAUAUUCAAUUAUUUGUUCCUUUCUAAGUAACAAGCACUAUAUUUUUUGAGAGAUGUAACAAGCACUAUAUUGCACAAACUCAGAUAGUGGUAUAUGCAGGAAAAUUUUAUUUUACAUAUAUAUGCAUAUCCCAAAGGACUAAAUGGAAGCAUAACAGAGCAUCGGACAGUAGUUAUUAGAUAAAAGAGCAGGAGGAAGAUCAUAAUAGUUUGGAUCAAAUCAACUUGUGCAGAUCCAAUAUGAGAUCAUUGAGAACAUAAUGAACAUCGUCAAGAUCCAAAUGAGAUCAUCAAGAGCAUAAUGGCAGAUUCCCUAUAGUAAUGGUAGGGAAGGUGAAAAGCUCACAAGGAAAAUUCAUUUAAAUCAACAGAAAAACCGACAAGAUAAGAAGAUAUAUCAUUGAUUAAUAGAGUUUCACAACCAUCCAGGAUCAGAAUACUUCCAAUAAAACUAUGAUAUUAUAAGCUUCCUUGAUUAAGUAUCUUAAAAGACUAUGUUGUAACAACAGCGACAGCAAACAAACACCGACCGUCCCUAGAGCAAGUGGCAAAGGGCUUGGUGGUUGGUACCCGAGACCUAAGUUCGAAUCCUAGUUGAUUCACAUUUCUAGCUAAGUUUAUUUCUAAAUGAAAUAAACGAAGCGGGUAGCGUGCUACCUUUCUCUCUCAAAAAAAAAAAAAAAGACAGCAAACAAACUUUUUAUCUCUAGUAUUACACAGAUCUACUUCUGCAACCUCCACAUAACCUUCUAUAUACUUUUCAAAAACUAAGACUGCAGUCGCUUCUACUAGACAAGAUUGUAAUUCCAUCUAUCCCCUUCCUGAAAUUCCCUUUUAAAGGGAAAAUUCUCAAUUUGUCUGCACCUGUAGAUAAGGCUUAAAUAUGAUCGAUCAUUUUCAAUCAUUUUCUCAUACAUGCCUAUAUGUCUCAUUUAUAAUGUUGCUGAUCUAUCUGUAUCUCCCACGCGAGAUCCUGAUAAAUUUAAUAACACACAUGCCAUUCUCCACUAGCAAAUUGCAUGGAAUUAGAGGAAUAAAAUGCUCUUUCGAGAGAGUUCACCAUUGGAUUUAGUUAAAUUUCACCUUCGCAACAUCUAAACACACUAAAAUUCGAAUCAAAACAAUAAUAAAUUAAUCAAAUGACGAGUAAUUGAUAUUAUAAUUAACAAUUAUUCGGUAGAUCCUAUCAAUAGUUAUUAACGGAACAACAGUUUAAAAUCAAAGGGUUAAAUUGACCAAAAGAAACUGAUCGGAGAAGGAAGGGUGGACCUGAAGCGUCCGGGUGGCGAAUUCGACGCCGAUGGUGGAUUUGGACUCCAAGCAAAACUCGUUGCGCGUGAAUCUCGAGAGGAUGUUGGAUUUACCCACGCCCGAGUCGCCGAUGAGGACGAUUUUGAAAAGGUAAUCGUACUCGUGAUCCACUCGGUGCGCCAUUUCUCCUCCUCCUCCUCGAUUCUCCUCCCCUAAACCCUAGGAUCUGGAUGAGAUCCAAUCAAAACAACACCAAAAUCAACAGAGACCGAUAGAGACCGAUCGAUCGAAGCAAAAACAGAAUUGAAAACGGAGGGAUCUGAGAUCUGGGACCGGAGAAACCCUACCUGAUGCGGGAUCCGAUCGGAGAAGCGAACACUCGGGGAUUGGAGCGAUCAAUGGGAACGCGAGAGAGAGAGAGAGAGAGAGAGAGAGAGAGGUGUGGGGUUCCACGACGACCGGUGACGAGGGAACGGAAGAGAGCGAAGAAAGGGCAUCUAAAUUCUGAAACGGCCUACACGAAUUUUUGGCGCAUUAAUAUAAAAAAGAAAAAAUAAAAUAAAAACACCCGCAUAAUUUUUCCUCAUUGUUCAAAUCUUUUGACCGUAUAAUUUUUUAGGAGUGUUAUCUCUACACUCCAUUUGGACCAUUUGUAACAUCAUAUUUUAUAUUUUAUGUCCUUCAAAUUUAAGUGUUAAUUUCUUUAAACAUGCUAAAAAUUCUAUAAAAAUAAGUAAUUUUGUAUUAUUUUUGAAAAGUUGGUAUUUGCAUUUAUACCCUUGCUAGAGGUAUGUAACCAAAAAAUUUAAAUUAAUAAAGUUUACAUAAAUACUAAUUCUACAAAAAAAAUUAAUAUGUAGGCAGAGCUAUGAUUUUAUAGUCAGCAGUGUGUGAAUUUUCAGUUAUGUAUCGAAAUUCACUAUCGACAUCGUUUAAUAUAAUUUGUGUGAUUUAACUAUCUUAAAACAUUCUUAUUAUUUUUCAACACUACUUAUUAGGUAAUUAAUAUAUUUUCAGAAUUUGUUUAGUUAUAAUAUUUACAUUUUCACCACUUGCUGUAUUUGUAAAUAAUAUUUAAAAUUUACAAAUUAUAUUUGUUAAAUAAUUUAAAUACUUUUGGGGAAAAAAAUUAUUAUCUCUUUCACAUUUGGGCAUGUUUUAAUUUUCGAGCAUGCUAGUGAAAAAAGACAAAAGUGGAGGACCUUUUGGUGUUAGUGGUUUGACCUACCUUUAUUUUUAAUUUUUUUUCUUUCGUUUUUGGAAAGUGCUUUAUGACGAGGGGUAAGAAGGUAAUUUUAGAUUACUAAUAGUAUAAUAAUACAAUAAUAAUACCCAUGAUUCUACCGAAUUAAUGUGUAAAAUAAAAUUUUUGUUUAAAAUUGGUAAAAAUGCGUGGAGAGGCUUAUAACUAUACUUAUUUGAAACUGGUUCCAGGAGCUUUUAUGUGUCUUUGAUGGACACUUUUUUGAAUUUCCAAUUACUUUAAUUUAAUUUAUUUAUAUUAUUUGAAUCACAAAUUUUUGUUAGAUUAUCAGUAUUUUUAGAAAAGAUUUUAACUCUAAUUAUUUUUUAACUAGAGAAAAUACAUAUUUAUUAACAAGCAACGGCCAAUGACCAAUUAAACUAUAAAAAAAAAGUCGACCAAUCAUAAUAAGCGUUUGUGAUUUGUGGGUGGAAGGAAAGUCACGUACCAUAUUAUGACACAACAAAAUAUUGCUGGAAGAAGACGGUGAGUGAUUCAUCGGACGUUGGCAUCUUAACGGGCGACAGCUCGCUCAGAUUCUCUUCUCCUUCUGUCCUUGGCAUGCCCCAUGCCAGGUGAUCAUUUGCAUGGACGCAGCAAAUUCUCUCGGUCCCCACACAAAGAUGAUGAGCAAAUUAAUGCUAUAUAUAUGUACAAGCAUACAGGUUCUCCAGAAUACUCUCUUUAGCGCUCUAUCUGUUGUGCGAUCCUAACUUACAUAUGAAAAAAUUCAAAAUAUAGCAUAUGACAAGGCAGCUAAUGUGAUUCCCGGCUUUUCAAAAAGUCAUUCAUCGUAAGAUUAUUCUAAUCCUAAUACACUUAACUCUUUUAGCUUUUUAGAUUUAACCAUCCCCCAAAAUGUUAUAGUCGGAUUAAGAUUUAGUCCUAAUUAAUAAUGUAACACUCUGAGAAUUUAAAAUAGUUCUAUAUAUGAGAUAUAAUAGGGCUAAUUUUUUGACCCGGUUAUAAUAUUUUAGUCAACGAUUAGAUCCAAAAGGUUAAAAGAGUUGAGCGUGCUAGAACUAUAAUAGUUUUAGGAUGGGUGACCCUCUGGGAAGCGAGACAUCACAAUUGAUUUCAGAACAAAUUUCCAGCAGGAAGUUUGCGAUGAGUCUCGGCUGAAACAGGAUUAUGCAACAGAUAGAGCGAUGCUGAUGACUGUUAUGGAUGGACAUCGCCUAAUACUUGAUACUUGUUAGUGUGCCUGACGAAAAUGUCAGGGUUUAAAGGGAGAGGAACGUAACACCCCGAGGAAGAAACAUUACACCUCGAGGAUUUACAAUAGUCCUAUAUAUAAAAUAUAAUAGGGUUAAACCUUUUAAUCCGAUUAUAAUAUCUUGCGAUGAUUAGACCCAAGAAGUUAAAAGAGUUAAGCAUAUUAAGAGUAGAGUAAUCCUAUGAUUGUUGACCCCGACCAGUAGCUUAACCAAACGACUAUGCUUUAACUUCUUCCUCAUAAAUUGUUUAUUAAUGGGGGGUUGGACAAACAUGAGACUUAACCACCACAAAAAUGUUUUGGCUAUUUAUAAAGUCUCUUAAUUAUCAUUUUCUUUAUUUCUUAUUAUAAUUACCAUUUUAUCCACAUAUUACAUUUCUUUCUUUGUAACCUAUGUAUGUCGACUAUUUAAUAAAAAACUUUAUAGAACUUGGUAAGAAGUGGGUAGGAACUUAGUGAGAAGUGGGUACGGUGCUACUACUCUAAUGAAAUUGCUCUAGAAUAAUUGAAUUGGAUGGUUUAAUUUAAAAGAGUUCCAAAGUGAUCGAGUCACAUGCACCAUUGCUUCAUUAUGAAUAGUUUAGCUUACUCCCACGUCAUGCAUAAGCCUCUAAAUUAUACAAUCACGGGAGCCGUCCCUCCACUAACCGCACUUUAGUAGUUUUUCUAUUGUAUUAAUUAAGCUACAACCACUUCGAGCUACAUGAAAUUAAGAAUAUAUAUAUAUAUAUAUAGAGAGAGCUAGGCUACUAUACUAUAUCUAUAGUACCGAGCUCCGGUACUAUAGUGUUGAUUUUCGAUCUUAGGGCGUUCAAAUCAACGAUCCACACCGCUAAAAUUGAUUUAGGGUAUUUAAAGUUUCUAGAAAUAAAAUUAUAUAUUUUUUCGACAUAGUUUACUUUAUGAUCAAACUAUUUCAAAAUUGUCAAUUUUUAAUGGCUAUUAUGACGAGUUUUGAGUUUAACGGUGUAGAAGAAUCUAAAUUUCUUCAAAUUUUGAUAGAAAAUACUUUAAACUAUAUAGAUUAAGGUUAACAUUCUUGAUCUUGAAUUUAAAAGUCCUAUGCUCAAAUUUUAAAGAUUAUUCAAUUUUCACCGUCCAUUUUAAUAUAAUUUAUUUACUAAGUAAACGAUAUCGAAAAAAACUAAAAUUUUAUUCUUAAAAAAUUCAUAUACCCUAGAUCAUAUUUAACGGUAUGGAUCGUUAAUUUGAAUACCCUAAGAUCGAAAACAAAUACUAUAGUAUCGGAGCUCGGUACUAUAGAUAGUAUAGUAGUCUAAUUCUAUAUACAUAUAUCCUGUUCGACUAAUGUUAUCCAUCUACUCAAUUGAAUACAUACAUACGCGAGAUGCAUUUGAAAGCAACUGCUAUGUUUGGAGUACAUUUUGUUAUUCUUAAUUUGCGACUUACGCCUGCGCAAUUGUGAUGAUCAUCUAUUUUAUUCAAAAAGGUUUGAAUCUAAUGUAAUUUUUUAUGAUCGACCUACUUAACAAGCUUAUCGUUGUUUCACAACUUUUUAGCACGGAAAGGGCUUAAGAAACCGAGCAUCAGUGUCAACUUGCCCAUCUUGUGCCGUCAUUUGAGAGCUCGCAAAAACCUCUUUACUAGUGUUAAUAUAUAAUUCUAAAUUUAUUUUCUAUUAGAUUUUUUUUUAAUAAGUAUGCAUAAGUAUGAGUGUUAAUAUAUAUUUCUGAACCGUUUGUUAUUAGAUUGAUCUUUUGAAUAAUAGUUAGUGUUAAAAAAAACUUCAAAUAUCAUUCAUGUUAUUUCACACUUUCUUACUUUAGUACCAUAUGGUUUAAAGUGUAUCACUUUCUGAUUUUAUUUUAUUUUUUUUGUUAUCCCCUCCACUAACUUUUUUCAUUAAAUCAAUGAUAAAAUUAAAACUAAAAAGUACUAAAAUGAAUAUUUGAUAAAUUUAGAUGAGAUAUUGAAACUUUUUUAUAUAUAAUUAAUGAAAUAUUAACGGAGGAGCUGACGAAAAAAAAAAAAUAAAACCACAGAAUAUUAAAUUAAUACACUUUAAAUUAUAGAAUACUAAAGUAAAAAAAUGCCAAAUUAUAAAAAUGAUAUUUGAAGCUUACCCCUAAGGCCCUGUUUGGAUGCAUAGUUAAAAAACUCCAUGGAAUUUUUUUUCUAUGGUUUUGGUCUAAAUGAAAUACGGAAUCCUGUAACUACAAAAAAAUUCCACAGCUUCAUUUUUAAGUUGUUUGGAUACAUAUCAUACAAUUCCACAGUAUUUAUAACAAUUAAAUUUCUAAAAUUUUAAAAUUCAAAAUUCAAAACUCAAAAUUCAAAAUUCAAAAUUCAAAAUUUAAAAAUAAAAUUUUAAAAAUUAAAAAUAAAAAUUCAAAAUAUAAAAUUAAAAUUUAAAAUUUAAAAUUUAAAAAGUAAAUUAGAUUUUAUGUUUUAAAUUUGAAUUUUGAAAUUUGGAAUUUGAAAUUUCAAAUUUGAAAUUUGAAACUUUAAAAUUUAAAACUUAAAGUAUACCAUUUAAACUUUAAAUUUUGAAAUUUAAAAAAUCUAUAAUUAAAAUUUUAAAUUUCAAAUUUAAUAAUUUAUAAAUUUACAUAUUUAUAAAUUUAAAAUUUUAAAUUUAAGUUUAAAUUUAAAUUUUGAAGAUUGAAAAUUAAAAAUUAAAAAUAAAAUUAAAAUUUGAAAUUUGAAAUUUGAAAUUUGAACUUUUUGAAAUUUGAAAUUUGAAAUUUGAAAUUUUAAAAUUGAAAAUUGAAAAUUGAAAAUUGAAAAUUGAAAAUUGAAAUUUGAAAUUUGAAAUUUGAAAUUUGAAGUUUUUGAAAUUUAAAAUUUAAAAUUUAAAUUUUGAAGUUUUUGAAAUUUGAAAUUUGAAAUUUAAAUUUUGAAAUUUAAAAUCAAAAUUAAAUUUGAAUUUUAAAAUUUUAAAAUUUGAAAUCUAAAAUUUUAUGUUGAAAUUUAAAAUUUAAAAAUUAAUACAUCUUUGGUAGCCCAAAAUGGUGGAAUUUUUUUCCUUUGGUUAAAGUUGAUUGUAAGUUUACUCCAUUUUUUGGAGUAUAGUAUAACUAUACUCCAAAAAUUACUUCAUUUUUUUUUCUUCCAAACGCUUCAUAGGAUUAUUUUCCUACCAGCGUAGCAUAGUUUAACUAUGCUACGUUUUUAGAGGUAUCCAAACGGGGCCUAAGUGUUAUUCAAAAACUUAAUAGGAUAGAAAAAGGUGUCAUAGUCUCAUAGAGGCAAAUAUUUAAAAACUUGUACAGUAUGACGCGUGGUGGCUUUUAGGAGACACGCCCAAUAAUCUUUGUUUCUUUUAUUGAUGCAUGGUCGGCGUUGAAAGUUCUAGUUCGAUUAAGUUCAAAUCUUUUUACACCAAGCUCCCUAAGAACUUUUCGAAAUAGCCUUAAUUAAUUAAUUAAUUAGAUGCACAUGGAACUGUUCUCUUUUUUUCUUCUCUUUUAAUUUUCUUCUUUUUUGAUUUGUAAAUAAGCCACACACAAGAAUAUUUGGUCCUUUUGCAUUCAAAAUCAAAUUAUAUAUUAAAUUGAAUAAAAUGAACAUAACGACCUAAUUGUUUGCCAAUAAUAGUAGAGUUAGACAAGGAUAAAAUAAGAUGCCAAUAUGCAAGGAAACUGGGGAUAUGAAAUUCGUAUUUAUAUAUAGUGUCUACUCCAUGACAUAAAUGAGGAUUAAUUCUCGAUACAAAUUCAACGAGUAAAAGCGUACAGAACGAUACCAACGUAGAUCAGCAUGGCCGACGGGACGAGGGUGAGGAGUACAACGACGGCGGCGACGGCGGCGACGCCACCUUCGCCACCGUGGCAGCCGAUCCUCCCGAGCCUCACCUGCACCAGGUUUACGAGGGCAACCAUCAGGAACCCGACGGCGAACGUCGACCCUGCGGCGGAGGCGACGAUCCCCGCGCGCAGCACCGCCCGGUUGAUCCGGGCAGUGGAGGCGGCAGACCGGGGGGCGGCGCACCGGCAGGUCACGGCCUGCUUGAGGCAUAGGGCUAUGAUGCUGGAGAAAAGGAAGCAGGCGAAGGCGACAACGUGGCAGGUGACAAGAUGUUCAACUGUGCGAACUCCGGUGCUGCACUUGUCUACUCGUGUUGAAUAUAAAAUAUAAAAAUACUGUUAUUCAGCGACAAAAUUAUUUUUGAAAGAUAAUUAUUAUUUGACAAUUCUCGACCUUUGCCACCAGAGGAGGAGGGGUUCCAGGUGAGGCCGACGAAGGCGGCGAAGGUGAAGAGGGAGUUGGCAUGGAGGAUGCCGUCGAGAGCAGUGACGUGGAUGGCAGUGGAGCCGCCAUUGGGGCCGGCAACGGAGGUCGGGGUUCGGCCGCGGAGGAUGGUGCUGGUGGUGGCGCCGCCGUCCAUGAAGUGGUGUGGACUUUUUACUUCCCGCGCGCUAUACUUCACGAUGCCAAAUCCUAGCGUUGCAAAAAUUUCGAUAGCGGAGAAAAUUACCGACGCUUUUUAAAUACGUCGGCGUAAACGCAUAUGUCGGCGAAGACUUUUUUUUUUUUUUUUUUUUUUAGUGAGCUGGUUGGAGAAAUGGGAGCUAGGAUUCGUGACUAGCCACGAGAAGUGCUUGAUGAAAAGAACAAACAAAAGAAAAAAAAAAGUAAAAAGCAAAGAAGCUCGUGUUGGAUGCAAAUCACUUUUCAAUGUAAUUUAGUCGGAUUAAAUAAAAUUAGUCCAGCAAUUUAAUUAGUUCUGUCUCAAAUAAGCCCAUUUUUUAGAACUUUUUGUUUAUUUUAAGGGCGCCAUUCUGAUAUAACAUUUGUUUAAAUUUAUUUUAAUCUAGUCCCUUCUUGAGUACACCUUUCAAGAUUUAAAGAUCCAAAAUAAGCGAUAAAAUAUAUUCAUGCAUGAAUAUUCAAGUGUUUUUAAUGCAAUCAAGUCACUUAUCAUGUCCUUAUUAUAAGUGUUAAAUAUAAAAAUAUAUAAACAUCAUUUUCUAACCGUUUAUGUUUCAGAGUAUAAUAAUUGUUUCACAUGGUAUCAGAACAGAAGGUUUUGAGUUCGAGUCACACAAUACUCAUAGUAUUAUUAAUUUUCUCUCAUUUAAUUUAAAUUCACGUCAUGAGCCUAACAAUAAGUCUCGAGCUCAAACACUACGGUUGUUUCACAGUAUGCACUUUCACCAAAAAUUAAUUAAUGAAAUUUCAAAAUUAUUAGACAUAUGAUAUAUGACUAAAAUACAAGAUUGAUAUUUCUUAAAUUUUUUAUGGAAAAAAUAUUUGAGACGAGAUGUAAAGUUCAAGUGGGAUUUGCAUAGUAGAAGAAAAGCAAAAAGAAUUAAAAAAAAAAAAAAAAAAAAAAAAACUUAGAAUGGUGAUCUUCUCUUUUUUUUUUAUUUUAUUAAGCCUUCUAUAAAUUAGCCGUCUUAUAGAGUGUUAAAAUUUAGGAAAAGAAUUUUAAGAUUUAAGCAAAUGUUUAAAAAUCAAAUUUGAGAUGAAUCUCACGGUUCACCAAAUUUGCUCAAAGAGAUGUCAUUGACAAAAUCUCAAUGAUAGCACACAAGUAGUAGAACAUUUGUUAACACUCAUGCAGUAGACUUAAUUAGAUUUUAAUAAAUAUAUUUUACUUAUAACUAAUUUAAUUCAUUAAUAUCAACAGCUGCUGGAAAAUGUUUUAUAAAAGUGCUUCUCCAUAAUCCAAAAUAAUUUAUUAGUGCUUCACUGUCUUGAUUUUUGUAUGAUUUGGUAGUAGAGUUUGAAAGUUCUUUUGAAUAUUAUGAGGUUUUAAAUUGAGAAUCAAUAACUAUUACAAAAGAUAAAGGCUAGUGCUUUUGAAUAUAAUUCUCUGCCUAUAGUAAGAGCAGUGCACAAUGGAAACAGUCUAGAAUGCACCAGUUAUAUUACUGAUGUGACAUACUCUGCUAAUCAUAUUAUUUUUUUUGAUUUAUCCAUCCCAUUAGAAUUAUUAGAAAUAUUUUUAUUGUACUUUUCUUUCAAAAAAAAAAUUAUACAUUGACUGAUUAUUGAUAAUAUGGUGAUAAACUUUUUCAUGUUUGGUGUAAUUAUAAAAUUAAAUAUGUUUUAAUAAAAUAUAAUCUGAAAGAUAUAAUUAGAAAAUUAAUUUCAAAUUUUGGCGGUUAUUGAUCUGGGUAACUCUUAUAAAAAAUUGCUCGGACUUGGUUCACUUCAAUUCGUGAAAUGUAAAAUGCAUGACCAUCUACUGGAACAAAAUUAUUCAAUCACCAAUUUAAGAAAUUGAGAAAAUAACUUAUUAAAGAAAAAAUAAUUUUUAUAAUCUUUAUUUAAGAAAAAUAAUUUGCUUCAAAUAGUUAGUAGGCAAACCAAUUAUUCAAUCAGAUAAUAUUACCAUAAUUUUUAUAAAAUAUUUUUCAAAUAAAUUCAUACAAAUAUAUAAUUUGAUAUUUUUGACAAUACAUAUGGCAAAAUUUUAUACCUUCACGUUCAUAACUCAUUUACCUAAUAAAUAAUAUAUUAAAAUAAAUAAAUCUUUUUACCAUCCCAAGAGACAAAGUCCAUAACCCAUUUACCCAAGAAACAAUAUAUUAAAAAAAUUAAAUUUCUUUAUCUUCCCAAGAGACAAAAAGCAAUUUCACUCCCCACAUUGCACCUCUCUCUUCCCUAACUAAUAAAUUAUCGCUUCAUCUUUUCACCUUCCUAAAAAAUAAUAUAUUAAAAAAAUAAAUCUUUUCACUUUUUUUUAAAAAAAAUUUAUCUCUUUGUACCUCUCUCUCUCUCCUACCAAUAGAUCUCUUUUUCUAUUCACCUUCUCAAGAAAUAAAAUAUUAAAAAAAUAAAUUUUUUUACCUUUUCAAGAGAUAAUAUACUAAAAAAAUAAACUCCUCUCUCUUUCUCUCUCUUUCUCUUUUUCUCCCUCUACAAGAUCCAUGCUGUAACAACCCUGAAGAAUAAAUGGUAGAAGUAGUAGUAGCAUUAGUAGUUAGAUGUAGAAGAGGAGUAAAGGUAGCAGCUUUACUAGCUAGAAGAAGAAUAAGUGGCAGCAGCAGGUGGAGAGGAGGAGGUGCGGCAGGUGGGCCGACGAGAAGCGUCUUCGAAGGGCUCAGGCGAGCUUAACGGAACAGUCGGGCGAGAGGUAGUCCGGGUGGAGCUCUGGUGGGGACGACGAAGCUAGGGCAUCCUCAAAGCUCGGAGAGGGCGCUGGGAUGUCCAAUGGAGUCCAUGGAGUUGGGGCGAAGAAGAGGACUGGCGGAUCGAAGCUUCAGGAUCUCGGAGCGGAGGCAAAACGCGAACCCAGUACCCGCAGGGUCGCGGAUGAUGCGGAGAAGAAGGAGUCCGACGCCGAUUGCCCGUUUAUAGGCGGAUCGGGUGGGCCGAACCUCGGAUCGGGUGCAAUUAGCGAACCCAAGGCCCGCCGGGUAGCGGAUGAUGCGGAUAAGGUCGAGCCCGAUAUCCAAUCACCCGAUUACAUGAUGCUCAUGGACUUGUCAAGCCAACGGGGGCCCCAUUACCACAGAAUUAGCAGCCCAUGAGGCCCAUAUCUCAUAUUAGCACUUUUGCUGUUUAGCCCUCAGAUAGUAGUUAAUUUUCCUUUCAGUUCAAGUCACCAAGUAGUAUAAAUGUCAAGUGUAAUGUAAACAGGGAUCUAUCGAUGAAAUGAAAUAUUGCUUAUCUUCUUCCCCAAUCCUUCUCGAAACCCUUCUUUGCUUCUAAGCUCCCUAAUUCUCCUCUCUCUUCUCUACUUCUAAUCCCUACCCUUAUCUCUCUGUAUCUCUCUCUGUCUCUCUCUCAUUCCCAUCAUCUCCCAAUUCACGCUCCUCAAUCCGAGGUCUCAUCGGAUCGCGAUUGGGAUCAGGUUGGUCACGCCAUCAUCCCGGUUAGCCAUCCAUCUCCAUCGAGGGUUGCUAACAGGUCCGGUACAUAACACAUGCAUCCUAACCAAUAAGAUUCUGAAAAAUUCGAGAUCACGAAUCUCACGUCAUUCUCACAAAUUUUCUAAAUUCGCUCUAGAUUUGAAGAAAUCUAAUAAAAAAAUCUAAAUUUGGGUUUUGGAACUCUAUAAAUUCAUGAUGAGAAAGAAGCCAAGAGGGGAUGGAGCGGACAGCCAAUAGGGAAUCCGCGAGGGCGCAUGAGGAGAAACGCGUCCAUACCUAGCCCACAUCCAUGUAUUAACUUAAAAAAACAAAAGGAAAAAAAAGAAUGCAGAGGGAGAAGAAGGAGAAGGAAUAUAUAUAUAUAUAUAUAUAUAUAUAUAUAUAUAUAGUUGUGCUGGUAUGUUUAUGAAAGCACGGAGGUCUCCGUGCUUUCAAGUUGUUUUUGAUGUUCGGAUUUUCGAAUCGACGAUCGGCUCCGUUAGAGUUGAUCUAGAGUAUUUGAAGUACAUAGAAAAUAAAUUUUACGAUUUUUCGAUAUCAUUUGCCUAGUGAUCGAAGGAGCUCAAAAUCAAUAAUUUUAACGGCCGUGGUGAGCCGGUUGCAAGUUUAACAGUGUAGAAAUAUCGAAAUCAUAUAAAAUUUUGAUAGAAAAUUCUUUAUACCUUAUAAAACAAGAUCAAUAACUUUGAUCUAAAAUUUUAAUGUCAUAUCGUCAUAUUUUAUAAGAUUUUUAUUUUCAGCCGUUGAUUUUAAGCCACUUCGAUCAAUAGGCAAAUGAUAUCAAAAAAUCAUAAAAUUUAUUUUCUAAAUAAUUCAAAUACUCUAAAUCAAGUCUAACGGAGCCGAUUGUCGAUUCGAAAGUUCAAACAUCGAAAAUAAAAUGAAAGCACGGAGCCUUCCGUGCUUCCAUAAGCAUCCUAUAUAUAGUUGGCAGGGAGAAGUUGACACCGCCACCGCCGCUUAUCUCCCGCCACUGCCGCUACCCUGCUGUUGCGAAGCCGCCGAGUCUGUCGUUGCCGCAUCCACCGCCAUAGUUGCUACCAUCGACGCUAAUGCCAACAUCACCGACUCCGACGCAGCUGCAGCCGCAGCCGCAGCCGCGUCCCCCAGCUGACGCCGUCGAGGCAGAAUCUUAUUAAAAGCAAAUAAAAAAAAGGAAAAAGGUGCGAAGCAGUUUUUUUUUUUUAAAAAAAAAAUAUACUAUUUUUUACUCUCUAAUUAGCUUUCCAAUGAAUUAAAUUUUUUUAAAAUUUUUUUAAAUUAUUUUAUUUGAAACAUAAACUCUUAAUAUUGGUUGGUAAAUAUUUUGAUAUUGGAAAGUUAACGAUUUUUUUCGAUAUAUUAUAUUUUUAAUUUUUUUAAAUAAAUUUUUAAUUUUUAAUUUUUAAUAAUUAUAUAUUAAUUAAUUAAAAUUUUGUUUAUUCGCAGCGAAGCGCGGAUUUUAUACUAGUUAUGAUCAAUUUCACAAUUUAGUCUUUUUAUAAUUGAUUUUGAUCUAAUUUUUGAAACUUUAUGUAUAAAUAAGUCUUUUUAUAAUUGAGCUUGACUUUAUAUUUUUUUUUUCUAAAAAUUAAAUAAUAAAAAAUAUAUAUUAUUUAUAUAAUUAUAUAUUUAUAUAUAUAUAAAUAUAUAUAUAAAUAUAAAUUAAAUAAAUUAUAUAAAUAUAAAAUAUAUGUAUUCGAGCUGUUAUCGAGCCGAACACGAGCGAGCUGACCCUGACUCGUGUUCGACUCGUUUAUUAAACGAGCUGAAAAAUAGCCAGCUCCAUCUCACUCGUGUUCGGCGCGUUAACACCCCUAGCCUAGUUGGUUCUUCUUUAUUAAACGAGCUGAAAAAUUCUGCUCAUAUUCGGCUCAUUUACUAAACGAACAAUUCGAUCUCGAGCUCAUUUUAAAUCGAACACAAGCUGGCUCACAAACAGUCGGUUAGAUUGCCGUCCCUAGUUUGGACAUCCACCCCUAGUUUAGACAUCCAUGUGCGAUAGUAUAGUUUAGACAUCCAUGUACGAGAAAAGGAUGGAAUCACAUGCAGUGAUCUUGUAUCCCGAGCCUUCUAUUUGAAUAUCAAAAAAUAUAAUAUUUUAAAAUAUGACAAGUUAGUUUUUCUACUUAUUCAAAUACAGGGCAAAACAAUUUUAACUGCACUUAAAUAAAAAAAAAAAUUAAUAAAAAGUUGAGUGCAUCUUAGAGGCUAUUUGGUUGCAUUUAUUUUCAACUGUAUUACAGUUAAAAAUACAUACAUCUAUUAAUUUUUUAUUUGAUUUGGUGCAGUUAGACCCAACUGCUGCAGUUGCAUUUGUAUGAGAAGACCCAACUACAGCAAUUGGUACUGCAGCAAAAUUGGCCGCAGUACCAACUGCAGUAGUUGAGCCGGAGUCCGCUCACCGAUUAAAAAAAUAAACAAAGUGUGAAUUUUUUUUUCAUACAAUUCUUUUUUAGCUUUUUUUUCCAAAAAUAUAUAUUUAUGAAAUCUAAUAGAAUUUAGUAAUAUCUAUUAGGAUCAAUAAAUUUUUUUCAUACGCUUCUUAUUUUCCAGUUUGCUAAUUUAAUAAUAUCUUAAUUUUUUUUUUGACCAAAUUUAUAAUAUAUUUAUAUUUAAAAUUUAUUAAAUUCAUAUAUAAUUUAUAAUACAUAAAUUAUACAUAGAUAUAAAAGUCUUAAUUAAUAAUUAAAACAUAAUUACGUUAUACUCAGAAGAGGUAAUAUCAUAUUUCUAUCUAAAAAUUAAUAAAAUUUAUAAAUAUAAAUCUAAAUUGCAGACUACCAAACAGAAGAAAUAUAAGUGCAGCAAUUGUAACUGUAUAAAACCAAAUAGACUAGAUAUAAUUAUGACUGCAGCAUUUACAACUGUAUGUACUUCAAACUAUAUUAUUUUUGCAAUUACAUCCAACCAAACGGCCCCUUAAAGGGUAAGCUUUUUUAAAUUUUAUUAAUUAGCCAGUAUUUUUAAUUUAUUAAUAAAUUAUAUAUUAUUGCUUAUAUCAUUUUAAAAUUAUAACUUGAUUUAAUUAAUAUUUGCAAUUUAUUUACUAGAAAUAUAACAGUGGAGACCUACCUCGGUUGAUGUUGUAAUAUUUUGGUGCAAACUGAUCCAGGCUGAUCCUAAAUCACACAUCCAUGUUAUUUUUUAUCUGCACGGGACAUUGGCUGGAAUUUUUUUUUUUUUUUUAAAAAAAAAACUCAACUCAAGUGCUUCUUAUUUUGGGCACAUGGGAUAAUGCAGUCUCGUAUUAUUUAUUUAUUUAUUUUAAAAUUUUAUUAAGCCGACGACAACGAGACAAAGCUGGAAUUUUCAACUUUUUGCUCAUCUUCAGACUUCAGUAUACCUAAUCACUAAAAUAUUUGUAAAAAAAAAUUUAAUAAAUAUAUAAUUUUUCGGACCUAUCACUUUGCAAAUAGCGUUCACUGCACAUCUCAACCCCUUCAGAUGCGCCUUAUCCUCUCUAUCCAUCGCCGCCGCAGCCGUCCCCUUUGUUCUUCUCCUCCUUCUCCGCCGCCUACAAGCUAGUCGGUCAUAAAAUUACCAAAAUGCCCCGUCGGCAAUUGCUCCUUUUCCCCCUCCCCUUCCAGGGCCACAUCAACCCCAUGUUCGAGCUCGCUGCGCUCCUCCACUCCCGCAGUGGCUGCAGCGGCGGCGGAGGAGGCGGAGGCGAUGGGGUCGACUUCUCUAUCACCAUACUCCACACAACAACACACCCCAUAACUUCCCCCAUGCAUCCAUCCUACCGCUACGUGUCCUUGGCGCCCGUCGACGACGAACUUUCGAAUAGCAACUGCGACCGCGAGCUCCCCCCGAUCGUCGAAGACGUCGUGCUGCACAUCUUCCACCUCAAUGCGCGAUUCGAAGCAUCGUUCCGGGACCGGGUGGCGGCGAUGCUGGAGGACGCCGAAGAGGAGCCGGUUGCGUGCGUGAUCGCCGAUGCGCACUGGUUCGCGGUGCACGCGGCGGCGAGGCGGCUCGGCGUCCCCAGCGUGGCGCUGCGGACCGGAAGCGCCGCGAGCUUCUGUAGCUUCAUGGCGUACCCGCUUCUCAUGCAGAAGGGGUAUAUUCCGGUCAAAGGUAAAUGUGUGUGUAUAUAGGUUGUGACCAGUUAAUCUCUCUCUCUCUCUCUCUUUCUCCCUCGUUUUUUUUCCCUUUUUGUAAAAAAAUAUCUACGCUUCAAUUAAUUAUUUUGCGCCAGAAUCUGAAUUAAACGAGGCAGUGGAGGAGGUGCCCCCCAUGCGGGUCCGAGACCUGCCCCGCGUGGACCAGAGCGACCCGGUCGCGGUCGCGGAGCUGCUAGCCAAAGUCGUCGCCGGAGUCCGAAACUCCUCGGGCCUCAUCCUCAACGCCGCCGAAUUAAUGGAAUCCGCUGAGGUCGACAAAAUCCGGCGCGAACUUGCCCAUAUUCAGGUCUUUGCCAUCGGCCCCCUCCACAAGUUCACACCCCUCGCCGCGCAGCCCAACCAGCUUCCCCCCGACCGCACCUGCCUCGCUUGGCUCGACGCGCAGCCCGCGGCCUCUGUCCUGUACGUCAGCUUCGGGAGCGUGGCCUCGCUUCCCGAGAAGCACUUCGUCGAAACGGCGUUCGGGCUCGCGCUCAGCGGCCGCGCUUUCCUGUGGGUGGUUCGCCCCGGCUCGGUCCGUGGGCCCCGCGGGGCGGCGGUCGAAACUAAGUUGCCGGAAGGGUUCGAGGAGACAACGCGUGGCAGGGGAAGGGUGGUGGAGUGGGCCCCGCAGCAGGAGGUGCUGCGGCACCGCGCGGUGGGCGCGUUCUGGACGCACUGCGGCUGGAACUCGACUCUGGAAGCGAUCUCCGAGGGGGUGCCGCUGAUCUGCGCGCCGCAGUUCGGGGACCAGAUGGGGAACGCGCGGUACGCGACGCGCGUCUGGGGAAUCGCGGCGGAGGUGGAGGGGGAGCUCUGGGAGCGGGGGAGAAUCGCUGCGGUGAUUAAGGCUGUGAUGGAGGGGAGAGAGGGGGAGGAGAUGCGAGAGAGGGCGAGGGAGUUGAAGCAGAAAUUAUCGGCGAGCGUGAGUAGAGGGGGGUCUUCUCAUGCGGGCGCAGAAAGAUUGGUGGAAUAUUUGAAAAGUUUGUAAAACAUCAAGCGCGUUGGUCGCCGCACCUAAUGUUUCAAAAAAAUUGGCGUCUAAUCGAGUUUGGUUCAGUCAAUUAGACCUGGAUAUGGUUAAUCAGUUUGGAACAAUCAAGUCAGAUUCGAUAGGAAUUGGGUUUUGCCUUGUUGUAGUCGAAUUGACGGAGCACGCAUCAAGUCCUACUGAUUAAUUAGAUCGAGCCUAAAUUCAGCUCGUGGGUCGGGUUCAACCUACAUGUUAUUCAGGUUUUGCGUAAUUUUCAUGUCUUAAUUAAUUAUAGCUACUGAUGCAUUGGGUAAUUGAAGUUACAAUGGUUUAGUCGUGUCAAGCCUCAAUUUAUUGCCAGUGAAAGCGCUUGCUUAGUACGGGUUUGUUUAACGCUGCUAUAAAAUUGAGUGUUUUUAAUAAACUAUUACGUAACCGAUCGUCCCUAAAGCAAGUGGCAAAAGACUUGGUGGUUGAUACCCGAGGUUCCAAGUUCUAAUCCUAGUCGAUUCACAUUUUCAGCUAAGUUUAUUUCUUAAUGAAAUAAACGAAGCAGGUAGCGUGCUAUCUAUCUCUCUAAAAAAAAUUACGUAAAUAAUAAUAUUAGAAAAGGUGUUGGUAGGAAUAAUUUUAUCUGAUUAUUAUAGAUAACUGAGAACUACUAUAAAUUAGUGUUUGGGUAUAAAGGAGGGACCCUUAUUCCCAAUACAAACGCUACCGUAGAAAACAUUUUGUCCCACGACAAUUUAACAUUCCAUAAUUUAUUAACAAUUUAUUUUAUAUAUUAUAAUUUCAUUACUUGAGAUAUUAUUUUGUUAUUCUACUUAAUGAUAGAAUUAUAUAUUAAAAUUAAAAUAAAAUUAUAAUUUAGUUAAGUACUUUUUUGAAUCACAAGGUGGAAAAAGAAAAAUGAAAAUUUUAUAAUUUUGAAAAUUGGCUGCUGCAAGCCUGCAACCAAAGCGCACGAAGUUCACAAAGAUUUCAAAUAAUCCACCAACCUCUCUGCGCCCGCAUGAGAAGACCCCUCUCGGCUUACGCUGACCGCCAACUUCUGCUUCAACUCCCUCGCCCUCUCGCGAAUCUCCCUCCCCUCUCUCCCCUCCAUCACCGCCUUGAUCACCGCCGCGAUUCUCCCCCGCUCCCAGCGCCCCCCCUCCACCUCCGCCGCGAUCCCCCAGACGCGCGUCGCGUACCGCGCGUUCCCCAUCUGGUCCCCGAACCGCGGCGCGCAGAUCAGCGGCACCCCCUCGGAGAUCGCUUCGAAUGUCGAGUUCCAGCCGCAGUGCGUCCAGAACGCGCCCACCGCGCGGUGCCGCAGCACCUCCUGCUGCGGGGCCCACUCCACCACCCUUCCCCUGCCACGCGUCAUCUCCUCCAAUCCUUCCAGCAACUUAGUUUCGACCGCCCCCCCGCGGGGCCCACGGACCGAGCCGGGGCGAACCACCCACAGGAAAGCGCGGCCGCUGAGCGCGAGCCCGAACGCCAUUUCGACGAAGUGCUUUCCAGGAAGCGAGGCCAAGCUCCCGAAGCUGACGUACACGACCGAGGCCGCGGGCUGCGCGUCGAGCCAAGCGAGGCAGGUGCGGUCGGGGGGAAGCUGUCCGGGCUGCGCGGCGUGGGGUGUGAACUUGUGGAGGGGCCCGAUGGCAAAGACGUGAAUAUGGGCAAGUUCGCGCCGAAUUUUGUCGACCUCGGCGGAUUCCAUGGAGUCGGCGGCGUUGAGGAUGAGGCCCGAGGAGUUUCGGACUCCGGCGACGACUUUCGCUAGCAGCUCCGCGAACAAGCCCGGGUCGCCCUCGUCCAUGCGGAACAGGUCUCGGACACGCAGCGGGGGUAGCUCCUCCACUGCCUCGUUUAAUUGAGAUUCUUGUACCGAAACUAUUGGAGAGCAAAUAUUUAGUUUUAAAUUAAUUUCCUCAAUAAUUAAUCUUCCCAUUAGUUGUAACCAUUUCAGAUUAUAAAAUAUUAUUAGUGUUCUUACAAAUAUUAAACUACCGUUUGGUUCGGGGUUAAGAAAAAACGAGUUAUUUCAGGGAUAGGGUUAAGAUGAGGUUAGAGUAUUUUUGUGUUUGGUUGGGGGUUUGAGUUAGUUCAGGAUAGUGAAAAAUAAUGUUUGGUUGGAGUAGAUGGGAUAAAAAGAAUAGUAGGUUAUUAUGAAUAGAAAAUAGUGUUUGUUUGGGGUUUGGUGGGGUUAGGUGGGAUUAGCUAAUCCGGAAUAAUUCAUUUGAGGUAGGAUUAACUAACCCAAUCCAUUUUUAGAAGUGUUUAGAAAUAAAAUAGGGGUUAAAGGGUUAUUCCACCCCCUAACCCUGAAUGAUAUUUUAGCCUCCGUUUGGUUCGGGGUUAAGGAAAAAGUAGCUAUUCCAGGGAUAGAGUUAAGUUCAGGGUUAAAGUGGGGUUAAAGUUUUUUUGUGUUUGGUUGGAGGUUGGAGUUAGUCUAGAAUAAUAAAAAAUAGUGUUUGGUUGGAGAAGGUGGGAUAAAAAGAUAAUGAUUGAUAAAGAAGGAUAAUGAUUGGUUGGAGUAUGUGUGAUAAGAAAGAUAGUGAGUUAUUAUGAAUAGAAAAUAGUGUUGGUUGGAGUUUGGUCGGGUUAGGUAAGGUUAGCUAACCCGGGAUAAUUUAUUUGAGGUGGGGUUAGCUAACCCCAUCCAUUUUUUGGGAUGUUUGGGGAUAAAAUGGGGGUUAAGGGGUUAUUCCACCCCUUAACCCCCAACCAAACAAAGGCUUAGAGUUUGAAGGAAGGGUUAAUUGCAAACAGGUCUCACUAAAUAUAGUGAAUUGCAGAUGUAUUUCUGUAAAGUUCAAUUUUUAUAAAUUAUUCCUGUAAAAGUUCUAAUAUUUUAAGAUAGAUCCCUUUGCUUUGUUACCGUUAGAGAAUACUUUAUCCGAAUUAAUUUUUGACAUUUUAAGAAUAUUAAUAUUAUUAUAAUUUUUAGAGGGACAUAUUUGUGAUUGUAAAAUUAAAAAUAUAAAGUUUUCUAAUAAUUCUUUAACGAUAAUAAAUCAAAAAGACAUAUAUGAAAAUAUUAGAUUUUUGCCGGAAUAAUUUAUUAAAAUUAAAUUUUACAAAAAUAUAUCUAUAAUUUACGCGGGAACCUGUAUGUAAUUGACUCUUGAAGGAAUGCAUCUAUAAUAUUUUUAAAUUUUAGAAAACUAUAUCAGAAAUUGUCCCGAGCAUAUAUGGAGUGGUCCCCAUGCUGACAAUGAAGCGGCGUACCGCAUACAUAGUCUACACAAAGCUACUCAUACUUUUUUCUUUUUCUUUUCUUUUUUUAAGAAAAAAAUAGCGUGCUUACUGUUUUAUUUAUUAAAAAGAUUAAUUAGGCUCUCGUACAUUUUAUUACUAGAUGUAAAAUUAAUAUUUAUUAAAUUUUUUUGGCUCAUAUUAAUUUAUUUAUUUUAUUAUUUUUUACUAAAAAUACUUUUAUAAAGAAUGUAUAUACUAUAUAUAUAGUUUUUUUUUAUAGAGUCCUGUUUGGGAGUUCAAAUUUGAACUUCACGCCCUUAAUUUGGGAUCAACAAAAUAAAAAAGAAAAAAAAAGGUUUGCGAUCUGUGACUGUGCAAUUUUUUUUUUUUUUUGAGAGAUAGAUAGCACACUAUCCGUUUCGUUUAUUUCAUUUAAAAAUAAACUUAGCUGAAAAUAUGAAUCAACUAGAAAUCGAACUUUGGUCUCGGGUACCAACCGCCAAACCCUUUACCACUUGCUUUAGGGACGGUCGGUAUGACUGUGCAAUUUUGGCCCUAUCUUUUUAUAUUUUCACACUUUUUUAAGAUGCUAGGAGAUUUUUGUCCGGAAUUGAAACAUUUCUUUUUCUAAAAAAAUAAUUAAAAUAUUAGAUAAAAAAUAACUUAAGGCCCUGCGUAUGGUUGUUUCUCUUUUUCUUUUUCUUAAUAGAAUUUUUAUACAAAAUUAUAUAAGAGAAGAUUAUUUGUAAUUUUUUAUAUUCAAAAUAUUUAUUUAAUAAUAAAAAAUUAAAAAUUGAAAAUAUUUUUAAAUGUAUAAAUUUUUUUAAUAAAUUAUUUUAUUAUUUGAUCGGUAUGCAUAAUAAACUAGCGAAUAACAAUCAUAAAAAAAUAAAUAAAUGUUUUGUAUUAAAAAAUGUCACAACUUUGCCUAAUAACACAAAAGUUUGUGGAUAUUUAUAAGUGAUACGAAUGAAAUGCACGACCUAUAUUUAUAUAUCUCACAUUUCUAACUUGUUGAUCUUGUGGUUCAACUUGCGUACCAAAAUCAUUACUUGGACAUAUACUGGAUUGCUUUUUUUUCUUUUCAAGCAUUAAAAUUCUGCAGUAAAAAUCUAAUUUUACAGCUGAAAUCAAACGUAAGAUUCUUACUAUUUCUAUUUUUGCCGAUUACCAAAAACAAAAAUUCAGGAGAAAGAGAGAGUGAGAGAUAAAUAGAAAGAUCAAGCUAUUUACAACCAUAUAUAUAUAUAUAUAUAGAGAGGCUACUAUGCUAUCGGAAGCACGGAGCNAUAUAUAUAUAUAUAUAUGGAGUCCGGUUAUGGUGCUUGUAAAAGCACCAAGUAUUUGGUGCUUGUAAAUUUUUUACCGUUAGAUCUACGUCUUUGAUCAUUUUCACCCGUUAGAUUAUACUAUUCAACCAACUACUCACUCAACUCUAGGGGGCCCACAUCAUCCUAACCACACAUCUCUUAAUCCAAUGGUGAAAAAUCUACAAAUACCAAUAACUUGGUACUUUUAAAAGUAUAGGAGCUCAAUUCUAUAUAUAUGUAUAUAUAGUUGAGCUAGAAUACUUUCAAAAGUACCAAGAUGGUGGUGUUUUUGAGUUUUUAGCCCUUGGACGGAGAGACGCAGGGUUGGGAUGAUGGUGAUAGGUGGUGGUAGUAGGUGGUGGUAGGUGGAAUAGUGUUUGAUCUAAAAGGUAUUAGUAAUCAAGGAGUAGAUCCAAGGGUUAGAAACCUAGAAGCAUCAAGGAGUUGGUGUUUCUAAAAAUAUUCUAGCUCAAUUAUAUAUACAUAUAUAUAUAGAGUUGGACCGGGCUACUAUUAGUAGCAAAAUUCCAUUGUUGCUACUAGUUUUUUAGCCUUUGGAUCAACUCUUUUCAUCAUUCUAACCAUUGGAUUAAAUACUAUAACCCAGUGGGAAUCAGUCAACCCUAGGGGGACCACUCAAUUUUAACUGACAAAUAUCAUCCUAACCCUACAAUUUUUCAUCCAAGGAUUAAAAACUUAAUAGCAAAAAGAGCGUUUUACUAUUAAUAGUAUUCUAGCAUAAUUCUAUAUAUAUAUAUAUAUAUAUAUAGAGAGAGAGAGAGAGAGAGAGAGAGAGAGAGAGAGAGAGAGAAAGAGAGAGUGAGUGGUAUGCUUCUAGAAAUACGGAGCCUUCCAUGCUUCCAAAUCGUUUUCGAUGUUGGACUUCGAAUCGACGAUCGGCUCCAUUAAACUUGAUCUAGAGUAUUUGAAGUAUCUAGAAAAUAAAUUUUGUGUUUUUCAUAUCAUUUGCCUAGUGAUCGAAGGAGCUCAAAAUCAAUAAUUUUAAUGGCCGUGGUGAGCCGUUUGCAAGCUUGACAGUAUAGAAAUAUCCAAAUUACUGAAAUUUUGAUAGAAAAUUUUUAUAUUAUAUAAAAUAAGAUCAAUAUUUUUAUCUAAAAUUUUAGUGUCAUAUCAUCAUAUUUUGUAAGAUUUUUAUUUUUAGCCGUUGCUUUUGAGCCACUUCAAUCACUAGGCAAAUGAUAUCAAAAAAUUGGAAAAUUUAUUUUUAGAUACUUAAAAUACUCUAUAUCAAAUAUAACGCAGCUGAUCGUCGAUUCGAAAAUUUCCAAUAUCGAAAACGACUUGUAAGCACAAAACACUCCGUACUUUCAGAAGCCAUACUAGGCGCACUAAUAUAUAUAUAUAUAUAUAUAUAUAUAUAUAUAUAUAUAUAUAUAUAUAUAUAUAUAUAUAUAUGGAACUAGACUACUAUACUAUUAAUAGCACCAAUUGGUACUACCAAGUUUUUGACCACUAGAUUAAGAGAUGUGCAGUUAGGGUGAGGUGGGCCCUCUAGGGUUGUAUAUAUGGAACUAGACUACUAUACUAUUAAUAGCACCAAGUCAUUGGUACUACCAAGUUUUUGACCACUAGAUUAAGAGAUGUGCAGUUAGGGUGAGGUGGGCCCUCUAGGGUUGAAUGGGUGGUUGGUUAAAUAGUAUGAUCUAACGGAUGAAAAUGAUCAAAAGAAUAUAUCUAACGACAAAAAACUUGGUAGCACCAAAUGCUUCGUACUAUUAAUAGCAUAGUAGCUGGACUCAUAUAUAUAUAUAUAUAUAUAUAUAUAUAUAUAUAUAUACACACACACACAUUUAUAUGUGUACCUUUGACCGGAAUAUACCCCUUCUGCAUGAGAAGCGGGUACGCCAAGAAGCUGCAGAAGCUCGCCGCGCUUCCAGUGCGCAGCGCCACGCUGGGGACGCCGAGCCCCCUUGCCGCCGCAUGCACCGCGAACCAGUGCGCAUCGGCGAUCACGCACGCAACCGGCUCCUCUUCGGCGUCCUCCAGCAUCGCCGACACCCGGUCCCGGAACGAUGCUUGGUAUCGCGCAUUGAGGUGGAAGAUGUGCAUUGCAGCGUCUUCGUCGAUCGGGGGGAGCUCGCGGUCGCAGUUGCUAUUCGAAAGUUCGUCGUCGACGGGCGCCAAGGACACGUAGCGGUAGGACGGAUGCAUGGGGGAAGUUAUGGGGUGUGUUGUUGUGUGGAGUAUGGUGAUAGAGAAGUCGACCCCAUCGCCUCCGCCGCUACGGGAGUGGAGGAGGGCGGCGAGCGCGAACAUGGGGUUGAUGUGGCCCUGGAAGGGGAGGGGGAAGAGCAGCAAUUGCCGCCGGGGCAUUUUGGUAAUUUUAUGAUCGACGUGUAGGCAGCAGAGGAGGAAAAAAAGUUUAGAUCGGCAAAGUUACUACCAAUGCUAUGUAUAUUUAUAUAUCAUACUAGAUUAAAUUGAAAAAUAAAAGAUUUUGUAUUGGAGCUCCGCAUUUUUUGUAGGCUUCAUGAAUUUUUUUUUAAAAAAAAGCAAAAAAAUAUAUAUAUAUAUAUAUAUAUAUAUAUAUAUAUAUAUAUAUAUAUAUAUAUAUAUAUAUAUAUAUAUAUGUCAGCACGCAGCAUGUACCAAAAAAAUAAUAAUAAUAAUAGAGGCUCUGGGGUUUCCACGUGUGUAGAUAUAAAAUAACGAGAAGAACAAUUAAUAAGUACAGCGGAGUUAGUGGCAUUUGAGUUAUCACAUGGAUGUGUGAUUCACGGGAACAUAAUUUAAUGAGGGUCGACUGGUAAAUAUUGUAGCAUCAACUCGGAGUAGGUUUCCAAGUUUCUUAUAUUUCUAGUAAAGAAGAUUCUUUCAAAUAUUUAUUUUUAAAUAAUAAUUACAUUAUUUAUAAUUAAAAAAAUAUAAUAUAUACUUUGCUAAUAAAUUAGAAUAAUGACUCAUUAACAAAAAUUUAAAUUGCUUACUUAUGAAGUUUUUACAUUUUCAAAUGCCACUAAGAUGGUUUUAACCUAUAUUGAAUAAGUAUAAAAUUAACUCAUCAUAUUUCAACACUAUGUUUUUAGAUAUCCAAACCAGAAUACUUGACUUGAGAUCCAAGAUCGCUGCACGUGAUUCCAACCUUUUCUCUCACAUGGAUGUUCUGUUUUUCUAUUUUUAAGAGAAAAUUAGUAAGCUCCUGUUUCAUUAAUUUUUUUAAAAAAUAAAUUUAGCUAUAUAUNAUAUAUAUAUAUAUAUAUAUAUAUAUAUAUAUAUAUAUAUAUAUAUAUAUAUAUAUAUAUAUAUGAGGUAAUUAAAUUUCGAACUUGAAACUUCUCAUAUGAAUGUUAAAGUACAUUAAGGCAAUAAAUUAUUUAUUUUUAUUCAUUUUCUGUGAAAUAAAUACAUCGUUAAUGUGCAUUGAGCAGCUAUCAUACAUAUUAUUAUAAGAUUAUAAGAUGCUUAGACAAAUCAGCAUGUGAUCCUGAGGAAGAUUUAAUGGUUUUUGAGUUGGAUUUUGCCUUUCUUGCUCUGACCCUUUUGUCUUUUUUACUUGUCCUUUUUGUCGCUUCAAGUGUGCCUUUUUAAUUCAGGUACUAACUCUUUUAUUGGUUUACUUGACCUAACAAUUAAUUCCAAAAUUCGUCAGGUUCAGCCGGAUCCCAUACGUGCAGUUUAUAGGAUUAGACAGCUGUUGAACCUGUGGGAGCAACAUAUCUCAUCUCAGAAACAGUAGUUAGUUUUUUUCUUUUUUCUUUUUUUUUUUUUAAUGGCAUGCUCUUCGAGGCCUAAGUUGCCUCACCCCUGUAUAGUUCAUCUUUUCAAUGAAUGAAGCAGGUAACAUGUUGCCUUUCUCUCAAAAAAAAAACAAUUAAUUCCAAAAAGAUAGCGUUUAAAUUUGUUGAUAGCUCCUUAUCCAUUAAAGAGUUAGAUAUUCAACUUUAUUUUUUGAAAAAAAGACGGGAUUGGUCUCUAAAUAUAUGAUCAUUUGAUCUUAACCUCGUAAGUAGAGUGAUCAAUUUGUUUGUGUCUUGGCAGUGUUGUUCAGGAACAUAUUCUUCAGGCCACGUAUUAUUAAAAUUUGCUAGACUCGAGUUCGGUUCCGUCGAUUAGACCUGGUUGUAUUUAAUAAGUUCAGAACAAUCAAAUUAAGUCGGUUUGAUUCGAGUUGGGUUUGCUCUUGUUGUAGUCAAAUUGGCCUAGCACGCGCCAAGUCCUACUGAUUAAUUAGAUCGAGCCUAAAUGAAGCUCGUGGGUUGGGUUAAACCAACAUGUUAUUCGGGUUUAGCGUGAUUUUUAUGUCUCAAUUAAUCAAGUUACACUAGUUUAGUCGAGUCGAGCCUCAAUUAAAUUUUAGUUGUAAGUAAUUUUUUUGAGAAAUAGAUAGCAAGCUACCUGCUUCAUUCAUUAAGGAAAAUGAACUAGGCAUACAAGAUAAAGACAGCUGAGACCUCCUUAAAAACCGAAGGCAACCAAAAAGUCACUAAAAAAAGUACAGUGUACAGAACAAACCAAGGAAGUAACUAACUAAAAGAAGUAAAGAAAUCAAAGACGAAUGCUGAAGACAGAAUUUGAUCAAAGGACCUCGUUCCAAACUUUGGUCAAGCACUUGACACGUUCAAGAGCCCGGGAAGCAUUGGGACUCGCGUCUCGGAAGAUAGUAUUAUUACGCUCCGUCCAUAUCACCCACCAAAUUGCCACCAAAAGGGUGAGACUUUGUGUCCUGAACCUUGCGUUGUGAAUGCUCGCUGUCUCCAUCCAUAGCCAGCGGACAUCCCCUAAUUCCAGUUCGCUUCUAUCUACAUUUCCAGCACUGGCUAGAAGAUAUCUGACGGAGACACAUUCCCGGAAGAGGUGAUCACAAGUUUCUGGAUAUAGCGCACAAAAAAUGCAAUACUGAUCCACCGCACAUCCUCGACGAAUCAAUCUAUCCGCUGUAAGUAAUCUCUUGCGUAGAAGGAUCCAUAUAAAUACUUUGUAUUUCGCCGGAAUUCUUAGCCCCCAUAGCUGGACAUAAAUUGUGUCUGUCUCACCGCCAUCAGUAAUGAACUCGUAGGUGGAUUUUAGUUGUAAGUAAUUAGUCACUAAAUUUUAGUUUUCAUUUUAAUUGAAACAUAACAUUAAACUAUAGUUUCAUUUUUUCUUUUCAAUAGAGUAUAUUCAUUUUAAAAACAUCUAGUAAGGAUGUGCAAUUAAGUUGAUUUAACUAUCAUAUUGUUUAAGAUUAAUUAUUUAGAUUUAACUUCUAUAUUAUCUUAAGAAAAUGAUUCAGUAGUUAAAUUAAUGUACAUGGCGGUCAACCAUGUCUACUUCUAAGCUAUUCUUCAAUUGGAGAAGUUGAAAUUGACUGUAAAGUUAUCGGUAGCAAAUGAGUUUUGUUGGCAAUUAUUUGGUUUCGAUGAUAGAGUCUUUAAAUCGACAAUUGGUACCGUUAAACACGAUUUACAUUACUUGAAGUAUUUAGAAAUCAAAUUUCAUACUUUUUUGAUAUUGUUCUCUUGUUCAUGAAGUAGAUACAAAAAUGAACGGCUGAAAUAAAUAUCCUUCAAAAAAUGAUGAUAGAAAUCUUAUAAUCAAUAUCAAGAGUAUUGAUAUUAUUUUAAUUAGUAAUUAAAGAAGUUUCUAACCAAAAUUAAAUUAAUUUCAAUAUCUUCACACCUUUAAACAAAAAAACACUUUAUAUUGAUUAUUAAAACUAUAAAUUUCGAAACCCUUUGAUCAUUAGCUCAAUAAUGUUGAAAAUAUUUGAAAUUUGAUUUCUAAAUACUUUAAGUAUCAUAGAUCAUAUUCAACGGUACCGAUUACUAAUUUUGAGGCUAUAUCAUCGAAAACAAAUUAGUGAUUUUCUUUACUACUAAUAGCAUUCCUGUUCAACUCAUUGAAUAGUAUCUGAUAGACAUCGUAAUUAAUGGAAACAAAUUUAAACUCGAGGGACUUAAUUAUUCACAGCAAAUUACAAUUUUGUGAUGUAAAUAAAACUUCAUAGUUAAGUUCAAUGAGCAGUAGCAUAUUUUUACCCUUUAUGUAUGGAAAGUGGCUUUGAUCAACAAGAUCAUUGGACUCCUUCUGAUGAGUGAGCUGCUUUUCCUGAGAUUGUGGUGGCAAAAUAUAAUGUGCUUGCAUUGUUGUAUGCAUUACAGGUACAGUGCAUCAGUGCAUGAUACAAUAAUGGUUGUGAUUCUCAUUAGAUGGUAUAGCACUCAAAACUAUGCACACUACACAGCUAAUAAAAGGAGAAAGAAAAAGGAAGAUGAUAAAAAUGGCUUUUUCACUUUUGAUCAACUUUAGCAAAAAAGGUCAGAGAUGCCAUCAUUCUCUCUCUCUCUCUCUCUCUCUCUCUCUCUCUAGUUGUGUAUUUCUUUUGUUGGAGUUUGCUUUAAUCCAACCUGUUACCAAUAGUGAGGUGCACUUUCAAAAGCUCUAGCACCUCUUUAUUAACUCAAUCACUAAAACACACUCAUCUUUGUUAGAGAAAAUUGCUUUACUAGUUAGCUCUAUGUCACGGACUAAACGAAUUUGCUCGCAAAAGCCCGUGCGGCGCUCGCCUUCCUCCGCGAAGUGAGCAAGCCUGCCUCUCCACUUGCUAAGUUAGGACCUCGCUCGCCCUAGACUAAGUACAAGAAAGAGAUAGAAGAAAGCUCUUCUAUUACUUUAAUAGUUUGAGAAUACAAAUGAGGAUUCUGAAAUGAGAGGGGGUGGAGGCCACACUAUUUAUAGGCCACUCGCCGCCCAUAAAGUCAAUGAAAAGGUGCCAAGUGGCACAAUACUACUAGCCAAAAGGGGAGGCCACGCGGUUUCCCAAGAGUCCUAAUAAAUAGCAUAGAAACUCGAAGAGUCAUAUAUUUAUUAUCCUAGAAACUCUAAGGGACUCUUGAACCUCCGGUAUCCGCACCAUCAGUCUCGAGAUCCGUGUAGAAGCUUCCAGAAGGCUCCAAGCCAAAACCUUCGUCAGAUGUCCGCUUUGGAGUUUGGGUGAUUGCAAAGCGAAAUCGCAGAGAAAAUCUUUGUGCCGUGACAUCUAGCACUCUCUAUGAACUAGUUCACUUGUAAAGUUGUAAUUACCUUUGUGGGCAAAAAUGGGAAUUGACAAGGUACAAAUCUUUGUUGACAUUCUCACAACAAAUUAUGUAAUGAAUUAAUGUGGCUUCAACUUAGAUGGUAAGACAUUCUAGUGAAUUAUCUAUUAUUUAAUAACAAAUUUUAAUGCACACUUCAAAUUGAAAACAAAUAUUACAGAUUGCUUAAAAAACCAUAAAAAUUCCAUGAAAAAAUUCUAUAUUUGUUGGCCUCGACGAGUCAAUACAAGUAAGAGUUCGGAUAUUGCUAGCUUAGUACUCCAAUUAGAACUUGUUUAUUCUUAACAUAUGGGGUAUAGUGCUGUUUUAAUAAAUACUUUGUAAGUAUUGGUAUUAACAAGAAAGUACCGGUCACUACUUACAUCAAAUUGUAAAUUCCUCCUCGCAACCUUCGAAGCGUAAAAAUAAGUUUCAAAUUAGAGCUUUGAGUUUUAAAAUUAUAAUACUCUGUUUUUAGCUAGUGGAGCAAAGUGUUACGGUCUUAGCAUUUUUAUUUGCAAAGUUCAUGCGACAUCCACCUUUCUGUUCAAAAAUGGACAAGUCUAACUCUCUAUUGUUAGCAUGGACCUUCACAUUAUAUGACUAAGUAUGCAAAUAGUAGAGAAAAGAGAGAGGCGGGAAUUCUCAAAAAACUAAAUUACUUAGAAAAAUAGCAUUACAAUACAUAAUUCCUCGUCUUUGGCCAUUAUCAUCCUCACAAUUUAUAGACCUAAGAUAUAUUAAACUUAGCCUAUAUAUACUAACUUAUCACUAAACAUACAUUAACUCACCCAUUAUCACAUAAUAAAAAAUUCUAAUGAAUAUCUCAUGAAUACAAGAUGAUCUCAAAGGUUACUCAUGAACCUUGGAUUUUCACAAGUGAUCUUGGAGCCAUUAAGUCUAGCAAUUAUAUAAUCUUUUAUUUUCAACAAUGACAACUAAUUUUGGACCUUUUUGACAACCCGCUCGGCUAGUAAAGUGAAAUCAGAAACUUGGCUGGACUGAAAAGUCGCUAAGGGGCCGUUUAUGCUAGUGUAAGUGGAGGGGUGGAACUCAAGUUCUAUUACUUUCGGUAUUUGUUUUGGUGUAAGUUAAAAAAUAGUGUAACUCAAAUUACGUUAGAUCUCUACUUCACCUAUUCUCGACUUCCCUCUCUAAAGUGCCGAACUUGACUUCUGCCACACUCAAUCUUCUCUAAAAAAUUAAUGAAAAUAGUAAAACCUAAAUUCUACUUUCUUUAUAAUGGAUUAGAAUUGCCUUAUUUAUAAUAAAUUAGAAUUAUCUUUAAAUAGUAAUAAAAAAUUUAAUUAUUUAAUAGGUUAAAUUUUAUAGCAGUAAGCUUAUGACUAUAUUUAAAAAAUAACGAGAUCUACUUACUUACAUAUCAAAAAACUAAUUUUAUCAGUACCAAGUUACAUCAAAACAAACAGAAAAAAAAAAUGAAUUUAACUUUCAGACUUUCGAGUUACGUCAAAACAAAUAACACAAAAAUAAUUAGACUUUAGAAAAAUUUAAAUAUCACUAUAUUUAGUUAUUUUGUAUCUACAGAUUCGUCGAUCCAAACGCCCGGGUCUCUGGCAAAAGGCUCCAUACUGUCAAAUAUUCAUCAAAUUUUUUAGCUUUUCGCUGCAGUAAUAAUGAGAGAACCUUUCCACCGUCUGAUUAACCUGCGGGAACGUGGACGGCGCUGAUUAAAUAAUACUUUUAGGACUUUGGACCACGCGCGUCCGCAUGCGCCAUACCGUUACACGCUCCCCGGUGGUCCCCCGCACGGGAGUCGCCCCGGACGUAAAAGCCGAAGCGGAGCGAAUUCAGGAGAGUAGUGCAGCGUGAUGCCCGGAUAAAGUAUUUAUUAUACUUAAAUCUUCAAAAAUGUAUGGAAAGUCCCUAUCAGUCUUAUGUAUUGCAGUGUGUAUCUAAAAUUUUAGUUAAAUCACUUCAGUCUUUCUUUUUUCUUUUGCUUUUUUUACUUUGUGUUUUUUUAUUCGAAUGCUAUAAUUUUGAAAAUUGUCUUUCCUCUGUAGAGUGCCGUGCUAACACAAAUUAGAAGGACAUAUUUUUUUAAAGAAAAACUUCAAAAACCCUCAUUGCGGUUUUAAUUUUUUUCACUUUAAUAUCCAGUGGUUUAAAAUAUAUCAAGUCAGUACCCUAUAGUUUCUCACUUUAUCACUUUAAUACCCUGUGGUUUAAAGUGUAUCAAGUUAGCACCAUGUGGUUUUAUGCUUUAUCACUUUAGUACUCUGUGGUUUUAAUUUUGUAUUAAGUUAGUACCCUGUGAUUUUUUAAACCAUAGGGAGCUAAAGUGAUAAAGUGUGAAACCACAAGGUACUAAAGUGAUAAAGUGCAAAACGACAGGGCACUAAUUUGAUACACUUUAAACCACAGGGUACUAAAGUGAUAAAGUGAGAAAUCAUAGGGUACUAAGUUGAUACACUUUAAAUCAAAGGGUACUAAAAUAAAAAAAUGUGAAACUACAGGAGGGGUUUUUGAAGUUUUUUUUUUUUUAAUAUAUAUAAUUAUAAGUAUAAAAGUAUAUAUUUUUAAGGUAAGAUGCAAUUACAAU
RNAcentral lists this long non-coding RNA (91851 nucleotides) under Ananas comosus (pineapple). RNAcentral describes it as "long non-coding RNA (ACOM_LNC019000)". The record is from RNAcentral. Lineage: Eukaryota; Viridiplantae; Streptophyta; Magnoliopsida; Poales; Bromeliaceae.